CGGCACCAGGUGACGGUGAUCAGCCGGCAGUGGCCUGCGAUCUUGGUGCGGUAAAUGGACGUGACGAUGCUCUGGCCCGACUUGGUCGCAGCUGCGGUGGUGGGAUCCUCGGGGAGCCGCUCGCCGGGAGCGAAGCAGGAAGGAAACGUAAAUAGCGGGUCCUGCAUCUGCCAAUACGAGAGAGAGAGCCAAGCAACGCUAUGAAGACGAAAUAGGGGAUGAGAGAGACCAGAGGGGGAGGAGAUAUAGACUGCGGUCGCCCAUCAUCAAGUAUAAAAAUAAUAUGCGGAAAUUAGAAGCUGACUCAUGAUUGGUGUUGGGUUAAUGGAGAUGAGGAAGAAAAUGGUGCAGCCCACUGGUCUUGAAUGUGACGAGGAAAUUGAAGGAAACAAGGAAGAAGAAAAGGGGACUGGCUUUUCUUUUGCAGAUCAAAGGACAUCAACCCUUGGAGCAAACAUGGGUGUUUGUACUGUCUCGAGCUUGGCUCGUGUCAGCCAAUGCAGUCAAUCCUCUCACAUCCUCUCCAUGAUUCAUCAUAAACUGGUUAAGCUGAACUCAUCUUGGCGCUGAAAAUAAUGUUUUUGUUUGUUUCUUCUCUCUCUCUCUCUCUCUCUCUCUCUCUCUCUCUCUCGUGGGUGUGUGUGCCUGUGAUUUCUGGUUAUAUGAAUUAUGGAUGGAUGGGGCCUUCGAAGGGUACAUGACAGCAAUGACCGGACGAAGAAGAUGGAAGCACCACCUGCAAACAAAGCUGAUCCAACUCCCAUACAGCACCGAUUCAUGGAGAACCCAAGCUGAAGCAUGUGAAAGAUAUAUUUUUAGUUCCAUGGCUUAUAAAUCCAAAAGAAGGUAAAGGAAAUCAGUAACAGCUAAUCUUUUAGAGUGAUAGAAAGGUCACUGUUUAAUUUUACAUUGAUUUUAAGUACAAUGUAAUUCAUAUUAUAAUAUCAUAAAAAUUUGUGUAACUAAUCUCAAACUCUUACCUUAAAAAAAUAUAUAUGAUAUAAAUAAUUAAUAUUUUUUUUUAUUUUUAUGAUUUUUUCAAGCCUAAUUUAAUAUGUAUUAUGCGAUCGAAUGUAAUACAAUUCAUUUAUUAUCGUAAUACUAUAAAAUCUAUUCAAUUCAAUAUACUGUUUCAAAAUACCUGAUAUACUUUUUUUUAAUUUUCAGAUGAUUAAAAGGUCUUUAAAUCGAAUUUGGGUGGAUUCAUAUUCAAACCCUGUAAAUCAUAUAAUAAUUCUUGAAGACAAUAAUAUACUUAUUCUUUAGUAAUUCUAAAAUAAGAUUUUUUUUGGAUAAACUCUCCAAAUGGAUAAUGAAACUACAUGAGUAAUACAAAUGAAGUAGGAAGAAGAUGUUUUUCAUGAAGGAUUUUGGUAAAGUGAGCAGAAAGUGACAAGUCACUGAAUGAUUCAUAAAGUGGGUAAAAAAGCAUCCUUCAAUCUGCAAUAACAUUUCCCUCUGAUUGCUGCAAUCAAAUUAAAGAUGGUUGACUGCAUCUGCAAGAGAAGGAAAAGAAUUGCCAAUGAUGGGAGUCCAGAGUUGCAUGCCAUUGGUGGCCAGAUGGGACCCAGCCUACCAACCUUGUCCAUGUUCAUUUGAUUCCAAAGAUGAUCAAGCUGUCCUUUUGUUUUAUUUUCCCCUUUUCUUUUUUUAUUUUCUUGAGGUAAAUGGAACCAUCUACAAUUAAUUGCUGCUUAUGGAUGGUGGAUAUUGGUGUUUCAUUAGAUAUAGAGAUAAUGAAUUAUGGGUGAAUUUUGAAAACAAAGUUUUCUUAAUGAGUGGUACUCCUUUAUAUAUAUAUAUAUAUAUUUCUCAAAGGUCAUGAUUAAUUUACCAUAAUGUCUGAAAUGUUUCCUGAUAAUAUAAUGAAACAGUAUCUAUUUACACCCGAUGAAUAAUCUAAUUUUUAAAAAAAUAAAUUUAUAUUAUUUAAAAAAUUAUAAACCUAUUCAAAAAUAUUAUAAUGUAUUCUGAUCUAUUGUCUUUUUAAGGAUAUUUUAAAAUAUAUGAUAAAUAAUGAGUACCCUUCACAAAAUAUGAUGUAGAGGUAGCUCCCUAGAAAAAAAAUAAAAAAUAUAUUUUCCUAGAAAUUCACUGAUUACUUAAUAUAAUUUUAAAAAUAUUUUAGUUAUUCAAUAAUAUAAAUCAAAUUCAGAUUUGUUGGGGCACAUGCGACACUCCAAUAGCAGGCUACCACGUGUGUAGAGGGGGGGGAAGGGUGACAUCUAAUACUGUUCCUGCGGAGCAGCAGAACUUCCCCAGAAAGCAAUUUAAUGGCGUCCAAAAAUACGCAUUGGCACAGACGUAUUUGAGACGUCUGUUUUUGUUUUCCCACAGCCGGACACAACAGGAGAAAAACGAAAACAAAAAACAAAAACUCCGACCCCACGCAUGCCAAGGAGCGCCUCUGCCCCCUGCCUUUUAUUAACACCCGGAUCGCGAGCAAUUCGACUCUCUGUUCUCUUUGGGUAAAUGCGUCGAGCAAUUUCAAAGCUUUUCCAGGAUUAGUGCUCGAGAGGGUUGGGGACUGGCGGAGAAAAAUGCACGGAGGUUCCACGCCGGAGCAGGAGCCGGAGGAUCCGGAAGCCGAGUUCGUGGAGAUCGAUCCCACUGGGCGCUACGGCCGGGUCAGUUCUCCCAAUCCAUAGCCCUUCCAAUCCUUUCAAUUUGCCGGAUAAUUGUCGUAUUUGCGGCCGGUGGCCUCUUUUCAUCACGGCAAUCCCGUGCUGAUGUUCUAUGAUAGCCGAACACGAUUGCUUGUAGCAAAUUAUUGAUUGAUUAUGCCCUAAUUCGUUCAUCCUCUGUUGCGCUUGAUGUUGCAGUAUAAGGAGGUUUUAGGAAAGGGGGCUUUCAAGACCGUGUAUCCUUAAUCCGUGGUUCUUGGCUUAAGUAGGGUUUGCUUGUUUGUAGUUUCCUUUUUGUCUGGUUGUGUGUUGGCAUUUUCGAGCUGUUCGGAAUCCUUGACGAGAGCGCGAUUUGCCAGCUACAAGGCUUUUGAUGAGGUGGAAGGAAUAGAGGUGGCUUGGAAUCAGGUGAAGGUGGCCGAUUUGCUUCGGAAUGCCGACGACCUGGACCGGUUCCACUCGGAAGUUCACUUGCUCAAGACCCUGAAGCAUAAAAACAUCAUCAAGUUCUUUAACUCAUGGGUCGACACCAAGAAUGAUAAUAUCAACAUCAUCACCGAGGUCUUCAACUCUGGGACAUUGCGUCAGUGCGUCCUUUAUCCACCGCUUUCGGUUUCUCUUUAAGAAUAUUCAUAUUUCUUUUGUUCAGCUAAGAUCGCUAGAUAAUUGUUUAUUGUCUGUUUGCUGGAUCAGGUACAGGAAAAAACAUAAGCAUGUGGAUGUAAGAGCAUUGAAGAAGUGGUCGAGGCAAAUCUUGAGUGGGCUUCACUACCUCCAUAGCCAUGAUCCACCAGUAAUCCACAGAGACCUGAAAUGUGACAACAUUUUCAUAAAUGGGAACCAGGGGGAGGUGAAAAUAGGUGAUCUAGGAUUGGCAGCCAUUCUUUGCCAUGCUCACUCCGCUCAUAGUUGCAUUGGUGAAUACUGUCUUCCUUUUGGUUGGAAUGUUGAAUUUCAAAUGCUCGUAAAAGUUGGAAUAAGUGGUUUUUAGCAGUUAUUAUGUUGUUGCAGGGACACCCGAAUUUAUGGCUCCAGAACUUUAUGAGGAAGAAUAUAAUGAGCUUGUUGAUAUAUAUGCAUUUGGCAUGUGUUUAUUAGAGUUAGUGACAUUUGAGUACCCGUAUGUGGAAUGCACCAAUGCAGCACAAAUAUACAAGAAAGUGACCUCAGUGAGUUUACUAUAUAUUCAUGGUCGAUUUAACUUUUCGUUGUUAAUUUACUGAGCACUGGAUUCAUUAAUACAAUUAUUUUGUUUGGUUGCUUCAUUUGACUCUUGGCAUGAUACUAGUUCAAAAAUCUUUUUUAUCAUAUUACUAGAACAAAAAGUAGAUAGUGUCAAUGUCAUCACAUUAUGUAUACUUGUGCUUUUCAAGAGCCUCAACAAGCAAGGGUCAACCUUCAUAUGAAGCUCGACACUGUAAUGGCCGUGAGAUACCUUAUGCAUCUUGAUGACUUUUGAUGCCUUGAUGCAUUUGAUAGUGACCAUAAGUUGUUAGAUGAGUCAUAUUGCAACUAAAGGCUAUUAAAAGAUCAUGAAUUAGAUGCUAUUUUUUAUUUUUUGUAUAAAAGAAACCCCUGUGUUUGAAUACGAGUUCCUAAAUAUUGAGAUUAAUCCAUCUUUUGAGAUGGUUGAGUUAGGUCUUCUUCUGUGUACUUAAGGCAUUUGGUUGAAAGUUCUUUUUAUUGAAACUGAAUUGUUCUUGUUCAGUCAUUUUGGCUGCUUCUGUAAGGAUCCCUGUUUAACUCAUAAUCGGUUUUAGUGUACCAAAGAAAUGAUACUGAUGGAACAUGUGUUAAUCCCCGACCUGGACUCACUAACCAAUUUGAACCAGCUGGAAAUAAACCAAGCUCGGUCGAGAAACUUGUUACUUGGGUAAUUGGGUCAAAUUUGGAUAAACUGAUCACAGAUUGGGAUUUUACACUAGUCCCAGAUCAUGUUUCCUGUUCUGAUGUGACAGCUUAUCAAGUUGAAAAAAUAAUCUAAGUUUGUUCUCCCCCACACUCAAAUGUAGCCACCCUUACUAAGUGGGUCAUGGUUCAUUAAGUUCUGUAUUUCAUUCUUUUAUGGUCAGGGUAGCAGAUCAUUAAGUAAGUUGGGAUCAUGUGCUAUGAUUUGACAGAUUUUAACAUAUCCUUUUUUUUCUUUUGCUCUUUGAUGAAUCUUUUUUCGUACAUAAUGAUGCUUGAGAAAAUGCUAACUUCCCAUUGUUCCUGUGCUGUUUAUGAUUACAUGUUUUGAAUGUCCUCAUCUAAUAAUUAUGUUAUAUUUCUGUGUGUUGCCAUCAUAUUGUAGAAAUUGUCUUUACACAUCCGAGUAUAGAAGGUUUUUGUUUGCUCUGUACUUUAUCAUUCAAAAUAUUCUAGGAGUUCCUUUGUGUGACUGGGUUCCUAUGCUAUUUGGAAGUUUCACACAACUUUACUCCUGUUCCAUUUGUUUUAUUAGUCUUAAGGAAAUAUUAACUUAGUUGAAUGUCAUAAGCUUAAUGCCUACUUAUGUCAGGUGUUUUGCAAAAUGAUUGUCUGCAGUGGGCUGUCUGAUGAGUUUCAUUAUUGGCAUGUAGGGAAUCAAGCCUGCUUCAUUGGCUAAGGUAAAGGAUCCAGGAGUCAAGAGGUUUAUCGAAAAAUGCAUUGCCAAUGUUUCUGAGAGAUUGCCCGCAAGGGAAUUAUUACUAGACUCUUUUCUCCAAGAAGAUGCAGACACUGACAGCAUAGGUUAUUCCCUGAGAUCAUCAUCAAGUCAAUCAGGUAAAGAAAGAUUGGACUGGAUCUUAUAAUGGUCAUAGUAUAUUUGUUGAUGUUUAUGAGACAUGUAUUUCUUGUGAUUCUGUCAUCCUCUUUCUUUUGGUAAUUUUAGAUUGCAAAUGCAGAUAAUGUUGGUCAUUCCAAUGCAAGUACAAUUUAUGGGUAUGACCAACUAGAACCAGCUACAGCUGGUCGAGAUUUCACUGUGGAAGGUCAACGCAAAGACCUCAACACAAUAUUUUUAAAGCUACGGAUUGCGGAUUCAACAGGUUUACAAGUUUGCUUCUUUGUUUACUUGUGACUGAUGUAUCUGUUCGUAAUUACUCUCAGCUCAAUGUUUCUGUUGCUGAUUUGUUUUACCAUAGGUCAAAUUCGCAACAUUCAUUUUCCAUUUGAUAUUGAGGCGGACACAUCAGUAAGUGUUGCCACAGAAAUGGUGGCAGAAUUAGACCUUACGGAUCAAGAUGUCACAACGAUUGCUGCAAUGAUAGAUGCUGAGAUACAUGCCUAUGUCCCAGAAUGGAUGUCAGGAGAAGCUUUUGAAUAUCAUAGCAAUUAUGUAACAGUUUCUGAUUGUCAUAGCCAUGAUUCGGAAGCUGAAGAUGAAGUUUCUGCUUUGCCUAAUGAAUUAGACAAUCCAGCUGGCAGUCUUACCCUAGAACGGCUCCCUUCUGGUCGGAAGUAUUGGUCUGAUUCUCCAAAGGCAACUAGUGUAGACUCUCCAGCAUCUCUUGCACACUCAAAUGCAUGUUCUGAGUUGGAAUUGCACGGAAGUGAAGACAUAUCUCUUGAGGUUUAUGAUGAAAAAGGUGAUUCCUUUAAAAAGGAUGGCCAGAGGACAUCCCGGUCAAUUGACCGCUCUUCACCUAAACAACAGAUACGUUCCCCAGGUUCUGGUGAUGGUGGUGACAAUAAUCUGGGAACUGGGUCAUUACUAAUAUCUUAUAAUGCGAGAAACCCAUCCUCCACUAACAGUCUAAACCGAGACCUGGAUGAAUCACCUUCAUGUGCUGGAUUUCAGUUGUGUAACCGUGGAGUCCACUCUGGACAGCUUGAGGGCAGUGAUACCAAACUAAAUGAAACUUUUCUUGCAAAUAAGUCCGAGGAUAUGCAGUUCAUUGUUAAAAAAUUAGAGCGUUUGUUGACUGAGCAGCAGAAGGAACUUGAUGAUCUGCAAAAGAAGCAUAAGGUUGCGAUAGCAGAAAUAUUAAAGAAACUUCCUCCUGAGCAACAUAGUGAAGUUCUAAGGAUAUGCUGCUCAAAAGUCAAUAUUAACAGGAUGCAAAAAUAGAUAUAAUCUAUACAAGCUCCCUGGCCUCAGGUCCCUUCUCACUGUCAGAGGCGUAGCCAGGUCAUAGGAAGCUAUCAUGUAGAUGAUCCUUUAGGACCAUCUUAUGUGCAGACAGUCUUUGACUUUUCCUUACUCCACGUGUGACCACUAGCAUACGAUUGAUUUCUUUUCAUUUUUUUCUUCAGAAAAUGAUAAAGUUUAGUAGAAAGCAUGCGAUUUGAUUGCUUUUAGGGAUUUUUCAUAUUUUAGAUGUGCCUUAAAAUCACCUGAUGCUGGUUCAUCCGCAAUCUUAGAAGAGCUUAUGAAGAGCCAAAGCAAUGGGGUUCUCUGGAGAUUCCGGAACAUGUGCCUGCCUGCCAGGUGUCAUAAAAUGUAUGGCAUAUUAUGGCACAUGUCUAAAUUAUCUCUGCUUGUUGUGGUGCUGCGAUAUUGUCACUGACCGUUGCUGCAAACCCUGUACCCUGAGAAAGUGAUCUACUGUUGCAGUUGGUCUCACUACCUCUUCAUUUUCUGGUAUAACCAACAGUUGAAUGGGAUAACUUGUGUACAUUCAGCUACUAUACAUGUGCUGAUGGUAUCAUCUUGCAUAUUUUAAUAAUUACUUUGUAUUUAUCAUUGAGUGCAACUAACAGUCGUAUCAUGUACAAUUAAAUCCUUUUUAUUUUUUUUGGUUUUAUACCAGUGUAUGUGGUUAAAUCUUUGGCUUGGUUAUGUAUUCAUCCAUGCAUGUUAAAGCUUUAAAUUUGUGUGUCAACUAUGGAAUAUGGUUGGAUAGGGUGAACUUGAUUCUGCUGUGAACUCGUGUUCUUUUUGUAAUGGGUAAUUGUAUUACACAUAAAAGUGUUAUUUCUUUUUGCCUCUGUCACCUUUUGAAGUUGGUGUGAUGCUGUGUCUGAUUUGUUCUUUUCCACUCAUCUAUCUUAAAUCUUUUUACCUCUAAUUUCACUUUAAUUCUCAAUUUUUAUGGUGGAAAGAAGUUGCUGUUCUUAGUGUGUAUGAUUGGUAUAAACCGAUGUACAUGUACAGAGGUACUUGUGGUUAUUGCAAGUAGAAUUUCGCUUUUAUUUAUUCCUGACGGUCGACACAAUUUACUCUUUGGGUGGACCUCUUUUUGUGUUAUUAAGAUAUAAAUGUUGAUGUUUUCAAUUUUCUUCAUCUGAUGAUGUGGCUAUGAAGUUGUUAUUCUAGCUGGUGUUUCUUAAGGUUCUUAAGGUUCUUCACAUUUCAAUCUUGGUAAAUGAUUUUGGAGUUUUGGUUUGUAUAUCAACUGAGGUUGUUAUUCUAGCUGGUGUAUUGGAAAUUAUGUUCAAUUUUUGUAUUAUUUUAUCCAGUCCUAUAUUACAAGUACAGGAAUUACAAUGCAAUUUUUUACUUUAAUAGCUGAGAUUGCACUGUGAUACCUGAUUUCUUCAUGGCUCGUUGAAUGAUGGUAAGAAUUCCACUUGUUGUCAACUCAUGUUUAUUGACAUUAUGAUCCCUUGUGCUAUGCAUCCAUAUUCAAGUCAGCCUGUCUGUUGACCCUUUUUUUUAUUCUUUCCCAAUCGAUGUAGUAUUUGUUGAUUUGUUUAAAUUCUUGUGAUAUUUUGUUUUGACUUAUUCAGAUCCCCGAGCAUGGGAUCCUCCUCGGAGCCCAACUUAGGAUGCAAGUAUAUAUCCCUUUCAUGAUCACAAACUUUUACUCUCUGAUGCAGGCUGUGCCGUAUCACUCCAGCUGUGACUCAAUCAUCACACUCUACCUUGUGUUCCAAACAAGUACCUCAUCCAUGCGUUUAAUGGUUUCAUGCUCUCGACACAUUUUUUUUAUUAUUAUUUCUCUUAAAAGCAUCCUACCAUGUGAUUAGCUAACCAUGCAGCUUUCACCCAAGUGCAUCAUCACCUCUCCAACAUAUUCCCCAGGCUUGGUUCUUAUUUUUGUGGAGUGUCCCACAUGUUCUUAGUAGUUAAACAUUUACAUGUCAAUUAAUUAUGGACAGAGAGCUUAGUUUUAGUCUUGUUUGAGUGCAGCUUUUUUCUUUUUGUAAAUAGCUAGAGAUUAGAGAUUAUUUGUUGUUAUUACUUGUUGAGUCCACCCACUUGCUUUUAUGCUUGCUAGAGAUACUAAGAGUUCCAUUGUGGACAGAUAAGCUUGCAGAUAAAUACUCUGGGCAGAUGAGAGGGAUAGAUACCUCCAAACCUUGUCUUUGUAAGUAUCCCAUUCCCAUACCUUGUGUUUAAUUAUAUCAUUUUCUUUUAUAUAGUUUUAGUCAAAGAUGAUAUAUAUUAUUAUCAUAAUCAACCUUUGGUAAUUUGUGUAUGGAUGUAAAUUUACUCAUAAAAUUAAUGCAGUCUUACUACAAUAUUCAAGUCUCUUGUGAGAUUUAUUUUCUUGGUGGAUCCCAACCCCCAACCGGGUUCCAUGUUUAUUUUGAAUUGCUUUUGCUUUAUACAUAACACAACAAAUAAAAGAAAGCAGAAACAGUUCUCGGAUUUGUGAAAUGGUUCAGGUCAUAUGUUUCAGAAACAAAAACGAGGCUUCUGUUUUCAGAAAUCAAAACAAGUUUUCCGUUUUUAGAAACAAAACAGCCCAAGAAGGCAAACUAGUCUGGCUGGCUCGGGAUAAGGAUAAGGGGAAGGACAGGACAAGAAAGCCGUUUCCGGACCCCAGAGAGAGACAGAGGGAGACCGACAGAGAGAGAGAGAGGGGGGGGGUUUGGGCGGAGUGAAGAGGGCUAUUCUUUUCUUCGCUUCGCUCGUUGUUGUUUCCUCCGCAGCCGAACUUGAAUUCCACGCUGUCGAACUCCACUUGCGUAUUUUUCUCGUUACUCUUCGUGCUUCCUCGUGUUCUGCUGCUCCUCUUCGAGACGCCGGUCACGGAUCACACGAGGACUCCGUAGUUCCCCGUAUCUCUCCCUUCCCCUUCCCCUUCCGCUUCCCUGCCAUCUCCUCCAUAAGGAGAGGAAAGCGGAGGAGGAAGAAGCGGAAGCAGCACCACGGCACUCCUCCGCUCACCGGUGAGCGGCGUGUUGUCGCUCGCCUGCAUCGCGUCCGCCAUCGAAUUCAGGUGCGAAAUUUCUUUAUUCCCCCUUCCCCGGUCGAGUCAAUUGGGAUCUGUUGUUGAGAGCUUGGAUGAAAUUUGGGCGUUCGUUUGUUGCUCUAGUCAACGACUCGGCGGAUUAGUUCCCAUUUUUACCAAAAGAUGGGUUUUUGGUGCUGCUAUUUGUUGUGGAUUUGAUUUAGAUUGAUGUGAUAAAAUUUAACCGCUCGCCCUCUUCUCCCCACAUCGUAGAUUGUACAUGAACCGUGUCAACGCAGCUAGAAAUAGAAGCUUUAGCAUCUGGGGUUCGUUUGACGAACACCCAUCUCGUGCAAGAAGAGAUUUUUCUGUAAUGUGUCGUUAAUAGCGGCGCGUUCAUCAUGAAUUUGCAGCCGGACAACCAACUUGGCUAUAUCUUGUUGACGUAUUAAACCACAUUUCAUUUUAGGUGAUUUGGCAAGGACAUGAACAGAAAUGUUCUGCACACCCAAUCUUUAGUAUGUGGUGUCUUUGUUCUUUAACUUUUAUCCUAUAAGAGGAGUUUCUCUGAUAGAAUCCUCAGCAUUGAAAGUAAGCUUUUAUGAUAAAGUAAGAAAUUUGUGUCCUUUCUUUCAGCCCUCCUCAGUUGUCUUAGAAUUUGCACCGCUUAUGAGUCCAAAAUUUGACCUGUUAUGCACCUUUGCACGUGCGAUCUUUCCCUCCACUAAGAAGGACAGUUGACUCAGACUCGAUGAGUUGAGAAAAGCAUGUGAAUGGUAGGUACUAGAGCAGUGGUGGAAAGUCAGAUCAUAGAAUACUGGUUGUUCUAACUAAUAGUAAUGUGAUAGACGUAUCAACUUCAUUGCAAACUGAGGGCAGUUGUUAUUUUUUGUUUUAUCACCGGACAGAAUAGCAAGAUAAAUAAAUGUCUAUUAUUCCUCAGUCACAAAUAUCCAAAUUUUUAUGCCUAAUACUCCAUAGAUAGUUUGAAUUGUAUAGGAAUAAUGAUCAAUUUUAACGUGAAUUAUUUGUAAGGAAACCCUGCCCUCUCUGAUCCAUUUGAUAUGUAAUUUCUUUUCUGUCGAUCUGCCCUGCAACUUGUGCUUGAAUUCCUGUUGAAUUCGGUUGUUCAGCUAAUUCAGCAGCAUUGAUGCACUAUAUCAACUUUUACAAUGUGUCAUACUAUCUGAUGAAGCCAUCUGACCUAAGGAGUCAAUGGUGUUAUUUUUGUCUUUUGGUGCUCAUUUCUCUAGCUUUUAAUUUCAUUGUUAUUUAAAUCCUUGUGGUUUUUUUGUUAGUAACAAUUUGCUUUGAAUAAGAUGCUUUCACUUUAAUUAGAUAUAUAUUUCUAUGUCGGUCAACUUUUUGAUGCUUGAGAUGUUCAGUUAUUUGUUGGGCUUAGAGCAACUUACACUGUUUUUACCUCUUUUUGAGUAUCUUUUAUAAAUUUAGGUUUUCAUGAAGGCCCACUUGUCCUUUUGAAGAAAGUAAUUAUGAACUUUCUGAGCAAUGUGGAGCAGCUUUGAAUUGCAAGAAUCAGUCCGUCUUUGUGAUCUGAAAACACAUGGCAAAACCUGGAAAUAUGGGGCACAGGUUUGUAGCUUAACUGUUCUUUGGCUUCAAGUUCUUAUGGCAGAUGAAAGUUCUGAAAUUUGUUGAUCUGCGUUCAAUCUUCUAUUUGAUUUGAUGAUUGUUGUCACUUUCUGUUAUGGCUUGCAGUGGAUUUCUUAGGUAUCCAAAUGACUGUAUGAGAAUUAUUAUAAACAUAUUUGUUGGAGUCGUUAUAGGCUUUUUUAUUGGAGUUUCCUUUCCAACAGCUAAUAUGCCAAAGGUACACUUCUAUCUUUUGCUGAACAUACAUGUUCUGUUGCAGUAUUCAACAUAAGCAUUUUACCUGGUUAAUUUGGCAGCUCCACUUGGCUGGUAGCAUCACCACAUGCAUUGAGGACAAGAAUUCAGCCUUUGCAACCCAAGCAUUGCUGAAUCACACUUGGCCUUCUAUACAUAGUCACAACGGAAACAACUCAACAGUACAUUAUAAUGAUACCUCAAAGGUAUUUAUUUUAAAUAGUAUAUUAACUGUGAGAUAUACUUCAAAUUUCUUUUGUGGAUAAGUAAACUUUUUUGUCAAAUUCUCAGUAAUAUACACAGUAUUUAAUUGAUGGCAUGACCUCUGUCAAUAUUGAACUUGUUCAAAAUAAUCAAAACAUGUCAGGAAAAUCAGAAAAAGAAUGAAAAGAUCUACUAAAUUCUAAAAAAUAUAUAUUUUUUAAUUAUUUUGCCUUAUGCAGUUUCUUGAUUUAUGUUGAAACCUGAAUAGGUAGGAUGAUCUAGGAUAGUUUCAGCAAUAACUGUGUAAUUUUUAUGAUGGUCUUCUAUAUUUCUUUGUUUUUUUAUGUUACAGCUGUGGUAGCAUCAAAUUUUGGUUCCUAAGGCAUUUGUGCAAUAAUUAAAAUUUGUGCUUCUUUUUUAACAUAGGUAACUGUUCCUUGGUUCCUAAAUAGGAACAUCAAUAAAAGUAAAUGAGCCUAGAACGAAGUCUUGAAAGUAAAGUUUUGUUCCAGUCAAUUUCAUCAUAAAGGACCCUUCUGUAACUUCAGAUGUCAUAUCCUAACCCUAACAGUCUUCAAAUGAAUAAUUUAAAUUAUAGUGCAUCCACGAAAGUGUCAAAAUUUAUCUGUUUCAAUGAAGAUGCUUUGGUUUAAGUAAUCUGUUUCAUAGUCUUUCUUAAAACAAUCCAAUGGGAUGUGUAUCAGAUUGAGAAGAUUGGUACUUCAAUUUUCCUGUACUGAUGACCAUAUCCUUACCAGAUUUUUUAAAUGGUCUAGAUCUACGUUCCUAAAAAUCCCCGAGGUGCAGAAAGGCUCCCACCAAAUAUCAUCGUAUCCAAGUCAGAUCUUUAUCCACGAAGGUUGUGGGGGAAUCCAAGUGAGGUAAGUGCUAUUGUUAUUUUUCACUUGAAUAUUGGUAUUGCUUUAUGUUGUUAUUGUGUGAUAUUUUAUAUGCAUCUUGGAUUAUUUGAAUGAAAACUUUAUAUUACUGACUGUAGUUGCUGAUAGUAUGCUUGGCAGGAUAGAUAUAUCUUUCCAAUUGGACACAAUCGUUGCACUAAACAUAUUCAAAUCUCAAAUCUGUUUUGCAUUAUUUCAUUUUAGUAAGAACUAAAUUUUCAGUUUCUUUCUUUUUCAUUUGUAAGAUGGGCUAAUAUUUGUAUAUAUUGGCUACCUUACAUAUACAUGAGAUUGAGAAUACCAUAAACCCCUUUAUUUCAUUAUAACACUAGUUUCGCCCAAGCUAUCUCAUUGUUCAUGAACUUCUGGAUAUGUAUGCAUGAGACUGACUAAUUAGCAUUGUUGUCAUAUAAAGCCAAUUACAAUUCUGCAAUUGGGUAUUCCGUAUGUAAUUUCUGUGAUGUGCUAUGCAAGUUUGGAGGGUUUUUUUUUUGUUGUUGCAAGUUUGGAGUUGCAGUGGCUCUUUAGAUCAAUAGAGAAACACUGACAGUGUAAUAUGUUUAAACUUUAUUGUGAAUAUUUUUUCCAUUUAUGCAUAAUCCACAAAGCACUGAUAUUUUGUGAUCUCUUCAUAGAUUGUCUGUAUAAAUGCUGAACCUAAUAACACUGCACUUUUGCUGAUCAUGUAAGUAAUUUACUCACUUUUGCUGAUCAGCUUAGUUGUAGGUAAUUUACUCACUAGCUGGAGAAGUGCAUUGGUUUAGUUUUCAUAAAUGAUUGAUGCUAGAUAACUGUCUUACUACCUAGCAAAGAACUUUGCAUGAUGAAAGCAACCAACCGAGAAAAACCAAUGGAUCAUUCUACUUCUGUUCCUUUUAUGCUUAACGCGUUCAUUUUUUUUUCUGUUUCUGCUAAGGAAACAUAUGGUUGAUGUUCAGGAUUUUCAGAUACAGCAGAAGUACCUAGUAACUUUCACAGUUGGAUAUGACCAGAAAAACAACAUCGAUGCAGCAGUUAAAAAGGUUAGUGGAGGAGCACCUAAAGUGAUCCCUUUUUGAACUGCUAGCCUAAUGACUCUAGGUAGUGAGUGCUGUCAAGCUGAUGUAGCUUGUUCUGAGUGACGCUUCUUCCCCUCUUUCUGAAUCUUGGUCUUUCAAUCAAAAACUUCAGUUCAGAUUGCCACACCCAUGCGACAUAGUACACUCCACCACCCACUCUGAGGACUUGGCUUAAAUUAAUCUUUUUAUGCCACAUUUCUUUUCCAUAACUAAACCCACUUCAGGUAUAAUUUGAAUGUAUUUUAUGGUCAGCAUAUGUUGAAAUAUGAUUUUGUGCAUCUUCAUAUCUGAUGCUAAAUAGUUCGCCAAAGGAGAUAUAGAAUUUCAUAUGCUCCUUAAGUUUUUAAGAACCUUCAGAUAUUGGCAUUUGAACUAUGCAACAAACCUAUUAAAAGGAUGUUCCUGAGAUCAUGCAGAGGAAGUCUAGCUUAUAGUCUUACAUAAUAAAAGUACUUGUGAUUCUUUUUUACAGAGUCUUGAUAGUAUAAUGCAUCUCUUAGGCACUGACAUGCAAAUUAUUACUACGUUUCAAGUUUGCAUCUGACUUGUGAGAAAUUUGAUGUUGUAGUUCUCGGAAAAUUUUACAAUCAUGUUGUUCCAUUAUGAUGGACGGACAAGUGAGUGGGAUGAAUUUGAAUGGUCAAAGCGGGCUAUUCAUGUUAGUGCCAGAAAACAAACUAAAUGGUGAGUGAAGAAUUUCAAAUCUUCUUACACAGAGUUGCAGCACGGGUGACAAUUGAAUUAUUUAGACAUUCUGAUUCUCCUGUUUGAUUCAAGGUGGUUCGCAAAACGGUUUUUGCACCCCGACAUUGUGGAUUCAUAUGAGUUCAUAUUCAUUUGGGAUGAAGAUCUAGGAGUCGAGCAUUUUGAUGCCGAAGAGUAAGUGUGCCUUUCCCUGCUUGAGUAUGCAUGUUAAAUUUUUGAUGCACCUGUAAAUUAGAAAUUGGUUUGCCGCUGCAGAUACAUUAAGCUGGUAAAGAAACAUGGGCUGGAGAUUUCACAACCUGGCCUACAGCCUAGUAAAGACUUAACAUGGCUAAUGACGAUGCGGAGAGAGGGAAGCGAAGUCCAUAAGUGAGUUCUCAUUCGAUUCAAUUGAUCUAUUUUAUCCACUCUUGUUUCCUUUCAUUAGAAUACCACCACAUUUUAUUAGACCGGCAUAAAGAGUUACAUGAAUAUGAAUUCUUGCCUUCCCAAAAGAUUCAUAUUGACAUUAUGGUUGGUUUUCGACAGAGAAACAAAGGAGAAACAUGGCCGGUGUUCCGACCCUCAUCUUCCACCCUGUGCUGCGUACGAAGCCAUACUUGUCUCAUUUCUACCACUUUAUAGUCACUCAAGACUUGUUUCUCAUCCCUUGUAUAGGUUCGUCGAGAUAAUGGCGACUGUGUUCUCCCGAGAUGCCUGGCGUUGUGCAUGGCAUAUGAUUCAGGUAUUUUCAUCUCUUUUCCUUCUCUCUCUCUCUUCAUUCCUUCAUAUGCAACUUCGAACGCCAUUAUCAUCAAUGCAGAACGACUUGGUUCACGGAUGGGGUCUUGAUUUUGCUCUUCGGAGAUGCGUGGAGGUACUUCGUCGACAACCGGACCUUUUCGUGCUGCAUUUUGAUACUCCAGUUUAAUUUCUUUCGCAACUCCGAUCCAGGGGGCUCACGAGAGAAUUGGAGUCGUGGAUUCGCAAUGGAUCGUUCACCAAGGGAUUCCUACGCUUGGUAACCAGGUAGGCAGAUGAGUCGAUAAUGAGCAGCAGCACUAUGUUUCUCUGUGCUCUAACUUCCUCUUUCCAUGUCAUCACAGGGACAGAAACAGAAUGGAAAACAACCAUGGAAGGGGGUACGGAAUAUAUUGCUUGCUUGCUUGCUUGUUCACGUCUUUUGAUCUCCUUAUACUGAUGCUAAGAAACUUGUGUCGCCGUCACCUCCGGCAGGUACAGGAUCGGUGUAGAAAAGAGUGGAAAAUGUUCCAAGAUCGGAUGGCCGACGCUGAGAAGGCAUACAUAUCGAAGAGAUGGUGAUGAAGCCACCAAUCUGUAGAACACGGUGACUCCGAACGUGAUCGAUUCGACAGGUAUCACCAAUCGAUAUAAAUUAUGUACUCUCGAUGGUAAGAGGAAAAGAACCUGCUUUGGAUUAUAAUCUUAAAAUGGAGAUACAACUCCUUUGUGGCCAUGUAAAUUUUGAUGCUGUUCUGGUAUCAGUCCAUCUGAUAACGAAGCCGCAAGAGACCUAGCUAGGGCUUGCCCAGAUCGGUAGCUCCAUUAGAGACUUCGCCAAGCUCCCUUCUUUCUCCCUGCACAACGACUCCCACGUACGCGCGCGCCUUCGCUAGCUUUCCGAUGACCGCCUCUUGCGCUUCCACCUGCAACACGUAAACCCUGUUUUUGUUAAAGCCCUACCGAACCCUGGUUUCUUUCCACGUCGUCGACGACUGCCCGCUGGGUAUCCACCCCCGGCGGCGGCGGCGGCGAUGGGGUGGAGCAAGUCGGGCGAGAGGCGGUCCCACUGCGCCAGCUCCCGCCGGUACCGAUCUCUCAGGUCGUGGAGGCAGCGCCUCAGUUCCGCCUCUGGGUCCGCUGGCUGCCGGCCGAUCCUGCUCCGCCUGCGGCGGCGCUUGUAGACGAAGCCCCCGUCUUUGCUUCUGUCCCAUCGUCUUCGUGUAGCUGUCUCAUUCACCUUCUUCUCUUUUCUCGUUUCAUAUUUUGGCUCCUCUUCUCUUCUCAUCUCUCCCCUUCGAUGCUUGGUCAUAAGAGGACGAAAACAGUGGGACCUAAGUGGCGAGGUAAAGGCGGCCACAUGAAAAUGACACGACAGGAACAUUUAGAGUCUGAAAAUUGAGAUUUUUUUUUUUGAGGAAAUCGCCCUACUUUUAAUCUAAUUAAAAAUAUAUUUUUUUUCAUAGGUCGAAUAGAGGUGAUGGAGAUGGAGAAUUAAUUGGUCGAAGAUAAGUUUACCUUCGCAAUGAUUUGGACUUUUCUUGUUGGUUAGUAUAGAUUGGGACAUGUCCCCAGACACAUGUCUCGCCGGACGCGGAACUUGCCGCGUCUGGGCCUGUCCACCUGUCCUCUUGCUGGUGCACCACCACUUCAUCUCCGCGGCACCGCCACCUGGCUUUCCUUGUCUGCUUUGAGCGAAGGAUUUCCCCGUCGUAGUCACUGUUCCUCCCCCGUUGACAGUGGGAGGAGAAGAGAUGCGUGCAUGUGUAAGCUUCCCACCAACUUCUUCCUCCAUAUCAGGUGGUGGUACCACGCGGAAUUCAUCCACCCCACUAUAAUAAACACACGAUUGCCGAGGUUGCAUGUCAGCAGUGGGGUGAGGAGGAGGGAGAAGGUGGGAGAGAGAUGGGGUUACACAGCCUGCCGAGCGCCGCCGAGGCCUUCUUUCCCUUCGCGCUGCUGGCUUACGCUUUGCUCCCGGUGGCGCUGCUGGUGGACGGGGUCAGAUGGGCGGUGGUUCGAAUGAUCGGAUUAGUCGGUGGCGGUGAUGGGGAAGAGGAGCGCAUGCCAGACGUCGGAGCACGCGUCGUGGUGUGGAGGCACGAGGGUGGCGUCGACGACGGAGAGUGCUGCGUGUGCCUCCAUGGCUUCGAGGCGGCGGCGGAGGUGAGCCAGGUGGCGGCAUGCAGGCACUUCUUCCACAGAGAGUGCUUGGAGAGGUGGCUGUCUCACCUGUACGCCACCUGCCCCCUCUGCAGAUCCAUGGUGUAAGCAUCGUGUUGCUGCAGCGAUUGCUUCCUCUUUUGCAUUUGGAUCAGCGGUUGUAUUGGAUUAUGUGAUUCGGAGAUGUCGCCAUGGAUGGAUACUGCAGAAUCCAUGCAACCAUGUUGCAGUGUGUUCAUGUAUCAAUUAGAAUCACCAUAAACUAGUAUUAGUACGUAGUUUGUACAUGAGAACAGGGGAUUCUACUACUACUUGUCAUCAAUAUCUAAUUUUGAUUUCCUUGUUUUUACCGAAGAUUGAUGUCUUCUUUGAUCGAAGAGAGACCUUUUCUUGUGAUAUAUUGCAGGCUAAUAAUUCGAACAAAUUCCCUUCUACCAGCUGUCAUUGUCUGGCUGUGUCUCUCACAGUCUCAAAGUCGACAGAGGCACAUCACGACACAGUUUCCUUCCGAUGAGGAAAUGGAAUUAGGAAAACAUCAAGUAAUAUUAAUCCCAUUCGAUUAGCCUUAACUUAAUGAAGUUUUUGAGAUUUGAUCCUAAGAAUUAUUAUGAACUUAUUAAGAUUUUAUCUGAAUAAAAACUUGCAGAAGCUUUAGACACACAUCAAGAUUUAUUUUAGAGUCCAAAAUCUUGCAGGAUUCCAAGGUUUUGAGUUGUACAGGCGCAAGUAUUUGUUGCAGUGGCUUUACAGGAGGAAGGCAUACGGAGGAAAAGGGUCAGAGGGGGAGGGACCGGAGGCGGUGGGACGUGCAGUUGCUGCAUCCAUCUGGCCAUCGUUUGGACCCAUUCGCAUUGAGAAGGUAGAGCUUCGUACUCGUCUGUCGAUGGUGACCGGCGCUUUUGGUCCUUUCUGCUGCUACGGCCAAAUGCAAUUAAAGAAGGAAGACGACAUGUAUGGAUCCUUCUUAUGCAUGUCCCACCUAUACGUCUGUGCCUUUGGACAUUGAGAAUUCUUAGGUUCACGAUUAGCAGUUAACCAAUCCCAACUUUAGUUCACUACUUUUCUGCUGGAGGUGGGGAAUUUGCCAUGAAACUUCUCGUGGGUUGCUCUCUAUGUGGUUGCUAUCGAAGCCACUCUUUUUCAUGCUUCAAUUCCUUAUAUCUUAUUCCUCCAUCGUACUAACAUCGUUAUUGAUGAGUUAUUUUCGUUGUGUUUGGUCAUUGCACGAUAGGUGUUCGAUAAAAUGAAUAUAUUGUUUAUUUGUUCAUGUCUUAAACAUUGCUAGUCCCAUUUUGAUUAAGUUUUAUUAUUGUUUUUGACUUAUAAUCAUCGUUGUUAUACGAAUACCGUGCAAAAAUCAAAUUACACAAUUACGGCACCUCCAACCCGUAACUCAAUGUGAUUUUCUAGAACUAAGAUGCGAUCCAACCAUCUAAGCUUCAUAGAACUUUCAAAUGACAAAGGGUUAAAUGGGGUUCUGAUUAGUGUCCCGGGUUAGAUUGUCUCUUGGUAUCAAAAUAGUAUUAUAUGGGUACUUAUGCACGAUGAUUUUGUAUAUAUGAUGGGCUGUCCUGAACUCUUUAUUGGAUAACUAUUUAGAACUUAUCAAGUACUUUCUUUUUUUAAUUUUGUAACACUCACACAUUGUUUGUUUGUGAGAUUCCGAUUAUGUUUUAACGAAGCAAUGGCAACAUUUUGUUCAUACAUUUGCUCGUUCAUUUACUAUUACUUAUUGAUUAACUCAUUUCUUUUUCUUUUUGAGUCCUAUGGGAUUACAUGAGAUUACAAGGAGAUUGGCUCUUUUCAAAUGGAUAUCGGAAGGGGUGUGAUAUAAUAUGCACAAAUAAUGCUUGCAAAAACAAAUAAAAUUAAAAUGUCUCAAUCUGAUUUGUCCACUGCAAUCUGAUCUGGUUGGCUAUAUGGUUGUUUCAGGGGUUUGAAGGCCAAUUAAUCUUCUGCAAAUGUGUUCACAAUGGUGCAUUUCUACUUGUGGCCCAUCAAAAUACAUUGGAGUUGGCAUCCUCACUGAGAAGUCUGUGGGCUCAGUUUGCAUGUUUGUGCAGAAAUAGGAAUGUAGAUGAGGUAAAUUGUUGUUUACAUAGAGAAUUAAAAUGAUUCACCCCUUAAUAAUAUAUGCCUAGAAUCCCAUGUAGCCCAUUAAUUGUUGAUUUCAGCAGGCCAAUUAAUCUUCUGCAGAUGUGUGCCAUUACUUGAUACAUUUCUAGUUGGUGGCUCAUCAAAUAACAUGGAGUUGGCAUCUUCACUGAGAAGGUUCAACACAGGUGUCACAGGUAUCUCUUAAUGGUGUCUGUGGGUUCAGUUGGCUUAUUUGUGGAGGAAUAAGAAUGAAAAAAAAGGUAAAUUGUUUUCUUUAGAUCCACCAGUACUAUGCCUAUAAUCCAUUAUUGUUGGUUUAGGUUUGCUUGCUGGAUUAAUAUUUAUGCUGAAAAAAAAUAAUGUGUUUUCUCCAAAAGAAAAUUAAUAAUAAAAGAGUUGCCCACAUGUUGCUUGGAGAAAUGUGGCACAGAAAUUUUCUUUUUUUCAUUUUUUUAAAAUCUCACAAACAUCAAGCUUGUAUAUUUCAUAGAUUAUAUAUUACUAAAAUAUAUUUCAUUGUUUGAACUUUUUUUAAAAAAAAUUGUGAGAAAUCUGAAAUAAAAACUCCCUGUUUUCCAUAAUUUCAGUAGCAGUAAUCAGGUAUAUUUUGAGAUCUUUAUGUACUGCAGGGUUUUUAUUGUCUGAUGAAUCUUAUCUCUUCUGCAGUGUCAAAAGGGAAGUUGUGAUCUUAAACUUGUUCUUGCCAAGGUAAGGAUUGAUGAUAUGUUUGCAGAAAAGAUAGCAUAUCUUCUUAUUUCUUGGCCUAAAUCGAGGAAAAUUGAAUUCUAAAUGGAAAUCUCUUUGGGCAAAGACAAACCACCAAAAAAAUACAACAUUCCAUGUCAUGUAGACAAUAAAGUCAACUCCUAAUGACAACUUUUGUUGAUGCAAGCAACUAAGAGUGGCCAAAAGUCUAUCAUAUUUACUUAUGAGAAAAAUCCAUUGGUUCCUAAAUGCCUGGCUACAGGAUCAGUAUGAUGUCUUGUGCAAGAGGAGAAGCUGGCCCUUCUUUACUGUUGUUCUUGUUCUUCAUGUUUCUUAGGACAAGAAACAAAAAAGAACAAGCUCAAUUAAAAAUCUCUAUUUUUCUUUUGUUUUUUUGUCUCUGUCUUUGAAACAAGCAUGAUGGUAAUGACUUGAUGUCAAACAAGAAAUUAGGUUUUCCCUUGAGGAGCAGAUAAAAUCUCAAACUCAAGAGUCUGUCAUCAUUUCUUGUUUUCUAUUGAUAUUUUUAAGAAGCAGAUCAUUUUGACUCUCAAAAUCAUUCAUAGAUAAUAAAAAGCAAUGUCAGCAAACAUGAUCUCCUCUUGUAUCUUAAGAAGCUUUCAGAUCACACCUUAACCAGAUACUACAACUUCCAUGUUCCAGUUGUGUUCUGUGCUUGACAUCAUCACAGCUACAAAAGCAGAACUUGGAACUCUUGAGCUCAUAGACUUUGGCAGUUUGCUGUGAAACCUUAAAGGUUGACAAAGCAUUAUUUAAUCCUAUCUGUUCCCUAAGCUUGAGUGAAUGAAUACUUAAAAAGCCAGUUGGCCUAUGCCUUUCUUCAGACAACUCAUAUUAGAUUUGCUGGAGCUAGUUAGGUUGAUUACCUGAAAUCAAGACAGUCAACUACCAUCCUUUCAAGUGGCCCAAAGGUUAGGUUUUGUGGUCCAACAGACAAAACAUGUAGUAGCACUUCAGCAUAUUUUAAUUACCAUAAAAUAACUUGCAUAUUGAGGUCAUCCAAAUUUAUGUUUCUUGGCAACUACAAUGACAUCAUUACUGAAACUGGGAUGCUUCCAUGGAAUGAGCUAAUAGUAUCAUUGACUGAAUUCAUUCUGCUUCUUUAGAUUAUAUAUUGAUUUGCAUACCUCCUUCCUAUUCUAUAGAAAGCCAAAACCUCAAUGAGCUUGGGAAAUCUCAAGCUCAGCUUGUGUACUGUCUAAAUGACCUUCAUGCAGCCAAACAUUGUCUGCAUCAGUGUCUUCUUGGGACUGAGACUUGGCAUUGGAGGUUGGACAACUCUGAUAUCUUGAACAUUACCAAGCUUUGAUCUCUCAUGCUUAGCUGCAAAGAGCAGGUGAAGUUUUCCACUGCUAGCAAGCAAACAAUGCAUGCAGCACAUACUCUCCCUAAGACUGCAUCAGUAAAGUGAGCAGAAUUGGAUGGAGGCAAAGCUGAGUUAGGUUUGAAUACGCAACAAAUCAUUAAACUAGUCCGAGGAAAGUGCCACCACUUGCUGUCAUGAGUCUUCUGAUCCCUCCCUGUGCAGGGUUUUGUUUCUGCUGGUAAUUGGAGUGAGGAGAGUGAGGUGAUGAUCCUAAUCUGCCAUGAACAGUGUGGCUGGUGAGGAACACCAGCUUGGGCCAGUUGUCAUGAACCCUCCCUCAUGUGCUUUUCGAGUCUUUCCAUCACUGUCAAGCAUGGCCAGGAGCAGAUGGGUUUUGGGUGAGAGCAGCCGAAGGACCACCACCAUGGCUUCCAUAUUGUUCAUCUGACAUAGACCAGUUUUUCCUUUCUUAAAUGACAAAAAAGAAAAGGGAAACACUAGUCGGGGGAAGAAGAAAAGAGUAGGUUUAAUCCAAGACAUGCACCAAGAAGAGAACAUUCUGCAGCUAGAAAACAAAGUCCAUGAUGAGAAUCACAGGAACCAAAGCCUAUGAGCAUGACAACCACCUUCCUCACAAUUUCUAGGGCAAACAAGGCUAUUUCUUUAUGAUCUGAUGCAUUUUAAAGUCUAUUGGUGGGUGGGACACUCGUGUGAAAGACUCACUCUAUAAUUAAUCAAUGGCUCUUUAAAGUUCGUGCAGUUUGUUUGAUUUGAUCUCAUCCCUUUUGUUUUCUAGGGUCAUGAGAUGCUUGUGAAAGCAAAAAUGCUAGGAAGAAGAUGUGGUAGGGGUGUUGCAUUAAAGUGAAUGCUCUGCCGUCCAUCACCACCAAUGGUGGAGAAGACAGCCACUUUGGGGUGGCAAUCGAGGCCACCAAUUCGGCACCCGUGAGCCGUCCAUGAUCGAUGUAGCCUCACCCAUACAUCUUGAAAGAGAAGAGAAGUACUGCACUGCAAAAACAACAUCCACCAACCAAUAAUUAUCCGAUGAGAUAUAGUGCAGAGGGAAAUGGCACACCACAGGCAAGUGUAUGAUUCAUUUAAUUUCCAUGCUCUUCGACCACAAAAGUUGUGAAUGCGUUUAGUGUCUUUAAAACGCAUAGUUAUCGUAUUCGGACAUGAACAAAGGAUAUAGUCAUCAAAUUCGGAUGAGAUUGAUUGAUUAGAUCGAAAAUAAAAAUAAAUUGUUGAUUGAAAAUUUAUCGUACAACGAACCCAAUCAGUCGAUUAUUUCAUGAAUGAGAAUAAAUGGUUGAAAUAAUCUCGAUGUUGUUAUCCUCAUAUUAGUAGUAUUUACUUUGGAAUAAGAUGGGAGUGUAUAGAAUAGAGAGACGAGAGAUCUUUGCUAGUUGAUAUUUAAUGUGUCAAGUCUCAAGAAAGGACGAUGAAUGUUAACCCUAUUAGGAUUGAAGUGGCCAUGACAAUAACAAUGACACAACUCGGUGUCAUCAUCUUCCUCUUUCUCCGUUGGGUGACGGAGUUGGAAGGAAACAUUAAAGACAUGACGUGAGCUUAUCCACGAAGACUUUUGCCAUCAUAUGUGUGCAUGCAGUCGCUUGAUACAACAGCAACACCGAGUGGCCGAAGGAAGAAGACAAGGUGAGACAGCAAGCGAGUUGAAGUCUCGUGGAUGAGAGAGAGAGAGACAUGGAGCUCUUACUCUUCCACUCACCUUCUUUUACUCCGAAGACUAUCUAAGGCUGUGCUGGGUCAAAAUAUUCUUCCGCGUCACCACCACCAGCAACGAAGCCAUCCAAGUGCAAUACGAGCCACUGAAGGUGCUCUUGGAACCACCUCUACGUUUAUCGACGCGCAAGAGAAGAGGAAGAAGAGGAGAAAGAAAGAUGCAAGUAGUGGAGAAGUCUACUGAUGGAAUCCAAGUCAAUCGAGCAUAGAAAUGUCUGGUUCAUUAAUUUGCAAGAGUUGUAAUUGGUGCAACUGUUGGUGUCGAAUAGUCUUUCAUUUUAUUUUAUUUUAUUUUAUUUUAUUUUAUUUUAUUUUUGGUCUAAAUCACGUAGCACUCAUCUAUGAAUCUUUCAACUCGUAUGUUAUUUCUGACUUUUAUAUCAAUAUAACUGCAUUAUAUUUCUGACUAUAUUUUUUUUUUGCAUGUAAAUCUCAUAUCCUCUUAAGCAGUCUAUUUAUUUUUUCAUGAAUUCUCAUCUUUUUUUUGGAAUAUCAUAUAAAUAUACUCAUCUAGAAUAAUAAUGUUAGUUUCACCACACUAUUACGUCAUAACAAUUCAAAUUGAUAUGUGCAAAAUAUUUAAUUGAUUGUAACUGAUUAAAAAAACAUUUUUUAAUAUCAAAUGGUAUAUAUGAUACUCAAACCGAUACCUAAAUAUGAGACAAGAAUAUAUUAAUCAAUUUAGAUAUUUUAUUAUAAAUUCUUAUGAUAAAAUAAAAAUAAAAAAUAAUUAUAAAUAUUAGGAUCGUAUAAGUAAAUAAAAAUUAAAUAAUAAUAAUAAUAAUAAUCAAACAGCGUCGCAAUGCAUGCGACGAGCCACAUUGGUGGAUUCGUCUCGGGCAGAUCCAAGCAAUUCUUUCGAGGAGGAGACACGUAGCAGAGAGAGAGAGAGAGAGAGAGAGACAGAGAGAGAGACGAAGGCCGGUCUUGGAACGUGAGCCAGAGUGUGUCUCCCCGCCGCGCCGCCCAUGGAACCCUCGCUCGCCAACACGAACAAAACACCGCCUUUACCGACACACCCUCUCUCUCCCCGGGCCAUAUCCGCGCCGCAUGCUCACCUCACUGGUAUAUACUUCGUCCUUCGACCCAUCCCACAUUCCGGUCUCUCUCCCCUGCUCGAGGAAGCAACAGUUGGGAAUAGCACUCGCAAACUGCUUCCUUUAUGCUUAAUCUUUUCGGUCGUACUCCUUUCUCCAUUAAAGAAGGGUUUUUUUCCUGCGUUUCCUAUGGGGAUGGAUGAGCGAAUUUUGAAUGGGAGGCGGAGGUGCGCUGGGCAUUAUCUGUAAAUAUUAGGGUGGGGGGGGGAGAAAUGGGCGCUAUAUCUGUCAUCAAAUGCAACAUCAAAGACACAACAACAUUACAGCGAGACAAAACAACAAACCAACGAGGGAGAAGAGAGAGAAGGGCGAGGCGAGGAUAGAGAGGGGGCGGAGAUAGAAGAGAAAGAGAAAGAGAACGGCUAUUAUAAGGCGGUUUCUUUGGGAUUAAGACCAUAAGUUUUACUUGAAGAAGAAAAAGAAGAAGAAGCAGCAGCAAGGGCUGAAGAUCUCAGCAGCGAUAGUAGGGCAGGGGAGGGGCGGAGGAGAGGACGGCCGGAUGUCGCUGCGCUCCAGCGAUCGGCUGUGAUCUGAUCCGCGCCGCGCCUGGAAGAAUUCCAACCCCUUUCGAGGAAAAAAGAAGCGAUCUUUUUCGUUAUGCCGGAAGCGGGUUACUAUUGUUCUAAGAAGACGGACGACAUCUGCGAGGACGUCUGCGGCGAGGUGAUUCACCUUUUUCUAUCCCUCGUUUCAGAUCUAAUUGUGUUGCUUGUUUGUUUUCUGUUCGGGUUUCAAGUAUGGAACCUUGGUUCUUUCUUCUAUGAUUGCCGCUUUCAAACCCUACAUGAUGGUGGAUUCUCUCAUUUGUUCUUGGAAUGAGAACAAGUCUCGGCUUUGGAGAUUUGAACCGCAAGAACUCCCAUUUCCCCAAUCUGUUGGGUUCGAUUUCACCCGUCUGAUCGUUUGAUUUCUGUUGCAGCAGACGUCGAGGGCAGCGCUGAGCAUGUCGCGGCUGCGGUGCGCUCUCCGGGGGUUCGAUCUCAAGGCAUUCCUGCUGCUCUUCAUGGGCGUCCCCGUCCUCAUCUUCAUCAUCUACCUCCAUGGCCAGAAGAUUACCUACUUCCUCCGCCCCAUCUGGGAGUCCCCUCCCAAGCCCUUCCGCACCAUCCCCCACUACUACCACCCUAACAUCUCCAUGGAGCGCCUCUGCCGGCUCCACGGCUGGGGCAUGCGUGAUACCCCCCGUCGGGUCUUCGAUGCCGUUCUGUUCAGCAACGAGCUCGACAUGCUCGAGAUCCGGUGGCACGAACUCAGCCCUUACGUCUCAGAGUUCGUCCUCCUCGAGUCCAAUUCCACCUUCACUGGGCUGUGGAAACCCCUCGUCUUUGCUGGCAACCGGAGCCGCUUCAAGUUCGUGGAAUCGCGGCUGACCUAUGGCACCAUCGGGGGGAGGUUUGUCACGGGGGAGAAUCCGUUCGUUGAGGAAUCAUACCAGCGAGUGGCAUUGGAUCAACUUAUUAGGUUUGCAGGCGUUGAAGAUGAUGACUUGUUGAUCAUGUCCGAUGUCGACGAGAUCCCAAGUGGCCAUACGAUCGACCUCCUGAGAUGGUGCGAUGAGAUUCCCGAGAAGCUUCAUCUCCAGCUCCGGAAUUAUCUCUACUCCUUUGAGUUUUACCUUGAUGACAAAAGCUGGAGGGCUUCGGUUCACAGGUACCAAGCAGGGAAGACCAGAUAUGCUCAUUUCCGGCAGACCAAUGAUCUAUUUGCUGAUUCAGGGUGGCACUGCAGCUUCUGCUUCCGUCAUAUAAGCCAAUUCAUAUUCAAGAUGAAGGCAUAUAGCCAUGUCGAUCGGGUGAGAUUUGCCUACUACUUGAAUCCUUCGAGGAUUCAAGAUGUGAUCUGCCGAGGAGCAGACCUGUUUGACAUGCUUCCGGAAGAGUAUACAUUCCAAGAGAUCAUUGCCAAGUUGGGGCCGAUACCUAGUUCGUAUUCUGCUGUUCACCUUCCUAGUUAUAUACUUCAGAAUGUUGACCGGCAUCGAUACCUCUUGCCUGGGAACUGCAAGCGAGAAAGUGGGUGAGUUCUAUUGGUGGCAUCGUAGGUUGCUUGCAAAUUCUACGAGAGUGUUGCUGAGAAUUUGAUGACCGUACAACUAUGAUGAAGAUGAGUAUCUGACAUGGUUGGAUGAUUCUUCUGGGACAAAGGACAAGCAUCAACAUUUUCUUGCGCUUAUCUCUGCAAUAUCAUUUGGAGCUGAUCAUAUCUGUACAAGUUUUCCUGAUGCCACCAUUUAUUUUUGAGGGAGAUCAGUGAAUUUAACUACCAUGGGAGGUUGUUCACCCCUUCUUACCUUAUUGGUAUGUGACAUGACACCGGUUGUUGUAGAAUGGAAACUGAGUGAUGUAUCCUAAAUUUUAUUUAUGGGAUCUUGUUUUCCUUCAAAAACUGAUUUAUCGAUGUAUUCUUCUUCAACUUCCCUGGAAAAUCUAGACCUCAUCAUUGUACCAUGUGGUUUGUUUCACUCACUUCACUUGGUGAUGCCUGUGGAAUUGUGGAAGAUGUCCUUUGGAAUUCCAUAUGGUUUAUGCUCAUGAUUUGGACUUGUGUCACAACCAAGAUCGUGGCUCCAUGCACAAUUAGAAAUGCAGGUGCAGGAACCUGCAAGGCAAGUUCUUAAGCAAAUCAAUAGUCUCUGGGAUAUAUUCCAUGACCUUUUGACCACAGUGACUAGAUAACCAGUCCACGAAAAUUUCUUAAUACUUUUGCAGGUUAUUAUUUAUGUUAAACUGCAUCCAGAGAUCUGAAAAUACAUGGCAAUGGACAUUUUAUAAAUUGUUUUCUUUCCAGUUUAUUUCAUGAAACUGUAUCUCUAGGCACUUUUUUUCCUGAUGGGCCAUGUGUCAUGCACACAUGAUAUUCCACAACAAGAACACCAGAAGCUAUUGCUGCUGUGGUCCACCACAUGGAUCCUCGCAUAUCAUUUAGCAUCUUCAGGCGUCGCACUCUCUAUCAGCCACAUAUUUAUGAUGUCUUUAGCAUUGCUUUUAGUGAAGUCCUGUGUUUUGUGACUUUUGCCAUUAGAAUUGACUCAUUCUUAUGCAAGUCCACUUCUUUGGACAAUAGAAGUGCAUUCUGUUGUAUGCUCAAUUCUUUGAUGUGAACUGCUUGUUGGCAUCCAAGCAUUUUAAUUUUUUACAUUCUUGCUCAGUUACUCACAAUUUCGUCCAAUUUCCAUCUAAAUUUCUCAUCUUGAGGUAUUAUAAUUUGCAUAUUUUCCUAUGUGUAGAUUGUUCUUUUGCUGCAUUGAGGAAGGAAAUUCUUUCCUGCUGAGGCUUCUAUUUUUUUGUUCCUGUGUAAAGCGAUUGAUGCUGGCGUGACUGCAGCAAACAAGGCCAUUCUAUUUAUACUCUUGUCUUGUUUGCAAACUAUUUGUUCAUGUCAUAGCUCAUAAAAGGCCUCUGAGAUUCUUCAUUUCUCACUUCUUUCACCUCUGCUGUUGUAGUUUAGCAGAUGAAUAUAUGGAGAUUAGAUGCAGCGAUUAAACAUACAAGUGAUCCUUUAUGUCAGCUGCAGGCAAUCUGAGGUAAUAAUUGACAUUUCCAAUUUAGAGAUCUAGAGUUCAAUUUGAGUAGUCUGCUUAAAUAUGCUUCCAGAUUGGUUUUCUAGUUGAAACUACUUUUAACUAGAUGCAUAAAUGUGUAAAUUCCAGCUGUAAAAGUCUUGGGUGAAAUAUAGAAUCUAACAAAAUGCCUGAGUUACAGAUUAGGGCUGUCUUUGAGCCUUGAUUACUUUCUUUAUCUAAUAAUACAUCAUUAUUUACAUACUAUGGUUAUGGUGACUGAUUCCUUUUAUACAACUAGCGACAAAUAUGAUUCAAACUUUGCAACUCCUCUUUUCCGAGCAAUGGGUGGGCUUUGCAGCUAAUAUACACUUAAAAAAGUGUUAUUUGCCAUAGCUUACUGAAAACAUCUAAUGGUUGUGAAAGGUUGUCUUAGAAGUAGAUAACCAAAAAAUCCAUACUUACUGUUUUCUUUCCUGUGCCUUUCUCAUAUUUAUUGCUGAUCAUUUACAUUUUCUUAUCUUUUCUCAAUGAUGGAAUUGGAAUCAUAUCACCUUCUAUGGUUAAUAUAAAAGGAAUUGCAUGAAACUCUAAUUUGUAUGGUUUAUUUCAGUCUUUGUGAUGUGCAUGUUGUUGUUUGUCUAGCAGUCUGUCCUUAUUUUUGAUGUCGUAGUCGCAAAGCUACUUCUUUUCUUCGAAAACAUCCGAUUGGCUAACUUGUUUUCUCGAGUAUUUGCAGGAUUUUAAAAUGAUCAGAGUUGGGCCAUUUGGUGUUUUAUAAGAUAUUUAGAAGACUUGACCUUUGUGUUUCCAAAAGAUCUGCACUUGGAAAGUUGUGGACACUAAUUCUCUGUGCAGGUAUCAUCUUUCCAAGUCAAGCAGGUCAAGCAAGUUCAGUAUCAACAGGUAAUCGGAUGGGAUGCUCAUCCUGUGAAGCUUGUGCUUUCUCUCUUGUUGAUGCCUAAAUGUCUAGAAAUGUUCCAGCAAAUGUCCCUUGGCAUCAACAAGAAAUCCAAAGAACAAACAUGCCGAAUUGGUUAGCUAUCUAACUUUCUUCAAUAUGAGUUGAGUAUGGACCGGUGAAACCCAGGAAUAAAUCUUCCUGAUAACUACGAAUCUUAGGGAAAUGGGUUAGGCAUGCAUGAAACCCAUCCAGAGUGUUUGCUUUGGCAUAUUGUUGCAGAAACAGACGGCUUUGGUUAGAUUCCAACAUGCACUGUCGAUGGAGGUAGCACUACAUGGGGCCGAAGAAGAAAGAGAAAGGCGAGGAUCACACGGUUGCUGGAAACUGAUUCCUUCUUGAAAGGUAAACUUUUCCUGUGUUCUUGUGUUCUUCAUUUGGGUUUGUGCUUCACGGACAUGUUCUCCCUCUGCAUCUGCUGCACUACCAGUCCUGUCUACUUUACUAGGCUUUGGCUGCCUUGCAUCGACCAUGCAAUGGCAGCGUCUGUGUUUGAAUGCUUGCUCUUCUUAGUACAACUCGGUGGGGCUUAAGGCUUGAUCAAUGGCCUGCCGCCGCGAUGUCUAGGCCUUUUAGCCAUCGUUUCUUUCUUCUCGAGGAAUGAAACGAGGAAUGAAACGAUGGCUUUAGCCCACUUCCGAUGUAGGACUAAAUCAGACCGUAAUUGCUUGUUCAUUCUAAUAUGAUAGUUUUACGAUACAAAGGCCAGGCCCCAUAACGAAAGAUGAUUACGGGUUGGGCUUUCGAAGGUCUCCACCAGUUACUAGGGUUCUUCUUGUUAAGUGGAUCUGCAGAGACAAGGAAGCCCACUGCCUCCUAUUCGAUCUUAUAUACUGUUCACAUGCAUCCGCAGCACAUCUGCGUGACACAAUCUGCUCCGGCAAAUCUUGACUGCUACCCGUCACCAAGAUGUGCAUUUACUUGUUACCAAGAUGAACAGUUCGACAAGUGCAACGAUCACCGAUUCAAAUCUGUAUGUCUUUGCAAACGGUGAUCCCACUUAUUUUUGGCUGCUUGUUGCAGAGGACGUCUCCAUUGAAAGCUCAGUUGUAACACACCGAUCAUGCAAGUAAGCUUUUGGCAAUCUUCUUUUCCCUAUGGUAGAAUAAGAAAAAGGUCUUCUCACUCUUUAAACCUCAUAUGGUGAAUGCGCUAGACAUUGGGAUGUCAUGUCACUAGCACAGCCUGACACUCGAUCUUGGACCCAUCAAGCUGAGGAACACGACGACAUUAGUCGUAAUUCAAGUGAUACCUCGACGAUCUUGCAAAAUUCUCGUUUAACCCAAUAGUUAUUGUAGUUCGCUUAUAUAUAUAUAUAAAGUUUCAAUUACGUUAACUCAAAUGGAUAUUUUUUGAAUCCUUCGAAUCAUUUAUUAUAUUUUGGACCCAUUAACAUUAAGAUCAGAGGGGGGUUUUUGUAGUGCGAGAAGUUCUCGAUUUAGUUUUUGUAGGAUCGAACUCACUCGUACAUUUAAGAUUGAUUCGAUUGGCUGACGCAUCGAACAAUAAGAUUGCGUUGUAGUAAAAUACUAAAGAUAUUAAAUAUCAAGACUUAACAUGUAACAGAUGAUGUCUACGUGAUACGGUUGGCUGUUGUCUCCUUCUACAACCUGUUGUCUUGGAGCUGGAGACGCCGGAAACAGGAGGCGUCGAAGGAUGCAGAUUGUGAUGAGAUCUCCCUCAUUAGCGUCGUAGUCUGCGAUUAAUCGUCCUCCAUGUGGAUGGUGGAGGAGAAGAGGCCGAAAACUGCGGUAGCUGCCGUUGGGCCUUCAGACACGUGAAGUGUGUCCCAUUUGUCCGCUCCGAUGGCGGCCAUGAUCCAUCCCACGCCCGCAUGCUGAGUGAGGCCGACCGAUGAAAGGAGCAUGGUGAGGCAUGCUCAACCACAGCCAUGGCUUUCCUUCGCAUGGCGGUGGCCAAAGAGAAAGAGGGAUCUCAUGGGUCCAGGUUUGAACUUUUGGCAGUGGUGUGAGAUGGAAGGAGUUGGAGGUGCCGGCCGUCGAGAUGUUGUCGGAGUGCUGUCUCAUCCUCUGCGUCCCAUGUCAAUGGGGUUUGACACUGAGGGCGACUUGCCACUGAAACAAAUGCGUGAUUGCCUCGAUGGUGAGGGAGGUGGGGCCUGUAAGAGUUGAAGGUACUUGUUAAUGGCUGCUUGCAUGGACUUGGUGAUGAGCCAUCAUGAUGGUCAAAUGUAUAUCAUAUGUAGGUCAACUAUAUAUAUAUAUAUAUAUAUAUAUAUAUAUAUAUAUAUAUAUAUAUAUAUAUAUAUAUAUAUAUAUAUAUAUAUAUAUAUAUGAUAAUUUUUUGAAAUUUUUUUUAAAAAUUCUCAUAAAAUAUUUAUUUUUUUUCGUAAAAGAUGAUUUUACCCCUAUAUCCUUCAUCCUUGAUCCUCUCCACAUGUGGAUUCCUAGGCGAUGAGGGUCAUCUUCGUCAAAGAAAGCGAAGACCUCGGAUCCAUCAUUGAUCGCCUGUGAGCACUUGAAUGAUGGGAUCAUCUUUAUUGUCUUAUCGAAGAAGGAGGGAGGCCUCCAAAGAAGGCAAAGGUUUUGGACCUAUCUAAAUCCAUUGUUAUCCAUCGUUGGGUCUCCUCCUCCAUCAUCUCCCUCAUUGCCCAAGACCUUAUGCGUGGAGGUGAUGAGCGACGAAGAUAGCGUAAGUAAAAUAAUCUUUUAUGAAAAAAAAUAUAUAUUACAUGAUUUAUUUUUUUUAAAUAUGGGUGAUUUACAAGAAUUUUUCUAAACUAAAGCCUUUUUCAAAAAAUUAUUAUAUAUAUAUGUAAUGCAUAUAUAUUUGUUGUUUUCUGAAGGAAGCUUAAUGAAAAGAUUGAAUGCACAUCACCGGUCAGCAGAAGCCACACCAGCCUUCAAUAUGAACAUAAUUAUUGCUUGGCAAAAGAAGGCCAAACAUUGUUUUCCUUCACCCAAAGUGGAGAAGCUUUAAGGAAAGCAGCUCACCUUCACAUGCUGUGAUUCCCUGCCAUCCAUGGAAGGAAGGAAGGAUGGAGCAACUUCUCGAAUAAUUUCGAUGCUUUUCUUGACCCAGCCAUUCCAUCAGAAGCUGUCCAUCGCCUUCGCCCACCUCAUCCCGUCUCUCUCUCCAAUCUCCUCUCGGCUUUCCCUGUGCUUUGCCGUAGGGUUUCCGCUGUGCGUGCGUGUGUGUUGUCUGAGGACCCACGAGCUGCCUCCUCGCAGUUAGGUCCCGUCAUGUAGUGCAGUCAUGGCGGUGUCUGCUAAAGACAACGCCAUCAACCCCCCCUCGCAUUUAUGCGCGCUGCAGUACGUGAUACCACAUGAUAUUAGGGUGAGGGGGGAAGGGGGAAGGGAAGGACGCAAACGACAACCGCAGUUGGCUUUGACGUUGGACUGUCAUACCUAAUAGAACACCGAAAGCCACGGGAUCGAGUGGUCACUUGCCAUGCAUCUCUCCCAACGCAUGCUGUACUGUGGGAGGUGAGUGUGCCAGCUCCGUGUGGUGGAGGCGGCCGGCGACCGGAUCUGGGAAAUGGGGCCGGCCACGAGGGGUGUGAAGUGGAUGUGUGACGAGGAUUAUGACAGUGGCAAGCAACUCGUGGAUUUGGAUGUUGGAAGUGUUUGCCGAGCUGCAUCCUUGUUUUGGAUCUUCUGAGAAGUGUUAAUUAUUUGAUCGGAUGAUUGCACACAGUUAAAUCUCUGGGUGGCAUUCAAGAUCAAGUCAUGGCACUCCCUCCAUGCAUGCAUGUGGUCUCUCUGUCGCUCUUCAUGCUGAUCACUGUCCAUCACCAUAGGGUGGGAUUUCCAAUUAGUCUACACGCUGAGGUUGGUCCACUCUCAUGGCUAAACCCCUGAUACACUUGGAAAAGAGGUGGCUUUUGCAGUGAGACAGUAAAAUGAUGAGUGACAAAGGCCUAAUAAAGGUGGCAUGAGUAGUAGAAAGAAGGUUUGGUGAGGUUGUUGAAUACAGGUUUUUUUCUUCUUCUUCUUCUUGUUUGUCCUCACUCUUUGUGAUCAACAAGAUAAGGUUUGGAGUCGCAUGCAAAGCACCUGGUACCAGCUUUUUGGUAAGAAAAAGAUAAUGAGGAGUGAGGUGUUGGGUUUUGAUUAGUGUGCAGUGAUCUUUAGGGUUUGAUUUGUGGAAGGUGGCAGGCCCGGAGAAGCCACUCGAGGAUGGUGAUGCUUGAGGUGGUCACUGGAGGAGGGGGAAGAGGAUGACCUUUUUGGAGGUGUGGGGAACAGUGUGUUGGCUGGUCGCUUGGGUGGCUAACACUGAUAGCAACACCCAGCAAUCCAUCAAAUACAAAUGUAGCUGCAUCAGUCCCCACAGCACCACUGGAUUUAUUGGCUGAAUUCAUGUCAGAUAUCAGCAUGACACAGCAAGAACACAUGAAGUUUCACCACAGCUUCAUGAUUGCAACUCUGAUUUCUUUUUCUCUUUUUUUUCUUUUUUGUUUGCUUAGUGAGAUUGCACAUAGGAAUGAGGUUGACAUGUCUCAUCCGGAACAACUACAUGUUCUCUGUUGUUUGGACUGAUGCAUAUGAUACAUUGCAAGUUGAGCAGCAAUACUUUUCUUAGAAUGUCCUAUGAUGGGUCUGGACCACCUUACUCCGUUUGCCAAUCACAGGUGUCCAUCAGCUUGAGAAGGUAAGCUGUUGUCUAAGAUAGGACGAUGGAGUUGCCUUCCAAGGAAUGGAAGUUGAUCUGCAGCCGGUAGGUAAUGUUGUCAAUAGGAUGGAAAGAUGAUCGAUCAGAUUGUAUCAAUACAUCUGAUCAUAUGUUCUUUUAAGUGAAUAUGAAUAGCUCGGUGCUUUGUUUUAUUUCAAUAUGUCAAAAACCAUCAAGUAGCUCCCAUGUUUGAUGCAUAAGAUGAAGAUGAGUAGGAUUACAAAGAUAAUCUCAUAAGUCAUUUGCAUUUCUCAAGCAAAGGAGGAGGUAGGCCCAUAACAAUGCAAAUUAAGUUAAUGAAAUAUAUCUACUAGAUCAAUCAUGAGAUCGUUUCCUUUCACAUUGAAGGAAAAGUCUUCUUAAUUCAACUAGGCAGGUGUAUUAGUGAGUAGGACGAGGGAGUGAUUGCGAGAGAGAGAGAGAGAGAGAGAGAGAGAGAGGUUUCAGCAGCAAGUCAUACAAACACAUCUGUUUACUAAACUUGGUGUAUAUGAUGGAUGCCCACAAAUGCACCAAAGUCACCGUGCCAAUCCGACAUUUGACUUGAGCGGCUGGGGUGAACAAGAUCCUUCUGAAGACCUCGAUGGCAUAUGCCAGAAAAACUGGUUCCAUAAUUCGAGGAAAAACUAGUUGAAGUAUGGUUGUAGCAGAUAUCACCAAGCAAUCUUUUCUACCGACAUCCGCAGGGGGGAGGUUUGACAAGAGUUCAUCCACAGUUCUCUUCAAAGAACUGCAUCACCUUAAGAUGGCAAACACAACAAGUAGUGGAGAGAAGAAACAAUUACGAUAAGAACGAUCUCUGUAUAAGCGAAUCACAUCUAAUUAAGCUUUUAUUUGACUAUGCCAUAAGGAGAGCCUCCAUCUUUUGGCCUUAAUCUACAUGUUCUUCCUUGGCUCACGGUGCACAGAGUGGGCAGCAAAAGCCAGCUCCUGUGGAGUGGCCUCAAGAAAGAGAACUCAGAGAUAAAUAUAGGACGUUUCAAUUACGAUUUCUCUGCAUGAAAUCGAUAGCGCAAGUUAUUUCGAUUAAUUCCUCUCGCUUGCACUUCUGUUCAUGGCCAGCAGUUUGCUGAUGAUCCUCUUUGGUUUCUUAGGAAGGGAGCACAAGGCUUUGAACCUCGAAGAAGCACUCCUCAUGAGCGCAUCGCGCGGAAUCAAGUCGUCGUCCAUGUCGUUGUCCUCCUCCUCCGCGAGCUUCGUCUUGAGCGUUGCGAGCUUCGUGGCGGGGCACUUCAAUCUGGAGAUGCUCCAGCCGUCUUCUAAUGGGGUAGCAGUGCCGAUGUGGUGAAGCUUGAGUGCGUCCCUGUCUUCCCCUCUUGCUGUGGUUUUAGCCAGCAGUGCCUUGAUGUUGCUGGGCAGCUCAGUCACCUGGCCGCCGGACAUGGCGGCUCGGGAAUGCUCGAAGAAGAGGACCUGCACGACCACCCUCAGAGGAAGUAGCUCGUUCUGCGCGGCGUGCAUGCAGGCUUCCACGGAGAGUUUCUUGCAAUCCAGGAUUCGACACAGUUGCUUCCUCGCGUUCUUGUCGAGCUCCGGGUGUACCUGAAGACGACCAAACCAAGUUUAGGAUCAUGACAACAGAGAUGAUGAAUCGCGAUGUUGCGCAAAGACCGGUUACCCUGAGGUAGAUGUCGAUGACUCUGUAGAGAUCAUCAUGGUCGAGCCUGGCAAAGUCUGGAACAGCUUCCGCGAUUGCAAUUAGCUUCUUCAUGGGCAAGUUCUCGUCUCUGGCAAUCUCUUGGAGGUAACCAUCAAUUAGCUUGGCCACUCUCAGCUUGGAGCUGUGGGAGGCGGAGGACGACCUGCGGCUGUUCUCCUGUACCUCGAAUUCCACGUUCUCGGAAGAUCGAGACCUCCUCCUCUCACAACGAAGCUUCUCUCUGGGUGGACUGGUUGCUGGGCUCUGUCCUUGAAGCAGGAACUCCUCCAACAUGGCCAUCACUAUAUCGACGUCAUACAGCGUACCACUCGAAUUUGAGUCGAGUGGAAUCAGAAGACCAUCAACCGAUGCCUCCUCCAGUUGCAGUCCGAUUCGCCUGGCCAAGUCCAUCUUCGAUGAUGUCGAAGCGUGGAGUAUGUUGGCGGCCUUGAGAAGCUUGAGCAGAAAACUACAUGAAACAGAGCCCUUUUCGGUGGGGAGUAAGCUCACUAUCUUCUCCAUUAGCAGCCUGUGCUUCACGGGGGCUUCUGUAGGAGACUCUGACAAGGAGUCAUCGGCUUCCAGUUCAUUCUGUUGGCCAUUUCUGGACAUAUUUGGCAGCCACCUGCGAGCGUAGAUCCGUAGUGCCUCCCCGAUGAGCUUGUUGGGAACGAUGCCGGCGGAUUUCACCGCCACCAUGACCCUCCAGUAGUGGUCUAUUCCUAGUUCACUGAUGUCCCCGGCCCACCAGUUCUUGGUCGCUGCCUUCCGGCUGUGGCUUGACGUGAUCGCCUGCGUCGGGCUGGCGAUAAUGGCAGUGGCAAUGGCAUCGAUGCAGCGGCCGGUGAUGCCCAGUUCUUCGCACAGAGGAGAAUAGUUCCUCGUGCUCUGCAGCGUCACCAGCGUGUCCUUCCAUCGGCGGAGGAUGCAAGACUUGAAGAAGAGCUCGAGCUUGCCGACGAGGUUCCCACGGUCAGCGUCGUCGCUCAUCUGGAGGUACUCGGCGGCGCAACGCACGGGCACGAUGUUGAGGGAGCUGAGAGUGAUGGUGAUGCCAUAGCAGAACUUUGCACAGACCUCGAAGGCCUCGGCGCCGCCGGGAAGGUCCGGAAGUAAGAUGACUGUGUGCUCGGAGGUAUCCUUCAGUGAAGAGCAGAGCUUCUGCAGGCGCAGGCAUUUAGACAGGAGGGGAAACUACAAACACAAACAACCAAACAAGGUAAGUGAAUUAGGAAGAGAUGAUGGAAGAGAAAAAGUAUCGAUUGCAAGAACUGCCAAAGUAUCAGAAACACUGAUGAAUUCUGCCAAAGUAUUAGAACAAGUAGAGGUCUACCUUGUGCAGCUGAUACAAGCUGUUAUGCACCUGGAUUUGGAGGUCAGUUGAGACUUCUGACGAAACAGACCUGCCAAUUAGAACACAAGAAAUAAGAAUUCAGAGUCUGAUGACAUAAAAAGCAUCAAAAACUGCUAAUAGUUUGCAUCUAUCACAUCGAAGUGUUAUAAACUACUCAUGCAAUCCAUUCAGAACAAGUUUCAAAAGCCUCACCUUAUGGCUUCCGUGGUGAAGAAGGUAUCUGGGCGGUUUCCAAGCUUCAUGAACUUCAUCUUUGGCAGCUUAGUACAUCACCUGAACCAGCAACUAAUGAAACACCACAGCCAGAUUCCUAUAUGCUUCCUCCCCUGAGAUGGAAGACAAGUUGAUUCAUCCACUCACACUCUUUGUUUCUCUGGGCAUUCUUCUUGGUGGCAAAUAGAGAUUUAAGAAGAGUGGUUGGGUGGAAAGCAAACAGGGGUCAGAAUCCAAGGAGCCUAGAGAAGAAUGGAAUGCUGUGGUAUUGCUGGGGUCUGGAGGAUUUUAUGGAGGGAAUUAAUAAAUGCAAAUGGUUGACAGGCAGGGGGAUCAACAGUGAUGCUCUAAGGAAAUAUGAAGCACAGCUUCAGUCUAUUUUGAAGAAAUCAAACAGUCAAGAUACUGUAAUUUGACCUGAGUCAAUUUUUAGGGUCUGUAUGGAUAAAUUGGAUGCAUGCGAAAGGAUAUGCAUCAUGGUCUGAAGUGCAACUAUCAUUUUCAAGCUUUUCUCCAGUGGAACGCUCCCAAAUUCAUGGGACUUGUAUUCUGCUAAGAAAUGGUCACCAGAUGUUGACUCGGAGAAUAUUAUCUGUGGUCACAAGUUACUCUGUCUUUUGACUUCUAACCUGAUGAUCCUCUUCCAUCUGCAUCUAGCAAUUAGAAGAGAAGAGACCCUCGGUUAUGUGGGGAGGGAGAGAAUGAUGAAGUGGUUUUUUGCUUUUGUUCUGCAAUAUGCCCAUGCUGCUCCCCUCUAGUGCAAGUUUCUAGUUUCAUAAAGAUGCCGAUAAUAUUGAAAUGCAUAGUCCUCAAAUAAAUAACAGGAGUAGUAGAACCUUGCCAUUAUAAGGCCGUCAUUGGUCCUUCCUUUGAUGUCUUUAGCUUUCUUCUCUCUUUCCAACUUGAACUGUAAAAGGAGAUUCAUAUUCUCGGAAUGAGAUCAGCAUGCUUGACAUGAUAAACGAUGACUAACAAAAUAAUCUAAUGAUUCUGUGGCUACUAAGCGGGUAAUUUUUUUGACUGACGCUUGAGAAAACCAGAUGAGAAGUAAGCUGCAGGAGCUCAUGCCAAUCUUGCCUGUCUGAAUGGCUGAAGUGUUAAAAAUCGGAGCCCGCACGGUUAACAUGGACAGCGUGACCCCACAAACCAUCAUUGCCAUGGAAAUUUCUUCUCAGCUUCCCACGAAGAACCAAGGCAAAAGGAGGGGCUCCUUCUGUGACCAUUUUCUACGCAACAGUGUACCUUUGUACCUCCUUUUUUUCUUCUGGCACUUAAGGGGGACAGCUGCUGUUAGUCGAGGUCUCUUCUCCCUUAAUCAAGCCCUGUUUAGAGGCCACAAAUGGUCCACAUUAGCUGAGGAGACGGGGAAGUAAACAAGAUCCGUAAACCAAGCAUAAUACCUGACUGUAACCACGAACCAACAAGACUGGUGACUCCGUAUCUGUGAUUUGGUAGCUGAUCGAUCACAUGCAUACUACAUGAAGCUUCAUAAAUUUGGAUUGGCCUCCGUCAGGAGGCUGCAGAGCCGGCAUGGUGUGUACCAACGUGCAGCAGGAACUUGAAUGCUAGGCCACUGGCCUCAUAAAUUGAGCUCAACGCAACAGUACUAACCUGCAUCACCCAGACCACAGCCAUAUCAAAUGUAUCAAUCUUCGAAGGAAGGAUCGACCUUUGAAUGGCUGGAUUCCAGGCUACAUGCUAAGACAGAUACAUCCCUUCUCAUUUAUUCGAUAGUCUCGGUAUCAGUUGAGACAAUUGAAAUAAUUAAUUACUCAGCUCUAAAACUGGGAACAAAAAACCUUUAAGCACCAAACUUUGAAGUAUGGAACUCAAAUUAAGCACGUUCAUUUGAAAAGCCAAAUAUGAGAAUAUAAUUAUCAAGUAGACUGAAGACCCUGCAAGUGGAUAUUUAUCAUCCUAUUUAAGAGCAAACUUAUAUAAUUUGAGUUUUUGUACACCAAAAGAAUUAAAGAAGCUUUUGACGGUAGAAACAUAUGUUUUCCACUCUAAAUUGUAAGUUCAAUAACUUGGAACUAAAAUAUAGACAUGCAUGAAGAGGAAGAUUGUAAACAAGGAAGAAAAAAAUAUCAGCCUUAAUAUUACAAAUUUCAGCGAUCACCCAUUUAUUAUGCAAUUCUGAACACCCAUGAAAGUUCACUUGCAAAAUCAAGCAGGUAGUGGCUCCUCCAGAACUGCAAUUUCAAAAAGCAUAUAUACAGUCAGUAAGGUAAUGAAACAGCUUCAAGAAUCAUGAUUUCUUUAUAUAUGUAGGGGCUUAAGGCUAAGCAGGCAAGAGAGAAACCUUUUGUUUUCCUUUGAGUUCCAGUUGAGAUGUCUUCAGCAGCACCAUCACUCAGAACUGGUGCACCAGAUGGUACAUCAGGAAGAUUGAGAAGUUCAUCCUCUUCCCUCUGAGCUUGAGACUCUGCUUCUGGCUGUACCUCAGGAGUCCUUUUAGUUUCUUGUGCAGAUGACACUGAUUGGGCAGGAACUGUUGGCAUGGAUUGAAGGGUAAUCUGCCAGUACGCUUAUAAUCAGCAGCAUACUUGCAAAUAACCUUAAAAAAAAGUGGGGAUAGGUUUGUUACAUUUCCAGAAGAGACACAAUCUCAACGACAUUACUACAACUUGAUUAAAAGUUGGUCACUGAUUUCAUUAAAAAGAAAUUUAACUACAAUUUAAUGCCGACUCUACCAUUGUGUCAAAAAGUCAAUUUGUUAUCUUGCUUGUUUAUCAAAGUUAAGCUACCACUUUUGGUCCCUCAAGCAGAAAAUGAAGGGGAAUUGUCAUGUUCGAUACCUGUUCUACUAAAUGAACUCUGACUUGAAUAAUUGAACAGAAUAAACAAAAAAUACAAGUAUUUCAUUACGAGCAAGCUUAAAACAACUUAUUGAAGAAAUUAAAAAAAACUUGCCUCAGUUUCCAAAUUCUCAAAUUCUGCCAAAACUUCCUCCUCGUCUUCAGCAGAUAGGCGAUCUCCCAAGAUUGCAUUCAUUUCCUUGAACAAGGGCAAAGAAGCAAUCAAUAACUUUAAAAGGAGAGUUAGCAAUAAAAAUCAAUUUUAGAUUGACAGAAUGGGAUUUUUGACAAAGAGAUCAGUCUAGCCUACUUAUCUACUAACAGAUGACAGUUCCCGAAGUUACAAAAAGGAAACAUAAAAGAAUUUUACAAAUUAUCACAAAGAAGAUAACAUAGUCCCAUAAUAGGAGAAGUUUAAAUUUCAGCAGGUGAACAAAAUUGGCAUGAUCAAGGCAAAAAAAGUUUUGUUUAAGCUCGUUUCUGCUUGAAGAAUUUUACAAUUUUUCAAUUUAUGAUGGGUCAAGAUUAUAUUCAACUUCAGUAAAUGUUUAAACUAAAUUUUGUAUUCCACCCUUGCUAUUCUAGUCCCAAUCUUUCGCAAUUCUAUAACUAAAUCUUGAGGAUGGCCACAGUAAUUUAGGACUUGAACAAUCUUACUAGCGGUGCUGUAAUGUGGAGUUAGUUUUUUUUAUCAAGAGAGACAGAGGUGGUUUAACAGCCUUGUCAGAACAUUAACAGGUGACCUUCCAGAAAGAUUCACCACAUGGAUAUCCAUCCAGGCCUGCCACGUGCUGAGAGAUUCCUGCUGAAGAAAUUAACAGCAAGUUUUUUAUGCAUGAGGAGCUUCUGUUGAAGAUCUAAAAGAGAAACUUAUGAAUCACAGACCUAACAGCUGUCUUAAGUCGAAAUUGAUCAUAACCCCUAGUAUAAAAAUCUGAUAAUCAACCUGUCGAAGCUGCUAAAUGCAGAGACAAAAGACUGAACCAAACUACUAAAUGAAAUAACUAACUCAAAUUGGAGGAAAUAACAUGGAAGAGAUACAGAAAUUUAAUGAGAUAACUAAUCCAAGAUACAGUUUUUUAGUAUUAAUUAGGAAGGUUUGAACUUCCACGAAGUAAAAUCCAGAAUUUCAUACAAACCCAUAUAGAAAAGCUACUACAAUUAUUAACAAACAAGGUCCUAAUAGCAAAUUAGGACUUUCAAAUUCCAAAUCACUAAUUUAUUAUUAAAAUAUCAUUCCUAACCAGCAAGGAAUUUGACCUUACAAUAAUCAGCAAUAUUUUGAAAAAAUAAAAUAAUAUGUAACAUCUCUAUAACCACUUCCCAACCCAUCCAUCUCCCUGAUCACCAACUAUCCCAUAUUUCCAUCUUUUUACAGCACUGACUAUUGCAAUUAAGCUCAUCAAUUCCCUUGGCAGUUUUUGGUUCUAGCCUAACUAUACCAAAGAAAUUGGGUUUAUGUUGAGCUUAAAGCACAUGUAAGAGUGUUUCUGUCAGUCUCAAAUAACUAAUUGACAUAUGACAUAAGUUUCACAACGCAACCUUGUAUCUGGUUAUUGUCAGCCAUUUACCAGCCUGAUUGCAUUAUUCUAUCUUAAAUGGAAGUUAAGUUGUAAAUGGUUUGUUUGCAAGCAGCAAUGAUUGAACGAAACCAAAAAAAAAGAUCAACUGAAGUCUCACUUCUUGAUAAGCCUUUGCCUCAGCAGAGUCGUCCAUCAGCUUUUGAACAUCUUCCAGACUAAUCUCAUUUUGAAUAGCUUUCAUUGCAUCACUUCCUGCCUUCAAGCUAUCAAAUACAGCUUUCUGCUUGCUCGCCAGUUCAAUAUCUGCCAACUAAAAGAAAAAUAUCACUGCCAGUAUCACACAACCCUUGGAGAAGAUAGCCAUACUUACAUCUCUGUUAGAGUACUUAAAAAUGAAAGAAUAUUGCAUGCAGAAUAAGAUGUACCACACUACUACUUUACAUACUUGUUGUUCGACGUUUAUAAGCCAAGCGUCAACUUUUUUCAAUAGCUCUUCUUGUGUUUUCUUCUUCUUAAGCGCAAUCAAUGCCCGAUCUUUCCUCUUCUCCCGAAUCAGAUCCCUUGCAGCUUGCUUUUCAGCUUCAAUCACGGCCUCAAGCUAAAAAGUAACAGAAAAGGCAGAAAUGAAACUCAUAAUCCAUGAAACAAUUAGACCCUUUUUCUUCAGAUAAGUCAAAAAAGGGACUUUCAUUCGGUACUUACCUUCAUGCUCACUGAAGAUUAACACAAAUUUAAAUACAAAGACCUGAUCAAAAGUUCACUGAAUACAAAGCAUUGUAUGGAGCUCUAGAGUAGUUUCAACCACGAACUCAAAUACUAGUUGUCACAAUGUGUUCUAACCGGUAUUCAUCGGUCAAACCAAGGACCACUAUCGGAUCAGUAUACUGCCUGAUGUACCAAAAUAUCAUACCGGUCCGGUGGAUGACAUUUACUGUCAGUAACAGACGGAGAGACUAUACCAACCAGUAUUUUACUGGGUUAACCAAGGACUAGUAUGAUGAUACCGAGCAUAUGGGUCAGUACAGCAGACCAAUAUGAUUGAUAGAAACCAGUAUCAUCCUGAGAUUUUAAUCCUUAGUUUCAACCAUAGCAGUAGGUUCACCCAUGAAGAAACAAUCCACAUUUUUGCUCAAGCAAGAGAAGUAUGUAAUUUAACCAAGAAUCAUAGAACAAUCCACAAUAUCAAUGCCUAUAUUUUGGGUUAUGUUCUUGUUUCCGGUAAUAGAACACAGUUGUUGGUUCUCCAAUUUGCAGUUGUCAUCUGUUCUCCCAUGUCUCUUAUUAUAUAGCCUGAAUGCCUAUUUUUGUAUCCUUUUUCUUACCGGUCCCAAAAGAAACCAGACGAGAAAAUGAAUUAGCUCCUAUAAUGAACAUGCAAAAUCUACAUAGUUCAUCAGAAAAGACUCAAGCAAGGACGCGAUAGAAUCAUCAACCAGACUCGCGCGAAGCGAGGAUGCCGACGACGAUCGACGUACUCUUCCUCGGUUGGAUCAGGAAACUCGUACAAAAAAAAGGGGAAAAUGACAGGAAAAAACCGCAGCUUCGGGGGCUAGGAGGGAGCCAACCUGCUCCUGGUACUGGGCGAGCUUGCGGCGCUGGGUCUUAAGGGAGAGGAUGGCGCGAUCCACCUCCGUAAUCUUGGGCUUCUUCACGAAUAUGUUCCCCAUCGACCUCCUCGUGCCACCGCUCGCCUCCCGAUCGAGGGAAGGAAGGCGCCGGCCGAGAUGCGACGUUACCUCUCGACGAGAAAGGGGGCGAAGAGGACGCAGAGAAAUAGGAGAGCCAAGCGGGGUUAGGGUUGGGACGAUCGGGGAGAAGGGUCGGCUUUGGGUCUCCGGUCGAAGGUGAUCUGUCUGUGUGUUUGCGGCCCGAGCGUUUAAGCAAACCGAGCCGAAGUUUUCGGUGGCAUGGGUUGGCGCCGCAGACCUGGCCAGAGGCGCCGGGAGGGUGGCCUAUGUGGUCUUGGUUCGGACUCUAGUUUGUUCGAACCACAGUAGGCCCCGAACGGGGUGGGGCGGGGUAGGGCGGAUAGCGCUUCCCGUCCCGUCCUAUUCCCCAUCCCACCAAAUUCCACAACGCGGGGGCGGGAAUUCCCGUCGCGGUAGAAAUUAUGUGGUUAUCCCUGUUCUUCUAAUUAAGUCAUUUUUUUAUUUUUAAAAAUAAAAUUAAUUAAUAAUAUCAAAUAUAUAAUAAAAUUUUCAUGCCAUAACAAUAUUCAAAUACAAAUAUAUCGAAAUAUAAAAAUAUGUUAAAUAAAACCACAAUCAAAUAAAUCUAAAUACAUCCAAAUAAAUCUAAAAAUUAAUAAUUUUCUAUAUUAGUCCUAGUUUUUCUAAUUUUCGUUCAUAUAUUUGUGUAACAUGAAUCCUGCAUAAAUAAAAAAUAUAUAAAGUGCCUAUUAUAAAAACUUAAAAAGAACUAUUGAUAAAAAAAGAGACAAAUGUCAAUUAGGAUUUUGAACUUUUAAUAAUUUUUUUAUUAUUUUAUUUAUUUUUAUAUAUUUUUUAAUCUAUUAAAAUUAAUAUAUUAUUAGUUUAGUCAUUAAUUAAAAAUGUUAGAGUUAAUGUAUUUUUAUGUUUAUAUUUUUUUUAUUAAUUAAUAUAUAUAAUAUAAUAAUAUAAUAAUAUAAUUGGAGCGAGGAGUACUCUAUCCUUCUCUACUCUAUAACCAUGCUCAUAAUAAAAAAUAUCUUAUAUCUUCAUUUAUUCCUUCAUAGUCAACAAUAAUAGAUGGUCCCAUAGAACAUUGUACUUACAAGCAUAGUUGACAUCUUUAUUCAGAAAGACUCGACUCACUAUAGUUUCUAAAUAUCAAAUAAGUAGUUAAGAAAUUAUAAUUUGGAGAGGUACAUUAAUAUUUAAAAUAAGAAAGAAAUUAGAAAAUUAUAUUAUUGAUAGAAAGAUCAAUAAAAUAUAUAUUUAUUUAGGUUAAUAAUAACUAACCUUGUAUAUUUGAGAUAUUUGUAUCAAUUGUGUUGACUUCAAAUGAGUCGAGUGAUAUUGUCAUACAAACAAAAUUCUUAAGUAUAUCGCGGAUUACUAUUUACUCUUAAUAAAUUUGACACUUUACUAAGUUCUUGAAAUUAUUUAUCAACUCAAGCAAUCUUUAUACUCCUUAAAUUAUUUUACAAUAUCUCAUAAUAAUUAUUUAGUGCUCUCGAUAUCGAAUCUAUUUAUGAUAGACUCGAUGAAGAACCAUAAUUAGAUUCAAAUAAUUCUUCAUGUUAGAUAAUCAAAUUUUAUGUUAACAAUUAUAAAAUAUGAAAUUCUUUUUAUUCAAUAAAUUAACUAGAAAAUUUUAAUGAUCAUGUUGAUGGGAGGAAUACAUCUAUGUCAUUUUGUCAAAGCAGGCGAUUUGUUUGGAAUUUGAUGUAAUUCAUUUGUAUUAUGGUGAUUACAGCUUGUGACAAAUGGAAAGAUUCUGAAAAAUAAAUUCUGAUGAUGAGAUUCGGAUGUGCAUGUGUUAGAUCUCUUAUGAAACUUAAUUAGAAUUGUCUUAUUUAAAUAGUGACUUUAACAUUUAGUAAAUAAAUUUGUGUCCAUGUAACUUGGAUGAUCAUAUUGUAAAAUAUACGAAUAAUAUCUCAAGUUAUUCCGUCUCUGCAGUUGCUAAAAUUCAAUUGCAUUUGAUUGCGUCAUACAUAUAUUAGAGAUCCAUGACAAAGUAUGAUGUCGUAAUUACAUAUUAAUUGCGUCAUACAAAAAGGAGAAACAUCGUUUAUGAGUUCUUAUAUUUGCUUUCAUAUCAAAUGCUUUAAGUACAUUAAAUUAUAUGCGACAUUGACACAUAAACACACAGUUUUUAUUUAUUUUAAGAAAAGAUAAAGUACAAAGUGACAAGUAAACAUGUAAACACCAUGUCAGUUUUUAUUUAUAUUUAUUAGGAACGCCAUAGGCGGACAUUCUUCGUGUCAUGCAUUAAGCUUCGGUGACGGCGACGUCUCGUGAUCAUGCGAUGGCACUGAGAUGGAGGUCGUCGUAGUAAACGACGUAGACGUCGUAGGCGACGACGAGCUUCGCGACUGAGGCCGUCACCGUCUCGGUCACCAGCUUCCCCCAAGCGUACUGGAACACCCCCGUCCCUCCCACGAUGGCCCGCUCCGACUUCCCGGACGCGUCCAGUCUCCCGAUCACCGUGAGAGUGCUGUUGACGAACUUCCCCGCCGUGAACACCAGCACCAGCGGUACCAGCAUCACCUCCUCCCGCAUUGAUACGUGGAAGCCCGCGCCCUGCACCCUUCCGAGGAAGGUGGAGCUUUCGUCGGGGCCGACCCUCAGCACGGUGUCGUAGAUCUCGAUGUUCCCGAAGGUGUAGGGGAGGCUCAUGUUCACCACGGUGACGGUGGUGUUGUCGGGACCGAUAAAGGUCUCGUGGAAGUAGACGCGGAAGUGGAUUCUCUUCUGGAUGCCGAGUUCGAACUCGGAGGUGACCGGGAAGGCCGUGGCAGCAGCCUGGAGGAGGAAGAAGACGAGGAGGAAGUAGAGAUGAGUGGAGCUGUGUGGGGAUGAAGCCAUGGCUAGGAUGACACAAGGAUCGAAGUGAGGUGGGUACAACGCUGGAUCAGGAACAUGUGUUUAUAGAGUAAUGUCUGCGCCAUGCGUCGUUGACAAAUACCAACUUUCAUAAACAUGUAAACACCAUGCCACACGGAGAUGGAAGAUGGAAGAUGGAAGUAAUAUAGAUAAUCUUGAGCAAUGAAGAUGGAUAACUGAGAGAUCGAUGAUAGUUGCAAGCAGUGGCCAAUGAGGAUAGUGUUGCGUCUUCUGCUAGUGUCAACUGGCCACAUGUAACUCAUGAAUUUGUCUUUUUCUUAACCAACCACAUCGUUCGAUGAUAGUUGCAAACGUUGACAUAAUGCAUGUCAACGUUUCCAUGUGAAUAACACCCACAUAAUCCUUCACCUAUCAAAGGUGUGAUCGGUUGACAAAGUUCAUCAUUAUUAUGUAAGGUACAUUUAUAUUAGAGGAUCGUCAAAUGCCAGUGCAUGUCAUGGUACUUUUCAAUGUGCAUAAUUGACACAAACUGUGUGGAAUCUCUCCCUCUUACUUGCCCCUUCACACAAUGCAUUUCUUUAUCAACAUAUGUUUGCUUCACCUGAGUCAACUGUUCAUGUGAUCCACACUAAAGCCUCCGUCGGUUCAGCAAAAUCGGCUAAUUGUCGUUACUUAAUGUUGAAAAUUGAUAACAAGUCUUUGUAAGACUAUCAAUUAAGAAUUUUGCACAUUUAGUCUCAAGUUGAUUAGAGAUUUAAAGAGUCAAUAGCUAAUGAAGAAUCAAAUAUCUUGAAAGGCAAAGAACCGGUCCUACUUAACAAUUUAUUAACAUUAAAAGAGCUCAAGAUUAAUGUUUUUUUUUAUUGAGGUAAAUAAUUUGUGAAAAAUAAGAGUAUUAUUUUAGACAAAAUAAGUAGUAAAAAAGAGGAUCAAAUUGAUUAACGAAACGUGGCAUGUCCACGAAUCUUAAAGCAUCAGAUUGCAUCAGUAACUAGCGACCACCAAAGCAGUCUCCACGGUGAGAAGGGGGAAAUGACGAUGUGAAGAAUCGCAGAGGCGGCUCUCCUCUUUGUCCUCCUCGGUGGCAACGAGCGCGAUUUGGUGAUCAAGGUCCGAUCACUUACGAUCCCUUCUCGUCCAAUUUUCCCAAUCUUGGUUAGAGUUUUAAUUUGAUGGAGUGCUUGACGCCGUCUUGUAGUUUUGAUGUCAAUUUCUUGGUGCGAUCUACUGUUCGAUCAGAAUCUUUGAUGGGUCCUAGCCGAUGAUCAUGCAACCUAGUUGCUCUAUGAUCAACGAAAACGAAACCUAAUAUUAUAGUUUCUUUUUCCUCUCAGUUUAGAUUCACUUCUUCCCCUUGAUCACGCAAGUAGUCGAAGCUUAACUGCAGGAAUUGUUCGAGUUUUUUUCACGUAUUUGAGCUUUUUGUGUCGUAACCUACUACGUUUUCUUGAUUUUAGACUGAACUAGGCUUUGCACUUGGUUGCUAUAUAUGCAUUCAAGAUAAUACUCUUGCCAUCAAAUCAUUGAAUUAUGUGGGGAUUAUUCAUCGAACAGAUUCCCUUUAAGUCGCAUAGUCUUUUGUUCCUUUCCCUGGUUCUGUUGCUUGUUGCAUAUCUUAAGUACAUUACUGUUUCCUAUGUCUGCAUCUCAUGUAUUUCACGUUAUCCAAGCAAGAAAUUUGUCAGAUGUGCAUGAUGUUCAACCAAUUGAUCUAAUAAACGCCAACUUUAUCUACACAUCAAUUGAAAGAAAAGAACAUCUUAUCAUUAUUCCAGUUUCACAGCUAGAAAGUAGUGAUGCAUCUGAAACUGUAGCUGUAUGUGAAAAUUUCGGCAAGUCAGGUAAAAGAAGUAAGUAUUAAGAAGGAAAUGUAUUGGUACCCCUUCCAAUAAGGAGAUAAUAGUUAAACAAGUUGCUAUCGAUUAAACUUAUGGGUCAUAUAAUUUAGACCUUUUUAGGUCUCGUCUACAUUGUUAGUUGUUAUCAAGGAAGUAACUAGCAAUUUAUUGUGAUUCAUGAAUUCCUUUGCAUAGGAUGGAUUUAAUAAUGUUGCAUGAGUAAGGCUUUCUGCAUUAUGGCAUGGCUCAUGUUGAUAAUAUGCGGGCACAUAAAAACUACUGUAAGGGUCUACUUACAGAACCUUAUAGGAAGAUGUUUUGGAUAAUGGCUACAUGCAAUUAGUGGUGUUAAGGAAGGGACCUAUUUUUGGGUUGAUUACAUUGUAACAUUGCAGUGCCUUUAAAUUAGUAAGCUGCAAUAUAGAGAUUAAUAAGGGAACGUUGUGUACUCUUCUGAACCAAAUGAUGUUGUAUUUCUUCUUAUUUGGAGGUUUCAAGUUUCUUGAUUGAGUUUCAUUUUGUUGUAGUCUUUAUCUAAAUUUGACUCUUAAAAACCUCGAGUAAUUUAGUGAAUGUUGUUGGAUAAUGCUUCAAUCAUAGUUGGUGUGUUGCCAUCUAUAAUUAACUCCAGAUGACUAGAAGACGGGAGGAACUAAAAGACAAUCAAGUAAAAUGUUGGUAAACAAAACUUAAUAGGUACAAAGGCAUUUUAGUUUUUAGGUUGUUCAUUUAGUUGAUGUCACAUGGAAUAUCAUGUCCACAUCCACAAACUAUGUUUGUUUGUAGAGAGUACCUGUGCCAUUUAUUAGAUUCUACCCAACUAUCAUGUGACAAUAACAAUAUAAAAGGUUGAUUUUUUUAAUAUAUAGCGUCCUCAGAUUUGUCCAAUGAUGCAACUCAAAUUAGAUGAUUUUUGGCGACUUGAAACUUCAAAUACGUCUGCUUGAGUACCAUGGGUGCCAGCAGCAUUAUCUAGGCCAGUUUCACAUCAAUUUUAAGAGUAGCUGGAUGAUGAUAAAUUAAACCAUAUCAUCAAGACUCCUGCUUCUGUGUAUUGUAGUUUUAUUGAUCCUGAUCUUCCAUUAGAAUUUUAAGACUCAUGCAUGCGAAUACAUCAGAACGUCCUUUAAUUGAUGAAUUCUUUACCUCUGUCUUGACGAGCAGUUUCACCAGGAAUCAAACUAAUGGUGCAUGGCCUGAAGAAUGUAUGGGGAUCAAUGCGUGCAGUAGUUUCCACAGCAUGUGAGUUUAUGGUACUAACAUCAAAAGGAGCCGCUGAUGAGAAUAUUGUAGAGCAAAGACUGCUCAAGGAGCUGUGCAAACAUGGCUUUUAAUAAAAUUGACUUGGAUAGGGAGUUUUCUUGGGCUAAAAGAUUAUGACCUGUAGCAGUCCAUGGAUGAGCUUUUUGGUUGUGUAUGAUGAAUAGAUUUUUGCCUUGAGAGCAGAGCUUCAGGUUCUCGUUAGCCUGUAACUCCUUGCUUCUUUUAUCACAUGCUUUAGUGAUCCUCGAUGCCUGCAAGAUUACUGAAACUAAUAUUUGAGAUUGGUAGCCCAAUUUUUUCUCUCUCCAGUGGGUAGUUCAUUUGGUACCCUAUGGACUCGGUAUCUUUCCUUGCUUAUCCCGUAGCAGCAGCGGAAAUUUUGGUAGGAGAAGCUUUAGAUUGACUUUGUUUUCUCCAGUUUGUGGUACAAAUAUCAUUAUCUGAUGUGGUGUCUCUUGAGAUUGAUGUGGCAGGUUCUAAAUCUUACCAGGUAUUAAAGGAUUGUGGAUGUUACUUUUUCUUCUUUUUGAUUCCGUUGAAAUCUUUUGGUAGGUUGUAACUCACAGACGGAGAUUGAGCCGCAGCAAAUUGACUUGAAGAGCAUCAUCAUGGCAGCAACUGGGCUUGGACUUGUUUGAGGGAAGGUCACUUGGACUGGUAUGCUACUUAGCCCAAUCCAAUUGUUUGGUUACCGCAAAGCUCACUGGUUCAACAGAGAUGCAUACUAUUUCACGAGGGAUUACCUUGUUUAACUUUUGCUCCUAAGCCAUACAACACCAACGCUAACAGCUGAAGAAGAAUAUUUGGGAGUCUCAAUUAGAUCUUACAGAUCGUGUUCUCCCCUUCUGCUGCUUAGGAGGAUGGCGACGAAGCUGAGGCCAGCGCAGCCGCCGGUGACGAGGUUGCCCUCGCGGACGAGGAUCUUGAGGGCGACGGCGCUGAUGUCGGCGGUGAUCCGCCGCCCCUCCAUCACCAGCGCCCGCCACGGCUUCCCGGCGAAGGCGAGCAGCACCAGGACGGUGCAGCACGUGACCAGCGUCGCUGGCACCGCCACCGGUAGCGCUGCCCCCACGGACAACAUCCCGAACAACUCUCCGUACUGAUUGUGUAAAUGUAAAGACAAAGUUUGAUUGAAGCUUAUUAACAUGUUCCCUGGGGGGAGGAUUUUCAGAGCAGUGAGAUUUCCUCGUGCAAUCGGAGAAAUCUUAUUUGCUAUCACAUACAGCACCGACGUAUACAACCUCGACGACCAUGAUGAUGAGGAGGACGAGGAGGAGGCGACGAUGUUGUACCAGGAAUGGAUGGCAAGGAGGAGGCCCCAGGAGCAAUGAAGGAGGAGGGUGUAGAAGAGGAGAAAGAGGUAGACCCAUGUCCGCCUCUUGUUCGUAACUCUGGUAUGUCCGCGGUCGCCCUUGGAUGCUUGUUUCUCAUGGCCAGUGCUGCAGUUGCUGUUGCAGAAGAAGUGGAUGUGUAGCAGAAGCAAAAGUAAGUCCAACUCUGCUUGUGUCUCUGAGUUUCCCACCUUAGUCAAGCCAGCUGAAUAGCCUACUCACUUUUUUUAAUUUUUAUUAUUGUUUUAUCAUUUUUUAGAUGAAUGAUAAUAUUUAUAUAUGAAAAGAUAUUUUAUCUCAUUAUUUUACUUAAUAUUUUAAUAUUUAUAUCGAUAUUGGACUAACGGGAGAUGCCUUGCUCGGAUAGAAUAUAUCUAAGGGGGGAUAUAUAUAACUGAUAAGGGUAAUAAUUGUAAUAAGACUCACGUGACAUCAGCUGCAUCAGGUGACGCAUCACGCCUCUGUUGACUUGAUGAGGCACCUGGUCAACGUGGAUCGGAACGCCUACCAAGGCGCAUUAACGCUCUGUUCAGGUUCGAUCCCUCACGCCACGCCAACGGCAACGUUAGACGCUACCAGAAGUACGGUCCCGCUCCCUGCGGGCCAGCACAUUAGACAACGGUAAUUAUCACUAUAAAAACCCUCGCACUCUGAAGGGAAAAAAAGGGGGGGAGGGAAGGGAGAAAUCCCCUAGGACCAUCCACUAACUUGAUCGUCAGAGGGAUCGGGUCGAGCUCCCCGACCCGACCUUUGUGUAGGUGCGAAGGCGGAGGUCGUCCACCAAAGGCGCAGGCGGGGGUUCCCUCCCGGUGAAAACAGCGACCUCGUCCCAAUCGGAACACCGUGAUCGGCCACCUUAGCAGUCGGGAGGAGCGUCCCAGGAAGAUCCCCGUCAUCCGGACCCGAACCAAACCGCGUCGGUCCCGAUGCCACGGCUUAAAGUUGUUCACACUAACACUAACAUUUCGAUGUUUGUAUUAUGUUGGGACAUUUUUUUUUCGGUGAGAUAGUGAGUUGAGUAUUUUUUAUCCGAUCAAAAAGUUAUUUGAUAUAUUUAUAUUAUUGGGAUCAAUAUAGUAUAGAUGGGUCUAAUUUCUCUUACAAAAAAGAAUACCAUGAUUUAAACAUUGGGACUGAAAAAAAAUCUUAUAAGAUGCAAAGUUCAAGCACUAUCUUGGGUGGUCAGGUUGGGAACUCAUUGGAAGCUCUAUUACCACCGAUUAUGUAAGGUUAAAUUAUUUAAUUAGAAAAUAUUUAUUUUGCAUGUCAUAUUGAUGCGAAACAUCAUUAUUUUCAAACUAAUUAUCUCCUAUUUAUAUCGAAUCCAGAUUAAUUAUCCAUUGAAUUGUACCUAAUUUAUAAGGAUUCGCUGAAGGUAAAAUAAGCUUGAGAUAAUAUAUGAGUUCCACCCUUAAAAGAGAUGAUGAUUGAGCAAUUAGUUUAUCCCUCUAACUAUGGAGUAGGUUGGGAAGUCGAUGAAGCUCGAAAGAGAGGAUCCUGAGCAAGCAAUCAACCAACCUCAGUGGUUCUUCACUGAAAGGAGGAAGCAACGUAAGCAACAUCUAUGGAUGAGAGCAUUUUUCAUAUUUUUAAUGGUGGAGAAUCCCCGUUGAUUUGAGUUGAAAGUGUCAACUAGAAAUAAUCAAUAGAUCAUGGUCGCUAAUAUCAAGUUAUCUCCGAUAACAUCAAAAUCUCACUUCAAUAAUAUCUUCCAUUGUAAGAAUCCAACCCACAACAAUUAAAUACAAGAAAUGUGAUAGGGAAAGAGAUCAACUUCAAAAUCUCUAUGAGAAUGAUCGUUAGAUUUAAUAUUAUACUGGAUAGUAAUUGUAAUACCCCAAUUAGAAGUGAUAUGGUGAUAAUUGUCCAUCAGGACUUCUUUUAUAUUCUCAUAAAACUUUUCAUUAACUCAAGCAAAGUUCUUCAUGAUGUAUCACAUGUUAUGAAUAGUAUAUAUAAAUAGGGGAUCGAUACAUGAACCACCAUAUAUUGGGAGGUACAUAUUACAUGACCCUAUAUUAGACAAUACAGGAUCUAUACCAAUUGGUAUUGAUUGAAAUCCAAUCAUUAUAAAUUUGUGCUGACAAUUAUAUUGGGAGGUUACAAUUGCUUUAUUUUAAAUGAUCAAUUUGAUUGUUUGAACUAUAGAGAAGGGGUUUUAAACCCUUUCUUCUCUCCUUUUUCUACCAAUUUCACUCAAUCUUUUCAACUCUUUCUCACUUAUAUCUUUUUCUCAUUGUCAUGUUUUCACUCUCUUAAACUCAUCAUAACUAUAAUUCAUGGAUUAGAACAAAUGUGAGAGGCUAAUUUAGAAGGAUUACAAGAAGAAUAUUUUGAUCGAGAGGUAUAUAUUAUCAUUCUAGAUUUUUAUUUAUAUAUGAGAUGAUUAAGCCUAUUCUAUGUUUAUUUAUACAAUUUGAUGGUGAUGUAUCUAGAGGAGCAAUCUUUUACACUUGUCAUCUAGAUUCAGGCUCGAUAAUGUACUAGUUAAAUUUACACUAUGCCAUAAUGGGGGUUGAGGAGGAGGAUGCGACAUGAUGACAUUUACUGAUGAGAGCUUCUUUCAUAUUCUUAAUAGUGGAGAAUCUCUCGUUGACUUGAGUUUAAAAUGUCAACAAUAAAGACUCCGCUAAUAUCAAGUUAUCUCUAAUAACAUCAAAAUCUCACUUCAAUAAUAUGUAAAAAUCCAACCCAAGACAAUCGAAUAUAAGAAAUGAGAUUGGAAGGAGUUUGACUUCAAAAUCUCUAUAGAAAUGAUGUUAGAUUUAAUACUAAACUAGAUAGUAAUUGUAACACCCCAAUUGGAAACAAUGUGGCAACAAUCAUUGGCAAGGGCUUCUUUCAUAUUCUUAAGGUGGAGAACCUCCUAUUAAAUCAAGUAAGAUUCAUUGUACCAUGAUAUACCAUCUGAGACAAAUGAUACAUAUCAUUCUGACAAGGGAUUAGCAUGCGAACAGUCAUAUAUCGGGUGGUACACAUUACAUGAUUCUAUAUCGGAUGAUACGUGAUCUAUACCGAUCGAUAACGAUUGAAAUUUAAUUAUUACUGACUUGUACCAAUCGGUAACAAUUGAAUUUUGAUCGUUAUCAAUCAAGAGCUAAGAUUGUCUUAUUUUAAAUGAUCAAUUUGACUAUUUAAACUAUAAAAAAUAUUUUUAUAUCCUUUCCUCUCCCCACUCUUUCAACCCAUUUCACUCGAUCUUUUUAACUUUUUCAAACUCUUCUCACUCACAUCUUUUAUCUCAUUCUUAUAUUUUUACUUUCUUAAACUCAACAAAGCUAUAAUUAUAUAUUAAAUCAAAUAUAAGAUGUUAAUUUGAGAGGAUUAAAAAGAAUAACACUUUAAUUAAGAUAUAUAUAUAUAUAUAUUUCUUUUUAAAUUUUAUAUUUAUAUAUAAGAUAAUUAAGCUUAUUCUAUGUGGUCAUGUCUAUACAAUUUUAUACUUGUCACCCAAGAUUUAGAUCAUGAAACUCGACGAAAUACUAGUUAAGUUUAUACACGGGAGGGAAGGGAAAAACAAUGGAUGAUUUUGAAUAGAUGUGAUAGAGUAUACAUGACAUAGAUAUAGAUCAAACCUCGUCAUAUUCACAACCAUUGUAUUGUGAAGAAUCUUAAGACUAAUAGUAGUAUGAUGAUAGUUGAUUAUUCUUUUCCAAGUAGUAGUAUGAUGAUCAAUCUUAUGAUAUAGAGCAACAGAUCAGUGACGAAAGUAAAAGUUUAAACAUUCAUAAUGCUCCAUACUAAUAUAUGUCAUAAUUGUCCUUGCCUCAGGAGCCAUCUACGUGGUUCAUGACGAUCAACUUAUAACCAUCACAACAUUGAUGUACCAUUAACAUACGAUGUAUGUAACACCCUACUUCUACCCUACAUGUAUAACUAAAAUAUGAUGUCAUAUUUUAAAUUUUUAUUACUGCUAUCAAUAGGAGAGUAGUGAAAGUAGAUAAUCUUAAAAUUAAAACAUGCUAACUUACUUAACAAAAUGAUAGGAUUUCUCCUAUAUAUAGUAUUUUGGACAUUUAUACAUAAUUAUAGCCUCUAACUAAGAGAAAAACAUAAAUAUAACAAGUCCAAAAUUUAUACACACAAAACACCUACAGAACAUCAUGCAUAUCUAAGCUGGUAUAGGCUUGCAUAUACUCACUGCUCUACCCAAUCACUUGGGUGGGGUAUUAGUAAUGAGUACACUCAAUAAGUAUAAGCCCUUAUAGCUUUAUUUAGGUAGCAUAUAUCAUAUCAUAUAUGUAAUAUUUUAAAAUUAUUGGCGUAAGACAUUUAAUGGAAAACUCCCUUAUCAUAUAACUUCUUUAGUAAACAUAAUCCCACAACAUAGCAUAUAUAAAAUAAAGAGUUAAAGUUCUACUUCAAAAUAAUUCAAAAUGCUUAUAUGCAAAUAUAGGAAGUAUAAUAAAUUCAUUGACUUCUAUGCCCUACAUCAUAAUAUAUAUUUGCAUUCCCAUAUCAUAUGUUAUUAUAAUAUAUACGUGCACUCUCACACUACACGUCAUAAUAUUUACAUACACUCCCACAUUAUACAUCAUAGCAUAUACGUGCAUUACAUAUCAUAAUAUAUUCGUGUACUCACGUACCAUACAUCAUAGAAAAUAUAUACACUCUCAUACCAUAUGUCAUCAUAUAUGUAUACGUAUAUGAUAUUUUUAUCAUAAUUCAUAUAUUUUUAGACUUACAAAAUAUAUACAUUCAUAUUUAACUAAUGCUUUGCUCAUGACAAUCCUAUCAUUCGAAAUAUAAUUUUUAAAUUGUAUUAUACAUAUGACACCAUUAUUUUAUAGUAAAUUAAACUUAUACUUAAUUAAACUUAAAAAUAAAGAUAUUAAUAAAAAAUCAAGUUCUUUAAUAGUCGAAUGUAUUAGGGAGUGAUACUCCUUGGAGCAAAAGGUCAUGAGAUGUUUUAAUUAAUAAUCCUACCUCUUGAAUUAUUGAUUUAUAAUAAUUUAUAAUAAUAAUUCAUAAAAAAAAAAUUGAUAAAAAUCUCUUAUAAAAUAAAUUAUACUCAUCCUAAUAAUAUAUGAAGUUAUUCCUUCUCCAUGGUAGCUAAAAUUCAAAUUGAAUUAGUGUCGAAAGAUUAGAGAUCCAUGGCAAAGUAUGAUGUCGUAAUUACAUAUUAAUUGCGUCAUACAAAAAGGUGAAACAUCGUUUGUGCGUUCUUAUAUUUGCUUCCAUGUAAAAUGCUUUAAUUACAUUAAAUUAUAUGUGACAUUGACACAUAAACACACAGUUUUUAUUUAUUUUAAGAAAAAGAUAAAGUACAAAGUGACAAGUAAUUAUAUGCGACAUUGGCACAUAAACACACAACAGAGAGAGAGAGAGAGAGAGAGAGAGAGAGAGAGGAUAUAUAUAUAUAUAUAUAUANNNNNNNNNNNNNNNNNNNNGAGAGAGAGAGAGAGAGAGAGAGAGAGAGAGAGAGGAUAUAUAUAUAUAUAUAUAUAUAUAAGGCGGAGAUUCUUCGUGUCAUGUAUUAAGCUUCGGUGACAUCUCGAAUCAUGCGAUGGCACUGUGAUGGAGGUCGUUGUAGUAGACGACGUAGACGUCGUAGGCGACGACGAGCUUCGCGACAGAGGACGUCACCGUCUCGGUCACCAGCUUCCCCCAUGCGUACUGGAACACCCCCGUCCCUCCCACGAUGGCCCGCUCCGAGUUCCCGGACGCGUCCAGUCUCCCGAUCACCGUGAGAGUGCUGUUGACGAACUUCCCCGCCGUGAACACCAGCACCAGCGGUACCAGCAUCACCUCCUCCUGCAUUGAUACGUGGAAGCCCGCGCCCUGCACCCUUCCGAGGAAGGUGGAGCUUUCGUCGGGGCCGACCCUCAGCACCGUGUCGUAGAUCUCGAUGUUCCCGAAGGUGUAGGGGAGGCUCAUGUUCACCACGGUGACGGUGGUGUUGUCGGGACCGAUAAAGGUCUCGUGGAAGUAGACGCGGAAGUGGAUUCUCUUCUGGAUGCCGAGUUCGAACUCGGAGGUGACCGGGAAGGCCGUGGCAGCAGCCAGGAGGAGGAAGAAGACGAGGAGGUGGUGGAAAAGAGAGGAGCUGUGUGGGGACGACGCCAUGACUAGGGUGGUGGAUGGACAAGGAACGUGAAGUGAGAAGUGAGAUGAGCACAACAAUAAGAGGGAAAGUGUCUUUAUAGAGCAUUGGCUUAUGGCUCUGUCAUCAUCAUACAUAUCAUAUUUAUCACAGGUAAGUAUGAUGUACACAUCAUCAUAUUAAUAUUUAAGAGAUUAAAAUUAAAUAAUAUUUUGAAUCCUUAAUAUUCGAUAAAUAAGUCUUUUAGAUGUAAGAAUAUCUCAAAUAAAUUUUUGAAUAAUCAACCUUUGAUAAGUGGAUCAUCAUUAUAUUUAUACACGGAAAUGAAUCAUUUACAAUUAAUUAGACUUUGACAUGUUAAACUCAAUCAAUUCAUGAACUAUUAUUGAAAAUAUUUAUGGGUAUACGAUUAGAAAAAUAAGCUUAUAUGACUAAGGAUUGAAAGAAUCAGAUAACAUAAUAGUUUAAGUCUUUGGAUUGAAUUAAUAUCUUACUUGAUAUAUAUAUUAACUCUGAUCAAUUUGAUUCAAACUCAUCAAUAGUCAUACAACUAUGACAUGAACAAGCUCUAAAUUGAAGAUUUAUCGGGCAAGCUUAUUGAACUCAUCCAAGAGUCUUAUGGGUGCUAUUCAAAACAAAAUUGGACAAUCGUAUCCUCAUUGAACUUGGAAGAAAUCGACUCGAGCCACGUUAAUUUAGAUAUUGAGGUUGGAUUCCCCUAGUUGGACAUCUUAGUCGAACCUCAAAGUCAAAAGUCAUUCCAUCUUCCAACUAGAGCAACAAGAAUUCGGAAAAAAAUAAUGAACCAAAUCGAGUCAAGUUCGCCGGAUCUAAGUUCGACCGAAUGGUGUAUUUGGAGUCCAUCCUUCCAAUGCGGGGGGAAGAAGAUGGCAUAAAAUGCAAUAAGCGAUGCAUAAUAACACCGGUGGACGCCCGGUGAUUACAGCAUACGGGCUCUCGAUCGGUAGGUGCCUCGCUCUCCGCCUUCAGCAAGCAACGUAGACGUACAGCGACGGCUCUCGGUCGGUAGGUGCCUCGAAUGCAGGUGUCGCUGGGGAGAUGGGUGAUGGAGGUCCAAAAGAUGAGGCCAUUGACAUGAUCGAUGUCGACUGUAAUCUUCUCAUCUUAGGACAAGAUCUUCCACCUCACGGUCUCGUACGUUGCAUGGUGGGUGAACGAGGAGGAAGCCAUCGAUCGGGCGUUGGUUUCCUCCGUACACUUAUCUUUUCUCCAUGCUGUAGCUGUCGGUGAUCACAUUUGUUGCAUGUGAUACACGUUUUCUUUUUUUUUUUUCACCUUUGUCGUGUACUCUAAUUCUGAAAGAACCAUCACUUUCUGAUCACUGUACAUGACUGUGAUUCUUGCACAGUCAUUGAUCUAUUUCUUCUAAUAAUUGACUAUGAUUCUUGCACAAGAGAACUCGUAAAGCAUGAAAAUUUGAUAUUAUUAAUUAAUUUUAAUAAUAAUUUUAUUUUUAAAGUAAACAAAUAAAUUAAAAGAAAAUGGAGAAUUGCAUAUUCUCCACUCUGUUGAUACCCCUAUUUACUUGAGAGGAGACCAAUGUAGUUUCUACAAUCAAGUCAAACUAGAGUCUAAAUCAAAACUAUGUAGACCUCCCUUCCAUCCCUCUAGCUAGGUCUCAUUCGGUGCCAACCGACACCAUCGAAACUUUAGCUCAGUUUGCUUAAAUGUUCAGCUAGUAAACAUACAAACAUAUCACUUUCCAUCAAUAUAAAAGUACAUAUAUAUAUUACAAUAAUAUGUGAUAUGAUAGUACACACAUAUGUUAUGAUAUAAGGCGUAGAAGAUCAUACAUUUUUUAGGCUUCCUACAUGUGCAUAUAAGUAUUUGAAUUAUUUCGAUAUAAAAUUUUACCAUCUUAUUGUAUAUAUAAUGUGUUGUAGGAUUAUUUAUACAUGCUAAAGAAUUUAUAGGAUGAUGUGUCUAUCAUUAAAUACUUUAUGUUAAGGAUUUUAAAAUAUUAUAUACAUGAAAUGAUGUGCUCACAUAAAUAAAACAAUAAAGACUUAUAUUUACUGAGUGAUUAAUCACCGUAGAUCAUAUUUUACAGAUAAAAAUAUUAGUAUCCCACUCAAGUGAUUGUAUAGGGAAGUAAGCACAUGUAAGCCCAUGCUAGCAUAGAUAUGAACGAUGAUUUUUCAACAUUUUAUGUAUAUAAAUUUUGGACAUAUUAUAUUUAUGUUUUUAUUUGGUUAAAUGAUAUAAUCAUGUAUUUAAAACAUUAUGGAUAGGGGAAACCCUAUUAUUUUGUUUAGUAAGUUAGCAUGUUUUAAUUUUAGGAUUGUCAACUUUCCAUUGUAGUCAUAUUGAUAUCAGUAAUUAAAAUUUAAAAUGUAACAUCCUAUAUUAAUUAUACAUGUAAGAUAUGGAAGAAACUAGAAGUAGAGUAUUACAUAUUCAAUGUUCUUGAUAUCGAAUCCAUCUAUGAUAGACUCGGUGAAAGGCUACAGUUACAUCCAAGUCAUCCUUUAAAGAAUCAAAAUAUAUAUUAACAAUUAUGAAAUGUGAAAGAUUUUUUAACUAAUAAAUUAACUAGAAAAAUUGAAUGAACGAAUGAAUGCCAUGUUUAUGGGAGGAAUAGGUACAUGUCAUUUUGUCAAGGCACGUGAUUUAUUUGGAAUUUAAUGUAACUUAUUCGCAUUAUGUUGAUUAUAGUUUGCGACAAAUGUAAAGAUUCCAUAUCAAAAAAUAAAUUCCGAUGUGCAUGUGUUAGAUCCCUUAUGAAACUUAAUUAUUUAUAGAGUGACUUUAACAUAUAGUAAAUAAGUUUGUAUCUAUGUAACUUGGAUGAUCAUAUUGUGAAAUAUACAAAUAAUAUCUCAAGUUAUUCCUUCUCCGUAGUAGCUAAAUUUCAACUACAUUUGGUGUCGAAAGAUUAGAGAUCCAUGACAAAGUAUGAUGUUGUAAUUACAUAUUAAUUGCGUGAUAGAAAAAGGUGAAACAUCGUUUGUGUGUUCUCAUAUUGCUUCCUUGUCCGAUAAUUUAAUCGCAUUAAAUUAUAAGCGACAUUGAUAGGUUGAUGUUCACAAAAACACACAACACUAACAUUAUGACCCAUCGACCAUUUUGUACCCACUUGAUUCAGUUUUUAGAAUUAUAUUUGUCUGUUUCCAAAAAAAAAUAUUUCUUUAUGUAGUACGAAGUAUUUUUUUGAAUUAUAGUAUAUUAUAGUGAAAUUUUUGACAGAUAAGCUCACUCUACAGGAGAUGAGAUUUUUACCUCAUAACACUCAUCGCUUAAUUCUUUCCAAGUAAUUAGAUCCUUUUCAUCAAAGCAUUCAUAAUCUUUUAUAUAUAUAUAUAUAUAUUAUUGAAUUGAGCUGUACAAUAUUAUUUUAGUUGAUCUUAUUAACAACUUUAUAGUGUGGUCCGAUGCAUAAUACUGCUACUAAUCCUAAAUAGGAGAAGAAUAAAUUUACUAUAGUCAUAUAUACCUACAGCUAUGAAAAAUAAAGCAUGUCACCGUACUGUGCUGCAAAAUAUCGAGGUUUGUAAAAGCUUUUCUUUCUCAAUAAUAAGAAGCUUUUCUUUAUUUUAAGAUAAAGAUGGAAGUACAAAGUGACACGUAGAAUAGCAUUUAUUUCAGCCUUUUGUUUUGUCCUUAUUCCAACCGCUGUCUUCAUGGAGUGACACCAUAGCCGGAGUUCUUUUUGUCGUGUAUUAAGCGUCGGUGACGGCAAGGUCUCGCAAUCAUGGGCUGGCACUGCGACCGACGUCGGUGUAGUAGAUGACGUAGACGUCGAAGGCGGCGACGAGGCCCUCGACGGAGGACGUCACCAGCUCGCUCGCCAGCUUUCCCCAUGCGUACUGGAACACCCCCGUUCCACCCACGAUGGCCCGCUCCGCUUUCCCGGACGCGUCCAGUCUACCGAUCGCCGUGAGUGUGCUGUCGGCGAACUCCCCCGCCGUGAACACCAGUACCAGCGGUAUCAGAGACGCCUCCUCCUGCUGCGACAUGUGGAAGCCCGCGCCCUGCGCCCUUCCGACGACCGUCGAGCUAGCGUCGGAGCCGACCCUCAGCACGGCGUCGAAGAUGUCGAUGUCCCCGAAGGUGUAGGGGAGGCUCAUGUUCACCACGGUGACGGUGGUGUUGUCGGGGCCGAGAAAGGUCUCGUGGAAGUAGACGCGGAAGUGGAUUCUCUUCUGGAUGCCGAGUUCGAACUCGGAGGUGACGGGGAAGGCCGUGGCAGCAGCGAAGAGGAGGAAGAAGACGAGGAGGUGGUGGAUAGGAGAGGAGCUGUGUGGGGACGAAGCCAUGACUGGGGUGGUGGAUGGACAAGGAACGUGUUAUACUUGGCAAAGAUUGACAAGUGAGAGGAGCACAAGGCUGGAGGAGGGAGAGCGUAUUUAUAGAGUAUUGGCUAUGUCAUCGUCGUGCAUAUAUCAUAUCUAUCAUAUUAGACGAUAUUUUAGACUCUCUUAAAAAGGUAAGUAUGUAAGCAUCAUCAUAAUAAUAUUUUAGAGAUUAACAUUAGAAAGGAUUUCAAAUCCUCAAUUCAAAGUUGAGUCUUUUAGAUGUAAGAAUACCUCAAACAAAAUUUUUGAAUCAUCAAACAAUAAGUGAAUUUUCAUCAUGUUCAAAGAUUAAAAUGAAUCAUAUACAAUUAAUGAGACUUAGCAUGAUAAAUUUAAGUAAUUAUUAUUGAAAAUAUUUAUGCAUGUGAGAUAAAAAAAGAUGAGCGAAAAGUAAUAUAUGACUAAAGAUUGAAGGAAUCAGAGUACAGAAAGUCGGUUUGACAAGUAACACCACGUUUAGCCUUCCUCUUGAACGCCGGUCUCGUUCCAAAAUCGCCGGACGGACCACUUCGCUCUCCGCCGACAACACGCAACGUGUAGCUUCGCUGGGAUACGGGUGAUGCAGGUCAAAGAAGAUGAAGCCAUCGACAUGAACGAUGUGGACUGUAAUCGUCUCCAUCCUCGUCUUCUCAUCUUAGGACUAUAUCUUCCACCACACCGAAUCAUUCGUUGUAUGGUAGGUGAACAAGGAGGAAAGCCAUCAUCCAUGGGACUGCUUUUGGUUGGUUAAUCCUCACACUAGCUUCUCUCGAUGCUGUACCUGAUGGUGAGGCUUCUUGUGCACGUUUUGUUUCCAAAAAAUCUGUCUAUUUUGUUGAGAAAAUAUUUUCAUCUUAAUCAGUAUAAAUAGGGGGAAAAUAGCUUCAAUGUAAAACAGUUUUUUCAAUAAUUCUUCUUGUCUUCUAUUCUUUCCAACAUGAUAUCAGAGCAAGUGAGAAGAGCGAGACUCCAUGGCCAUCGAAGCCUGUUAUUCACCACAUCUCUUACCUUUGUAGAGCAGAGAAGGGGGUGAACUCUUUUCCAUCGGACUCGCUUCCCUGUCGGACUCCCCUCUCCGUCCGCUGAUACCCCAGUCGCUGUCGUGACCACACCCGGCAUCGCAAUCAUGUGCGACCACAACAACGAGGGCCUGUUUUGGUGCGACUGGCUACUCGCCCUCGGCAGUGGAUCCCUCUCCAACCCUGUCCGCUCCUUCCCUCUUCUCCUCCAUGCGGCUUUCUUCUUCAUCGGCGUCGCCUGCACCGACCCUAAGCUCGGGUUAUCUACCGCCAUAUCAUCAUCUUCAUCAGGUUGUGAUCUAUAUCAAUCGCAGCCUGCUGCCUCGGUGUCAACUGUCGAUCCUUAGCUCCUACUAAGAGCUAAUCGCUACAGCUUCCUCCUACUGCAGCUUCCUCAUGUUGCAGCAUCGUUGUAGCUUCCUCCUCUGUUGCAGCAUCGUUGCGGCUUCCUCCUCUGUUGUAGUUUCUGCUGUAGCUUUCUCCUAUGCUGGAGCAUUGCUGCAACUACCUCCUUUGCUCCGACUUCCUCCUUUAUUACAUCUAUGCUGCAGCUACCUCUUCUACUAUAGCUUCCUCCUCUAUUGUAGCAUUACUACAGCAUCGCUGCAGCUUUCUCCUAUACUGUAGCUUCCUCCUCUUCUGUAGAAUCACUGCAGAUUCCUCCUCUGCUAUAGCAUCGUUGCAGCUACCUCCUCUUCUGCAUCUACCUCCUCUACUGUAGCAUGAUAGCAGAUAAGAUUUCUCUAACUAUAUGAGAAAAUCUAGAGUUGAGAGAAAUCCUCCCUCUUAAUCUGUAUAAAUAGGGAGAGAAUACCUUCAAUGUAAAAUAGUUUCUUCAAUAAUUCUUCUUGUCUUCUAUUCUUCCCAACAGAUAAAAAGGGAUGUGGACGAGGCCAUCAAAAGGAACACACGUCAUUUAUGAUUACUGCUCGCUGCUCUUUGUUACUCGCCGAUGUCCUCAUCCAUCAGUAUGAACUGGAUGAGAGAAUAAUAUUCAAAAUACUCAGUUAAUAUUUUUCUUACUAACAGGAGUUUCUAUAGCUCAUGAUUCAUAACUUUAUUUUUGUCCCUUGUAUAAGAGCUGAUUUAAGUUUCUGUAUAGUUUUAUCAAUCGUGUUUUUUAUGCUAGUUUUACUUAUGACGCUGAAUGGCUUAUCUUAAUUACUAAUUGAGCAUUCAUCUCAUUAAGCAUUUAAUUAGAUGACACAGGGCACAUGCUCACGGUCACUUAUGGCUCCUCUUGCCAUCCUUCACGUGCAUGAUAUAUAUAUAUAUAUAUAUNNNNNNNNNNNNNNNNNNNNNNNNNNNNNNNNNNNNNNNNNNNNNNNNNNNNNNNNNNNNNNNNNNNNNNNNNNNNNNNNNNNNNNNNNNNNNNNNNNNNNNNNNNNNNNNNNNNNNNNNNNNNNNNNNNNNNNNNNNNNNNNNNNNNNNNNNNNNNNNNNNNNNNNNNNNNNNNNNNNNNNNNNNNNNNNNNNNNNNNNNNNNNNNNNNNNNNNNNNNNNNNNNNNNNNNNNNNNNNNNNNNNNNNNNNNNNNNNNNNNNNNNNNNNNNNNNUUGGACGUCACCAGUUUGCUCACCAUGUUCCCCCACGCGAACUGGAACACCCCAGUCCCUCCCACGAUGGCCCGGUCCGCCUUCCCGGAGGUGUCCAUCCUCCCUAUCAACGUGAGCGUGCUGUCGCAGAAGUCCCCGGCCGUGAACACCAGCACCAGCGGUAUCAGCGACGACUCGUCCCGCUGCGACGCGUGGAAGCUCACGCCCUGCGCCCUCCCGACUUCAGUCGAACGCUUGGAGGGGCCGGUCCUCAGCACGGCGUCGAAGAUGUCGACGUCCCCGAAGGUGUUGGGGAGGCUCAUGUUCACCACGGUGACGGUGGUGUUGUCGGGGCCGAGAAAGGUCUCGUGGAAGUAGACGCGGAAGUGGAUUCUGCUCUGCCGGCCGAGUUCGAACUCGGAGGUUACCGGGAAGGCUGUGGCAGCAGCCAGGAGGAGGAAGAAGACAAGGAGGAAGUAGAGAUGAGAGGAGCUGUGUGGGGAUGAAGCCAUGGCUAGGAUGACCGAAGGAUCGAAUUGAGGUGGGUACAACGCUGGAUCAGGAACAUGUAUUUAUAGAGUAAUGUCUGUGCCAUGCGUCGUCAACAAAAGCCAACUUCCAACCAAAUCUCAUUAUCAUGUCUACAUAAAAAACCCAAACGAAUAUUACUCUUGCAGGCGAAGGUCUCAGCGUAGGGAAGAAGAUAGCAUAUGGUAACACGAUGUACACACCAUAUAGUCUUCUCCAUAUAUAUAUAUAUAUAUAUAUAUAUAUAUAUAUGAUGUCGAGCAAUGGAGAUGGGUAACUGAGAGAUGGAGGGAUGAUAGUUGCAAGCAAUGGGCGAUGAGGAUAGUGUUGCGUCUUCUGCAAGUGCCAACUGGCCACCUGUAGCUCGUCAAUUUGCUUGUUAAUUAACGAACCACAUUGGCAACGCUAUCUUUCUUAAUGUGUUUCACCACAGAUGUACGCGGUUGGCUGAUGGCUGUCGCUCCCGUUUGUUCGCAUCUUCGGUUGUUGACAUGUGGAAAUGAAGUGUCGGUUCCCAUGCGUGAUCGGUACCUCACCACUCCACUUCAAGUCGCGACGUAAUUAAUGACCGACGGUGCGAUGCAAAACCUUCACUCGCCAAUCAAGUCAUUCGUGACUCAUGUGGGGCCAUUAACCAUCUUUUUGCUCUACAGUAAUCAAAGAAAAGCUCACAUGAUGUGUUCUCAUAUCAGCAUACAAAUGAAUUUUAUGUGACUUUUAAUAUACAUACAUAUUCUCUCCUGUCAAAACAUAUCCUAAACUCAUGUUUAUUUUUACCAUUAUAUAUAUCAUCACGAGACCAAAAGACAAAAAGGCAUGGGAUAACAUAACGCAUGUCAAUGUUUCCAUGUGAAUCACGCCUACAGAAUCCUUCACCUACCGAAGGUGUGGUUGGUUGUCAAAGUUCAUCAUUAUUAUGUAAGGGACAUUUUUCUCAGCAUAUCGUCAAAUGCCAGCGCAUGACGUGUUACCUUUCAAAGUGCAUAGUUGACCCAUUCCGCGUGUAAUGUCUCCUACUUAGUUGUCCCUUCACGCAAUGCAUUUCUUUAUCAGUAUACGUAUACUUCACCUGUUCAUAGCAUCCAUAUUAAAGCUUAUGUAGGUGCAGCGAAAUUAGUUAAUCGUCUAUAAAUAGGAUAGAAAUGGAUAACAAGUCUUAUUAAAGCCAUUAAUUAAGAAUUUAGAAUAGAGAUAGUAUCAUAUUUGAUUUCACAUUGAUCAGAGACUUAGAGAAUCAAUACCUAAUACCUAAUAAAGAGUCAAAUACAAAUUUUCGUUUUUUGACAGACAACUUUUGGGAUCCACCUUAGGAAAGGAAAGAUCAUGUGGUCCCGCUUAACAAUUUAUGAUUCAAAAGAGCUCGUGAUUGAAUAGUUUGUGAAAAUAAGAAUAUUAUUUGGAUAAAAAUAAAUAGUAAAAAAAGGAUCAAAUGAUAUAUGGACACGUGGCAUAUUCACCGAUCUUUAAAGCAGCCGAUCGCACGAGUAGUAAGAACUACCAAAGCUCUCUCCACGAUGAGAAAGGGCAACGAAGGCGGGGGAGUGACGAUGUGAAAGAAUCAUAAAGACGAUUGUUAGCAACCCUUGUGGUCGAGGUGCCAGCGUGGUUCGAUCCAAUCCUAAAUGCGCUUGUCCACGUAGAUGCUCGAGUGAUGGAAGUGAGCAUUAUGUCGUGUUGAGUUUGAGCCUCGUCUAUCUCAAUAUAGUUUCUCUCUUGGUGAGUGGCCUGCUUAUUUAUCACCGGACACAGGUUAGGGUCGAGAGGAAGAUUUUUUGAUUUGACCCUUGCGAAAGUUAAAUUAGUGUUGGGUGAAGUAAGAGGGAGUUAAAUGCUCAAAGUUCUUCCCAUGAUGUCAAUUAUUGGGUUGACUUUUAUACAUGCGAACAAAGUUCUUCACUGCUUCAGUAUGAUAUUCGAUUUAUAGAUGAAAGGUUAUGUUUUUCUUCAGCUUCAUGUUGCUCAUGGUCCAAAGUGAACUUGCUAAAAGAAAAAACACUGUCAUGAUUAUGAUGGAAUAAUAUUUCAAACACUUAGAUUUUUAAUAUAAAAUUGUAUGUAUCUAAGAGCUGGUUGGAGAAUUGUAUAAGAUAUGUCUAUAGUUCAACGAGUUCUGAUAUUUUUGGAGUUUGUUGCAAUAGGAUUUUAUUCGUAAUAUUAAUAAACGAGAUCGAAUAAUUCUUUUUAUUUUAGCCUUAUUAUUUAUUCUGCAGACGUAAAGCAAGAUAAACAUUGUUAGCUCUUAUUUAAUUGCUGUAGCUUUCGUUAUCGUGUCUCGGAUCACGCGAUGGAAGUGAGACGGACGUCGUUAUGGUACAUGACGUAGACCACGAAGGCGACGACGAGUCCUGCGACAUCGGACGUCACCUGCUUGCUCACCACGUUCCCCGACGCGAACUGGAACACCCCCGUCCCUCCCACGAUGGCCUGGUCCGCCUUCCCGGACGCGUCCAUCCUUCCGAUCACCGUGAGCGUGCUGUCGCAGAAGUUUCCCGCCGUGAACACCAGCACCAGCGGUAUCAGCGACGACUCGUCCCGCUGCGACACGUGGAAGCUCACGCCCUGCGCCCUUCCGACUUCAGUCGACCACUUGGAGGGGCCGAUCCUCAGCACGGCGUCGAAGAUGUCGACGUCCCCGAAGGUGUAGGGGAGGCUCAUGUUCACCACGGUGACGGUGGUGUUGUCGGGCCCGAGAAAGGUCUCAUGGAAGUAGACGCGGAAGUGGAUUCUCUUCUGGAUGCCGAGUUCGAACUCGGAGGUGACGGGUAAGGCCGUGGCAGCCGCAAGGAGGGGGAAGAGGACGAGGAGUAAGUAGAGAUGAGAGGAGCUGUGUGGGGAUGAAGCCAUGGCUUUGAUGAUGUUGUGGGAAACAACCUGGGAGCAGUGGCCUCGGGGCCGACGCGACUCAGUUCGAGUCCGAACGACGAGGAUCUUUGCUCGAGGUCUCUCGGGAUUGUCGGAGUGACCGACCGUGCGGACCAGACCACCGUUGGGUUCGUCGGGAUGUCUAGGGGGGAAGGCGUCCUCUCCUUGCGCCCCGGGGAAAUAGCUUCAUCUCCUUACCUGCACACAGGUCGGGUCGGAAGCUCGGCCCGACCCCUCCGACGAUCAAGUUAGUGGAUGUGGAGGGGGUUUAAGAAGAAGAAGUAUUUUUUGUGUCCCUCUUUGGUGUGUUCUCCCCUCCCCCCCUCUCCUGAUGAACGAGAGGGUAUUUAUAGGGAGGCUUAUUGUUUCUCGAUGUGUCCGCUUGCAGGGGGCAGGCUGGUUGUGUCUGACAUUGGUUUGGCGUGACGUGAAGAACCGAGCCUGAGUAGGUGUUAAUGCGCCUUGGCCUAUGUUCCGAUCCGUUUGAUCGGGUGUCGUCGCGUCGUCCGAGGCAUGAGGUGUCAUCUGACGUCAGUCAGGUCUUAUUAUAAUUAAUAUCCUCAUCAUGACAAAAUGAUCGAAGUUAGGUGGGCACAACGCUCGAAAAGGACAUGUAUUUAUAGAAGAGGCGUUGCCAAGCGUCGUCAACAAAUGUCAACUUCCAACUACCGCAAUUAUCAUGUCUGCGAAGGAAGAAGAUGGAUGUUUGGCCUUCCCGGUGAAUGCAUCCUUCAACUCAGAGAUGGAAGAUGGUUCCCGAGUGUGAUCGGUGCGUCUCGUGCAUUUAUUAUAGAGGAUCGUCAUAUGCCUUGUUCGCUUUCAAUGUAAAUAAUUGACCCAAUCCGCGCGCAAUCUAAACCACAUAGUGGGCCCAUCACACAAUGCAUUUCUUUCUCAAGAUGUGUUUGCUUCACCUAUUUCAACUGUUUAUGCGGUCCACAUUAAAACUUCUGUCGGUUCUGCAAAAUUGGCUAAUUAUCGCUUCUUAAUGUUGAAAAUUUAUAACAAGUGUGUGUAAGACUCUCGAUUAAAAAUUUUAAACAUAUUUAGUCCCAAAUUGAUUAGAGUCAAUACCUAAUCAAAUACGAAAAGAUCAUCCCUCCACUCCUACUUAACAAUUUAUUAACAUUAAAAGAGUUCAAGAUUAAUAUUUUUUGAUUGACGUAAAUAAUUUGUGAAAAAUAAAGGUAUUAUUUUGAAUAAAAUAAAUAGUAAAAAAAGGAUCAAAUUGAUUAUGGAAACGUCACAUUUUCACGAAUCAUAAAGCAGCAGACUGCAUCAGUAAGUAAUAUAUAAUUUUGGAUAAAAAUAAAUACUAAAAAAGAUGAAGGGGGAAAUGACGAUGUGAAGAAUCCACAGAGGUGGCUCUCCUCUCUGUCCUCUUCGGUAGCAACAAGCACGAUAUGGUGAUCAAGGCCCGAUCUCUUACUAUUCCUUCUCGUCCAAUUUUCCCAAUCUUGGUUAGAGUUUUAAUUUGAUGGAGUGCUUGACGCCGUCUUGUAGUUUUUUGAUGUCAAAUUCUUGGUUCGAUCUACUGUUCGAUCAAAAUCUUUGAUGGUCCUAUAAACUAGUUGCUCUAUGAUCAACAAAAAUAUUAGGGAUAAUCCUAAUAUUUUAGUAUUUGAUAGGGAUAAUCCUAACACUUGCCAGCUCUUUCAUCAUAUAGGUUAAAGAAGCAACACCUAAGCAUCAGCAUGGGAGUCACCUGCUCCCUGCAACCGCUAGCAUAUAAACUCAUCUAGUUUGAGUUGCAUCACGGGAUAAAUCUGAGGAAUCUAUAUAUUAAAAAAAUCCACCCUUUAUAUUGUUAUUGUCAUAUGAUAUUGGGGUAGAAUCUAAUAAAUGACACAGUUACUCUACAUACACACACACUUAUAUAUAGUCUUAUAGAUGUGGACAUGUGACAUCAACUAAAUGAGCAAUCUAAAAACUAAAAUGCAUUUGUACCUAUUAAGUUUUGUUUUCCAACAUAUAACUUAAUUUAAGAGGGCAAUGCACCAGUUAUGAUUCAAGUAUUAUUCAACAACAUUCACUAAAUCACUCGAGGUUUUAAGAGUCAAAUUUAGAUAAGGACCAGGACAAAAUGAAACUCAAUCAUGAAAAUUAAAACUUCUAAAUAGGAAGAAAUACAAUAUCAUUUUGUUCAGAUAAGUACACAACAUUCCCGUAUUAAUCUCUAUAUUGUAGCCUACUAAUUUAAAGGCACUGUAAGAUUACAAUGUAAUCAACCUAAAAAUAGGCCCCUUCCUCAGCGUCACCAAUUGCAUGUAGCCAUCAUCUAAAACGUCGUCUUAUAUGGUUCUGUAAGAAGACUCUUAUAGAAGUUUUUAUGUGCCCACAUAUUAUCAACAUGGGCCGUGCCACAAUGCAGAAAGCCUUACUCAUGCAACAUUAUUAAAUCAUUCAUAUCCAAAGGAAUUCAUGAAUCACAAUAAAUAGCUACUAACCUCCUUGAUAACAACUAACAAUGUAGAGGAGACCUAAAAAGGUCUAAAUUAUAAGACCCAUAAGUUUAAUCGAUGACAACUUGUUUCUUAAGCACCAUCGUGCGAGUCACUUAUUUCCUAAUAAGUGAUGUGAUUUUUAGAAAGUAAAUAAUAUACAAUCCUUUUUCGUGUGUGAAUAAUAACGAAUGAAUAUUAUAUUUCUAUCUUUAUAUGUGAAAAUAAAAUAAAAUUAAAUUUAAAAUAAUAAUUAAAUAUUUACUAAUUUUUAGGGAGAUUUCAUCUUCUUCUAUAUAAACUAGCUCCCCCUUCCUCAUUCCACACCGAGCAAAAUAAAAGUAUUGAAGAAAAGAUAUUUCAAGAAGAUGAUUUUGAGGUGAGGUAAGAUCCUCUAUUCUUUUCUAAUCAAAUUUUAUUCAUAUUUUAAAAUCUUUAAUAUUAAAAGAUUUUCUAUUCUAUUCUAAUCAGUUUUGAUUCAUAUUUUGAAAUCCUUGAUAUUAAAAUUGUUGUGAUCGUAUGAUGCAUAAUAAUAUUUUAAUUUUAAAAUUUUAUAAUUAAUAAAUAAUGAUAAUUGAUUUAUAAUGUUAGAAUGAUUAUUUGAUUUAUAAUGAUCUUUUAAACUUAAGUAACUUUUAAGAUUGAUUUAAUUAUUAAAACUUUUAUUAUUUUAGAUUAAUAUAAUAGUUUUAAUUUAUUUAGUUAUAUAUAUUUAUAUUUUAAGAAUUAGCUAUAAAUUUGAAUGACUUAAUUAGUUUUAAAUUUAAGAUUAUGAAUUUAAAAUUUUUAAUUUAUGAAUUUAAAAUAUUUUUUUAAUAAUUUAAAAUAUUAAAAAAUUUGAUAAGAUGAGCCAGUCUGACUUGAGGUAGGUUGAUCUGUCAAAUUGAGUCAAUCCAACUCUUAUAUCAUAUUUAUCAUAAUUUAUAUUAUUUUUAGAUUUAUAAAAUAUAUAAAUAUAUAUUUAGCUCAUACUUAACUCAUGACAAUCAUAUUAUUCUAAACAUACUUUCUAAAAUAUAUUAUACAUAUAAUAAGAUAUAUGACUAUUAUUAUAUAGUAAAUUAAAUUUAUACUUAUCAGAUUAAAUUUAAAAAUAAAGAUAUUAAUAAAAAAAUAUGUUCCUUAAUGAUUGAGUGUGCUGAAGAGCAAUAGACCUACCAAACUACGAGCAAAAGGUUAUGAGAUGCUUUAAUUAAGAAUCUUGCAUCUUCAAUUAUUGAUUUAUAGUAUUUUAUAAUAAUAAUUCAUUACAAAAAUAUUUUUUAUAAAUUAAGUUAUACUCAACCUAUCAAUAUCUCAAGUUAUUCCUGAUAGGGGAGUCACCGUGGAGUCAACGGGGAUACGGACCAUGACGCCAGCCAUCCCAUGGUGGGACAAUCAAAGUGACUCCCCUCAGGAAGUGAUGGCGACGCGACAUAACAUGACACCCUCUGCGCGUGGGCCGCACCCUGCCCAAGUGAACGGGCAUUAACGCUGACUCGACGUUCCCAACGUCACCCCCUCAACCAACGACUCCCUCGCCCAUACCCUGCGACACGAUGGUCCGCCACGCAACCCUAAUGGCAAUGUCAAAUCCAGCCAGAGGCACGACCCUAUUCUGACAAGUAGGAACAUCAGGUAAUGUCAGACCCAAACUAUAAAAGAGUCCAGGGCCUAAAGGCCAAAGGGGAGAACUCUACACAGAAAAAAGCCCUUCUCGCCCACUAAUUGGAUCGUCGGAGGGGUUGGGCCAUCAGGACGGCCCGACCUUUGUGCAGGUACACGGCGGCCGACCACCGGGGAUUUGCAGCCGGCCAUCUCUGAAGGCCACCCGCCGAUCGGGUUUGCCCCGAGCGCUCACCCAAAAGGCGUCAAGAGGCUCUACCCAUGAUCUUCGGCAUCCGGACCCCUGAACCGAGCCUUAUCGUCCCGAGAUCACGGCUCAAGCAGGUGCAGACCGCAUCAAUUCCUUGUCCGUAGUAGCUAAAAUUCAACUAUAUUUAGUAUCCAAAGAUUAGAGAUCCAUGAUAAAGUAUGAUGUCAGUAAUUAUGUAUUAAUUGCGUGAUAAAAAAGGUGAAACAUCGUUUGUCCAUUCUCAUAUUUGCUUCCAUGUCCAAUGCUUUAAUUACAUUAUAUUAUAUGCGACAUCGACACGGUCUCAUGUUCACAGAAACACACAACACUAACAAUAUGAUCCAUCGACCAUUUUGUACCCACUUGUUUCAGUUUUCUUUGUGUGUUUCCAGAAAAAAAAAGGCUUUAUGUAGAACGAAGUUUGAUAAUUUUUUAGAAUUAUAGUAGAUUAUAAUGAAAAAAUUGACAGAUAACCUAUCCUUAAUGUCACUCUACAGGAUAUGAGUUUUAUACCACAUAAUACUCCUCGUUUAAUUCUUUCCAAGUAAUUAGAUCUUUUUCUUCAUUCAAGAAUUUUAUAUGAUGCAUAAAAGCAUUCAUGAAUUUUAUAUAUAUAUAUAUAUAUAUAUAUAUAUAUAUAUAUAUAUACUUUAUUUUAUUAUAUUGAGUUUGGCUGUACAAUAUUAUUUUAGUUGAUCUUAUUAACCACUUUACAGUGUGGUCCGAUGCACUACGAAUUCUAAAUAGGAGAAGAAUUGAUUUACUACAGUCAUAUAUACCUAAAAAAUAAAACAUGUCACCGUACUUUGCUGCCAAAUAUCGACGUUUGUAAAACCUUUUCUUUCUCAAUAAUAAGAAGCUUUAAUUUAUUUUAAGAGAAAGAUGAAGAACAAAGUGACACGUAGAAUAGCAUUUAGUUCAGCCUUUUGUUUUGUCCUUAUUCCAAUUACUGUCUUCGUGGAGUGACGCCAGAGGCCGAGCUUCUUUGUGCCUUGUAUUAAGCUUCGGUGACGGCCACGUCGUUUAAUCAUGCGAUGGCACUGCGACCGACGUCGGUGUAGUAGAUGACGUAGACGUCGAAGGCGGCGACGAGGCCCUCGACGGAGGACGUCACCAGCUUGCUCGCCAGCUUCCCCCAUGCGUACUGGAAAACCCCCGUCCCACCCACGAUGGCCCGCUCCGCCUUCCCGGACGCGUCCAGUCUCCCGAUCGCCGUGAGCGUGCUGUCGGCGAACUCUCCCGUNNNNNNNNNNNNNNNNNNNNNNNNNNNNNNNNNNNNNNNNNNNNNNNNNNNNNNNNNNNNNNNNNNNNNNNNNNNNNNNUUAGACGAUAUUUUAGACUCUCUUAAAAAGGUAAGUAUGUAAGCAUCAUCAUAAUAAUAUUUUAGAGAUUAACAUUAGAAAGGAUUUCAAAUCCUCAAUUCAAAGUUGAGUCUUUUAGAUGUAAGAAUAUCUCAAACUAAAUUCUUGAAUCAUCAAUCAAUAAGUGAAUUUUUAUCAUGUUUAUAGAUUAAAAUGAAUCAUAUACAAUUAAUGAGACUUAGCAUGAUAAAUUUAAGUAAUUCUUAUUGAAAAUAUUUAUGUACGUGAGAUAAAAAAAGAUGAGAGAAAAGUAAUAUAUGACUAAAGAUUGAAGGAGUCAGAGUACAGAAAGUCGGUUUGACAAGUAACACCACGUUUAGCCUUCCUCUUGAACGCCGGUCUCGUUCCAAAAUCGCCGGCCGGACCACUUCGCUCUCCGCCGACAACACGCAACGUCUAGUUUCGCUGGGAUAUGGGUGAUGCGGGUCAAAGUAGAUGAAGCCAUCGACAUGAACGAUGUCGUCUGUAUUCGUCUCUAUCCUCGUCUUCUCAUCUCAGGACAAUAUCUUCCACCUCACGGUAUCAUACGUUGCAUGGUAGGUGAACAAGGAGGAAAGCCAUCAUCCAUGGGGCUGCUUUUGGUUGGUUAAUGGUGAGGGUUCCAUCACAUUUGUUCCGUGUGAUACACGUUUUCUUUCCACCUUUGGUGAAAGAAGAACAUUUGGUGACUAUAAGGGCAUAUUUGCAUAUCAAAUUUGCGAUAAAAAGGGAUGUGGAUGAGACCAUCAAUGUGAUUGAUGCCUCAAUUUUGGAGAAGGAACGCACGUCGUUUACGAUUGCUGCUCUUCGUUACUCGUCGAUCUCCUCAUCCAUCAGUAUGAACUGGAUGAGAGAAUAAUAUUCAAAUUACUCAUUUAAUAUUUUUCUUACUUAAUAGGAGUUUCUAUAGCUCAUGAUUCAUAACUUUAUUUUUGUCCCUUGUAUAAGAGCUGAUUUAAGUUUCUGUAUAGUUUUAUCAAUAGUGUUUUUUAUGCUAGUUUUACUUAUGACGCUGAAUGGCUUAUCUUAAUAACAAACUGAGCAUUCAUUUCAUUAAACAUUUAAUUAGANNNNNNNNNNNNNNNNNNNNNNNNNNNNNNNNNNNNNNNNNNNNNNNNNNNNNNNNNNNNNNNNNNNNNNNNNNNNNNNNNNNNNNNNNNNNNNNNNNNNNNNNNNNNNNNNNNNNNNNNNNNNNNNNNNNNNNNNNNNNNNNNNNNNNNNNNNNNNNNNNNNNNNNNNNNNNNNNNNNNNNNNNNNNNNNNNNNNNNNNNNNNNNNNNNNNNNNNNNNNNNNNNNNNNNNNNNNNNNNNNNNNNNNNNNNNNNNNNNNNNNNNNNNNNNNNNNNNNNNNNNNNNNNNNNNNNNNNNNNNNNNNNNNNNNNNNNNNNNNNNNNNNNNNNNNNNNNNNNNNNNNNNNNNNNNNNNNNNNUAAUUGGAUAAGAUAUAUAAUAUAACUAAUUGUUGUAAGUAUUAGAUUUUGUGAUCCUUUUAUAAUUGGAUAUAUAUAUUAGAUAUAACAAGAGGUACGUCUGUAAACACGUACAGACGUACCUCUUGUUGGGAAAUCUUGGGGGCGACAUCACAUGCACAGCGGAAGAACAAGAAAACAAAAUCCUCUAUUCCCAAAGAGAUGUUCGUCGUCGUGCAAAGAUUGGUGCGCAAAAUCCGUGAAACUUAAAACUACGUAUAGAGUAGAUUGUGUUACCUAGGGAGAUCGUAUAUCCUUGUUUCGUUACAGCUUUUUAGGAGAGGAUGAAAGAGGUCAAGCGUCCUCCUCUCUAGCGGUGAUCUACAUAGUAGGGUUGCGACGAUGCUCCUCAAAACUCCAGGCCUGCUAUGAGGUGGAGAGGGAGAGGAGAAUAGGAGAGGCAAGCAAAUGCUCUAGCUCUGAAUCCCUCCUAUUUAUAGAAGCCCCUUGUCAAAAACCUAAUGGAUCCUCCCCUAGUGGAUAUUGGAUCUACAUCUAAUUACCCAAGCCUUUUAGAUUAGUGGAUCUUUAUCCAAUAAUAUCACAUUGGCUCUUAUUGGAUCUCGUCCAUGGGAUCCAAUAAUUCAUGGGCUUAUUGGAUAUCCAAUAAGACAAGGGCUCUAGCGGAUAUCUCAUAUCCGAACCUUUACUUAUCGUAAUGCCUACCAUAUGUGUGUGACCCUCUAGACCCAAUAUCGAGUUGGCUGUGAGUUAUACUUGUCAGAACUCCUUCUAACUUAGUGAAUUAUUAUCUAUGCAAUAAUUCACUCGACUCAUCGACUACGGACGUAUUAGACCACUACGUCGUAGUCCCCAGACGAUACAGGGGAAUCCAAUCCAUUGGACCUGUCUGUCCUUAGUUACCGUGUACUUAUAGUCCCUCAUCCACCUAAUAUCCCAGAGACCGUAUAUCGAGCAUGGUGUUGUUAGACUCAUACGGUUUUUACUCGAGUCUCGCUCUACUCGGAUUCUCCCGGAGAACUGUUUCUCUCUUAACCCGAAUGGCCCUAGCCAGGGAUUUGUCUGAGCAAGAACACAUGGGAUAUUCCUCUCAUGAUGUCGAGAGUGGAUGAUUCUCUAUCGACACUCAAUAGCCCUCGUAAUGUCGACUGUCACUCCCAAUGACAAGUUGUAUUAGAUCUGGGACAGCCAAACCUAUAAGUCUGGUAUCAAAGAGUGGAGCACUCAUACAGGACAUCCUUGGUGUCUCAAGUCUAAGGACCAGAUACACCACUAGGACUACGGAAUUGCUGUCUAACAAUAAGGCAUCAUUAACCAUCCAACAUUCCGUAAGAGGAUCAAUCAAUUAACUCAUUCUCCAAUGAGCACCUAUACUAUAUCCCUAGUGUCCCUAUAUGAGCAACUAUGAAACCAACUGCAUCCAUCAUAUGGACGAGUAUACAGCACACCAAUUUGUCCGGUUAUUAUGAUGUCUCUUUCGAGUAACCUAUGAUCGGGAUUAUUUAUGAUAUGUGUUUAAAGGUAAAUCGAUCUUAUUAUCGUGAUCUCAUCACGAUCUGAUUCCCAUUGCACAGAUCCAAGGACAUCACAAUAUAUACAUGCAUAUAUGCAAUAGUUAAUAUAAAGUGAUAAAUAUCAAAAUAUAAUAAGUAAAAAAAAGAUUCUGUGUCAAGUCACACGUGUAUCACUCACGUGAUUGGCUUGUUGGGCACCUAUAACUAGCACCUCUCCGUCUCCAUUGAGGGAUUAUAGUUUUCUCAAAAAAAUCAUCAAUCUAAUUGGUCCCGUGAAAGGAUAGAAAGAGAGGAGAAAGGAUAUACUCAUUGUAGAUUCUGCAACGAUCUUGGAUUAAAGACGGUGCAUUGAAGAUCAAACAAAAAUAUUUGAACAAGCAUCAAAAGGUACGUAUCGUUAAACGAGAUCUAUGUAUUUGAUUUCAAUCCUGGUAUAAAGGUUAUUUUCGUAUUUUAAACAACACAUUACAGUUUUUUUGCUUACAAUUUGGUAUCAAAGCCUGGUUUUUUAAAUCAAACACAUUAUAUCUAUUAUUUUGAUGCAUGAUUGGCUUAGGUUUUGCAAAAUUAUAGUUUUACCCUUUGUAAAUUUCAUAAUUCUGAUUUAUGUUCUGUCAACAUAUUUAUGGUUUUUGUCAUCGGGUCUAAUUUCUAUCAAAUUAUAGUUCUACCCUUUAUAAAUCACAUGAUUUCAAUUUAUAUCCUUUCAAAUAUUUAUAGUUUUAUCGAAAUUGAGAAAUUUAGUUUAUAUUCUCAAUUAUAAAAUUGAUAAAUAUGAUUUAUUAUAAUUAUGAUUAAAUUUAAUCAUAAUUAUAUUUUUGAUUAUUUUAUUAUAUUUAAUUUUGAUAAAAAAUAUAAAUUAUGGUUUACUUUAUAGUUUUCUCAUAUGAAAUAUUAAUUAUAUAUGUAGUAAAUAAAAUCAAAAUAUAAUUAUUAUUUUUAAAAUUUUAUUUACUUAUUCACAUGUAUAUAUUUGAAAUUAUGAAAUAAUGUUUAUCUUUCACAUGAAGGCAUGAUUUAUAUGUUAUCAUGAUUAUCAUAUGAGUUUUCUUUUACUGAUUAAAGUUCAAUAAUUAUUAUGGUUAUUCUAUUAUUGAACUGCUUAGUGGGACUUGAAUGAGCUAACUAGCAUGUGUGGGACUUGAAUGAGCUAACUAGCAUGUGUGGGACUUGAAUGAGCUAUUAUUCACUAUAAUACAAAUAAGGAUAAGUGGGACUUGAAUGAGCUAACUAGCAUGUGUGUUCAGGAAGAAUUGAGAUUAAGACAGGAAAGUUCAUAUAAUGUCAUUACUACUACUCAAGGAGGUGGUAAUAAGAAAAGAAAGUUAAAGCAUCAUCCAUCAAAGAGAUUUGUCGAGUCUGAAAAUGUUAAACAGACUAAUGGAAAGAAAGUCUUUACUGUAAAGUAUUUUUUUUGUGACAAGAAAAGAACAUGUGAAGAAGGACUGCAUUAAAUGCAAGACUUGGUUCGAAAAUAAAGGUAUUAAUUCGACCUUUAUAUGUUUUGAAUCAAACAUUACAAAAGUUCCUUCAAACACUUGGUAGAUUGAUUCUGAUGCUUCAACUCAUGUUACCAAUAAGGAUUUCUUUCAAUUCCAAAACCAAAAGAACAUUAAAGAUUUAUUAAUAUGGGAAAUCGUCUUAAAGCGAAAGUGAUAUAAAUGAGAACUUAUCAUCUACGCAUAGAGACGGGUCACCUGAUGGAUCUUAUUGACACAUGUUAUGUCCCUACAAUUUCUAAAAAUUUAGUUUCUUUUUCUAGAAUUGAUGAGUUAGGAUAUUGUCUUUCUUUUGAUAGUGGCAAACUCAGUAUGUUUUAUGAUUCAAUAAAAGUUAGUUCCGGAAUUCUGUAUGAUGGUUUGUAUAGAAUUAAUUUGGAUAUUGAGUUUACAAAGACAUUAAUAACCCUACAAUCAAGUGUUAGAUUGAAACGUAGUUUCAAUAAUGAAAGAUCUUCUAUAUUGUGGCAUAUACGAUUGGUGCAUAUCUCCAAGGAAAAAAUUGAAAGAUUAGUGAGGAUAAUAUUUUGGAACAUUUAGACUUCACUAAUUUUGAUAUUUGUAUAGAUUGUAUUAAGGGAAAGCAAACUAAACAUAUAAAGAAAAAUGCCACAAGAAGUAAAGAAUUCGUUCAGAUUAUUCAUGCUGAUAUCUGCGGACCACUCCAUAUUCCUUGUUUUAGUGGAGAAAGGUAUUUUAUCACAUUUAUAGAUGAUCUGUCCAGAUAUGACUAUGUUUAUCUAAUACAUAAAAAGUCUCAAGCCAUUGAUACAUAAAUGAGGUCGUGAGACAAUUAGAUAUAAAAGUUAAAAUUGUCAGAUCUGACAAGUUUAAUGAAUUUUAUGGUAGAUAUGAUGGAUCUGGUUAGAAUAUUGGUUCUUUUGCUAGAUUCCUAGAACAAUGGGAUAUUUAUGCUCAAUAUGUAUUACCAGGUGUGCCAUAGCAGAAUGAUGUUGCUGAAAGGGGAAAUCAUACUCUUAUGGAUAUGGUUAGGAGCAUGAUAAGUUAUUCCUCUGUACUUAAGUCGAUGUGGUGUGAAGCUCUUAUAACAGCUAUGUACACAUUGAACAGGAUUCUUAGUAAGUCUGUUUCAUCGACUCCAUUUGAGUUAUGGACUGGUAGGAAGUCCAGUCUAAGACAUUUACAUAUUUGGGGGUGUCCUACAAAGAUAAAAGUAUUUAAUCCAUAUGAAACGAAAUUUGAUCUAAGAACUAUUUCAGGAUAUUUUAUUGGUUAUCUAGAAAAAUCCAAGGGAUACAGAUUUUAUUGCCCUAAUCAUAGUAUGAGGAUAGUAGAAUCUAGUAAUGCAAAAUUAUUAGAAAAUGGUGAAAUCAAUGGGAGUAAAAAAUCUUGAAUGAUUAAUUUUGAUAUUGAGGAGAUUUAGGUUAAUUCUCCUAUAUCAUCUCUUAUUUAAGAGAUUGUUGUUCCUCAAAUCAAUGAGAGUAUUAAUGAGGGUGAAUAAUAAAAUAACAUCGAAGAACUCUCACAUAAUGUUGAUGUCACCGCUGAUGAUCUUGUAGAACAAUCACAAUUGGCAGAUUUAAGAAGAUCUCAAAGGAAAAAGAAACAUGUCAUUUCUGAUGAUUAUGUGGUAUAUUUACAAGAAUCAAAUUAUUAUAUAGGAAUAAAAAGAGACCCCUUAUCGUUUCCACAAGCUAUAGAAAGUAAUGAUUAUGAAAAAUGGUAUGAUGCAAUGAAAGAAGAGUUAAAAUCAAUGGUUCAGAAUGGUGUCUAAGAUCUCGGUGAAAUGCCCAAUAAUUGUAAAAGAGUCGAUUGUAAAUGCGUCUUUAAGAUAAAAUGUGACUCAACGUGCAAUAUCAAACGAUUUAAAGCCAGACUUGUGGCCAAAGAUUUUUCUCAAAAGGAAGAUAUCGACUAUAAUGAGACUUUUUCUUCAGUUUCUAAAACAGACUCAUUGAGAAUUAUCAUGACAUUAGUAACUCAUUAUGAUCUUGAGUUUCAUCUGAUGGAUGUGAAAAUAACAUUUCUGAAUGGGGAUCUGGAUAAGGAAAUCUAUAUGGAACAACCUGAAGGAUUCGUAGAAAAGGGAAAAGAAGGUUAGGCUUGUAAACUUAAGAAAUCUAUUUAUGACAUUAAACAAACUUCUAGACAAUGGUAUAUAAAGUUUCAUAAUACCAUUACUUCCUUCGGAUUUAAGGAAAAUACUGUUGAUCAGGGUAUAUAUCUGAAGGUAAGUGAGAGCAAGGCAGCCUAUGUUAUUAGUAUUGAGAUAUUCAGAGAUAGAUCUCAAGGAUUAUUAGAAUUAUCUCAGAAAGGUUAUAUUGAUCGUAUGUUGGAGAGAUUUAAUAUGCAACUUUGCUCAGCCAAUGAUAUACCUAUUACUAGAGGUGAAAAUUUCAAUUAAAACCAGUGUCCAAGAAAUGACUUAGAAAAGAAUCAAAUGAAAAAUAUUCCUUAUGAGUGCGUAGUUGGAAGUCUAUUAUAUGCUCAAACUUGUACAAGACCAGAUAUCAAUUUUGCAAUUGCAAUACUGGGAAGAUACCAAAGCAACCCAGGAAUGAAACAUUGUAAAGCUGCAAAGAAAGUAAUGAGAUAUGUACAAGGAACGAAAGAUUAUAUGCUCACAUAUAGGAGAUCAGAUCAGCUUGAAGUAAUAGGAUAUUCAGAUGCUGAUUUUGUAAAUUGCCUCGACAGUAGGAAGUCCACUUCAGGAUUUAUAUUUAUGUUAGCUGGUGGGGCAAAUUCUUGGAAAAGUGUAAAGCAAUCACUUAUUGCAUCAUCCACAAUGGAAGCUGAAUUUGUGACAUGCUUUGAGGCCACAAAUCAAGUUUUAUAGCUGCGAAAUUUCAUCUCAGGAUUUGAUAUGGUCGACUCAAUUGCCAAACCACUGAAUAUAUUUUGUGAUAAUACCACAACAGUUUUCUUCUCUAAGAAUGACGAGUAUUUUAGUGGUUCCAAGCAUAAUGAGAUAAAGUACUUUGUAGUUAGAGAAAGAGUCCAGAAACAGCAAGUGCCAAUUGAGAACCUGAACACCACUAUGAUGAUUGCUGAUCCAUUAACAAAGGCCUUACAAUAUAGAAUAUUUAAAGAACAUGCUCUUAGAAUGAGGCUUGUGCGCAAGUCAUAAAGGAUAUGAUGACACAUAUUUAUAUGGAUGUUAUUAUUAAUAUUCUUCUUGCUUAAUUAAACUUAUUUGUUUCUGCCAUCCUUUUUACAUUUAUGUUUAUGCAUAUUAUAGUUGAAUGUAAUAACAAGAUAAAUUAUCAUUAUAGACUAUAUUAGGAAAGACUAACAAUGUUGUGGUACAUAGAAGGAAGUAUGACAUUGAUGAAAUACAACCGCUAUGAUUCGUAUUGAUAGUUGGACUUAAUAUAGUAUUAUUAUGUUUAUUGGACUUAUUGGCUUAUUAAAAAAAAAACAUGGCCACGUAUAAAAUAUUUUUCAAAAUUCUUUAGAAUCCAAUUAGGUAAAAUUAUUUUUUAAAUAAAUUUUAUUUUUAUUUAUUUUGAUUUUGAUUAUCUCUUUUAUAUCUUAUCAAUUAAUGGAUCAAGUGGGAGAAUGUUAGAUUUUCUGAACAGAUGACAUCAAACAAAAAUUUCUGAACAAAUGACAUCAAAAGAUAGCAUCGUUAAACGAUAUCAAUAUAUUUGAUUUCAAUCUUGACAUAAAGGUUAUUUCCGUAUUUUAAACAGCAUAUUACUGUUUUUAUUUUUACAAUAAUAGGUUUUCAUUCAUAAUUUUAUUAAACGAGAUCGACAUUUCUUUUUAUUUCAGCCUUAUCAUAUAAUAGUUCAUCUCCUGACAUAUCUGAUCGCCGUGGCUUUAAUUAUCGUCUCGCGGAUCACGCGAUUGCGGUGAGACGGACGUCGUCAUAAUAGACGACAUAGAUGUCGAAGGCGGCGACGAGUCCCGCUUUGUCGGACGUCACCAGUUUGCUCACCAUGUUCCCCGACGCGAACUGGAACACCCCCGUCCCUCCCACGAUGGCCCGGUCCGCCUUCCCGGAGGUGUCCAUCCUCCCUAUCACCGUGAGCGUGCUGUCGCAGAAGUCCCCCGCCGUGAACACCAGCACCAGCGGUAUCAGCGACGACUCGUCCCGCUGCGACGCGUGGAAGCUCACGCCCUGUGCCCUCCCGACUUCAGUCGAACGCUUGGAGGGGCCGGUCCUCAGCACGGCGUCGAAGAUGUCGACGUCCCCGAAGGUGUUGGGGAGGCUCAUGUUCACCACGGUCACGGUGGUGUUGUCGGGGCCGAGAAAGGUCUCGUGGAAGUAGACGCGGAAAUGGAUUCUGCUCUGCCGGCCGAGUUCGAACUCGGAGGUCACCGGGAAGGCCGUGGCAGCAGCCAGGAGGAGGAAGAAGACGAGGAGGAAGUAGAGAUGAGUGAAGCUAUUUGGGGAUGAAGCCAUGGCUAGGAUGACCGAAGGAUCGAAGUGAGGUGGGUACAACGCUGGAUCAGGAACAUGUAUUUAUAGAGUAAAGUCUGUGCCAUGCGUCGUCAACAAAUGCCAACGUCCAACCAAAUCUCAUUAUCAUGUCUACAUAAAAUACUCAAACGAAUAUUACUCUUGCAGGCGAAGGUAUCCGCGUAGGGAAGAAGAUAGCAUAUAGUAACACGAUGUACACACCAUAUAGUCUUCUCCAUGAAUAAAUAAAUAUAUAAAUAUAUAUAUAUUUUUUUUAAAUAUAUUAAUAUAUAUGAUCUCUAGCAAUGGAUAUGGGUAACUGAGAGAUGGAGGGAUGAUAGUUGGAAGCAAUGGCCGAUAAGGAUAGUGUUGCGUCUUUUGCAAGUGCCAACUGGCCACCUGUAGCUCGUCAAUUUGCUUGUUAAUUAACGAACCACAUUGGCAACGCUAUCUUUCUUUAUGUGUUUCAACACAGAUGUACGCGGUUGGCUGAUGGCCGUCAGUCCCGUUUGUUCGCAUCUUCAGUUGUUGACAUGUGGUAAUGAAGUGUUGGUUCCCAUGCGUGACCGCUACCCCACCACUGCACUUAAAGUCGCGACGUAAUUAUUGACCGACGGUGCGAUGCAAAACCUUCUCUCGCCAAUCAAGUCAUUCGUGACUCAAGUGGCGCUAUUAACCAUCUUUUGCUUUACAGUAAUCAAAGAAAAGCUCACAUGAUUUGUUCUCAUAUCAGCAUAGCAAAUGAAUUUUAUGUGAAUUUUAAUAUACAUACAUAUUCUCUCCUGUCAAAACAUAUCCUAAACUCAUGUUUAUUUUCACCACUAUAUAUAUCAACACGAGACCAAAAAACAAAAAGGGAUGGGAUGACAUAAAGCAUGUCAAUGUUGAUGGGGAUAUAAAGAGGAAUAACCUUUUGUAUAUGAACAAAUACUAGAAGACCAUAUACGCAGCGAAAUAAAAUGGAAACACAAUCAAAUAGAACACCAAGAUAUACGUGGAAAAUCCCUUCAAUGUGAAGGGUAAAAACCACGGGGCAAACUAGAGAUAAUCCACUAUGAGAAUAAUGAAUAUACAAAUCUCAAUCUCUUACCCAAAACCCUAGCAAUAACCACAAGAGGAUAACUGGGAUACAAGGAUCACGUCACUGCCCACAAUAUCUAAAACCUCCCCAAGUAAUCACAGCAAGAGUCUACUGUAGAUUUGAUCUAACCUGAGAUGAGAACACUGCUAGAUGAUUGAGAACAGUCUCUCUGCGUUGUCCUUGUCUUCUUCCCUUUCUUUCUCUUAUUUUUCUACCUUGUUCUUCUCUCUUUGUUGUUACGAGGAUGUCAACGUUGCUGCCCACGUUGCUGCUUGUAAAACGCAGCCCCCACACCCCCCUUAUAUUGAUCUAGGGUUAGGUCAAAGGGGUGUGGGUUGUGGGCUGAAUCCACUUUGGGCUGCCAGCCCAACAACCUCCUCCUUCAGCCCAUAAGGGAGGUUGUCCCAUGACUCCUCAAUGUGAAGCCAUGCCGACCAACUGUCGGCAUAUCUCCUGUCUUUCUUUUGGUAAGGUCUUCGUCAACAUGACUGCUCCGUUGUCAUCUGUAUGAAUUUUCUGAAGCUGCAACUACUUCUCUUCAAAUACAUUUCGAAUCCAGUGGUAUCUAACAUCUAUAUUCUUUGACUUGGAAUGAAACAUUGGGUUCUUAUACAAAUGGAUGACACUCUGGCUGUCACAAUGCACCACAUAAUUUUCCUGUUUCAGCCCCAAUUCUUGUAAGAAUUCUUUCAUCCAUAAUAUUUCUUUGCAUACCUCUGUAGCAGCAAUAUAUUCUGCUUCUGUGGUAGAGAGAGCAAUACACCUUUGCAACCUGGAUUGCUAUGACACAGCUCCCCCUGUAAAAGUAAGUACAUAACCUGAAGUAGACUUCCUCGUAUCUAUAUCUCUUGUCAUAUCUGCAUCUUUGUAACCUGUCAACAUAGGUGGUCUACCUCCAAAGCUUAAAUAAACCUUAGAGCUCCCUUUGAGAUAUCUAAAAAUCCACUUCACUGCUGCCUAGUGCUCUUUGCUUGGAUUUGCAAGAAAUCUGCUAGUAACACCCACUGCAUAUGCGAUGUCUGGCCUUGUACAUACCAUUGCAUACAUUAAACUCCCAACUGUUGAAGCAUAAGGAACCUUUUGCAUUUUCUCCUUCUCCUCAUCACUUGAUGGGCUCUGUUCUGAGCACAACUUGAAGUGACUUGCAAGAGGAGAACCAACUGGUUUUGCAUUGCUCAUACUGAAUCUUUCCAAUACCUUCUCGAUGUAUUUCUUCUGUGACAACCAAAUCUUCUUGUUUUUUCUGUCACGAGAAAUCUGCAUGCCUAGUAUUUGCUUUGCUGGCCCCAUGUCCUUCAUUGCAAAAGACUCACUCAGUUCCUUCUUUAACCUGUCAAUUUUAGACAUAUCUUUCCUAAGAAUAAGUAUGUCAUCAACAUAAAGUAAGAGAAUAAUAAAAUCCUCACCAAACCAUUUGAUGUACACACAAUGAUAUGAAGUCGUUCUUUUAUAUCCAUUUUCUGUCAUAAAUGAAUCAAACUUUCUGUACCACUGUCUUGGAGCUUGCUUUAGCCCAUACAAGCUCUUCUUCAACUUGUAGACAAGAUUAUCUUUACCUUUGACUUUGAAGCCUUCUGGUUGCUCCAUAUAAAUUUUCUCCUCUAAAUCACCAUGAAGGAAAGCUGUCUUCACAUCUAACUGCUCAACCUCUAAGUCCUGGCUAGCAACAAUACCAAGAGCAAUACGAAUAGAAGACAUUUUAACAACAGGAGAAAAUAUCUCUUCAAAGUCAAUACAUUUCUUUUGACCAAAGCCUUUCACAACCAAUCUAGCUUUGUACUUUGGUUGAGAACAAUAUUCUUGAGUCUUCAACCUAAAAACUCAUUUGUUCUUCAAGGCCUUCAUUCCAUUUGGUAGUAGCACCAAAUCAUAAGUGUGGUUCUUCUGAAGAGCAUCAAUCUCUUCCUGCAUAGCAACUAACCACUUCUCUUUCUGCUCACUCUCAACUGCUUCCUGGUAACUUUCUGGUUCACCUGCAUCAGUAAGCAUCACAUACUCAUUUGUAGAGUAUCUUCUGGAAGGUUGACGUUGUCUAGAAGAUCUUCUCAACUGAGGUUCUGCGGGAACUUGCUCUCCUACUUCUUCUUGCUCAACAUGUCCUACAGGUAAAUCAACAUCAGGCUCUACACUAUUUUCCUGCACAUCUCCCCCAUCACCCUGAUAUACUGGAGGAAUAACUAGGUCACAAUCUGCUAAUCGUUCUGCAGAAGUCUUGGCUAGUGCCUUCUUCUUCAAAUCCUCAAAGGUUUGAUCCUCAAAGAAGACCGCAGCUCUGCUCCUGAACACCUUCUGCUUUUCUGGAUCCCAAAGCCUAUAACCAAACUGAUCAUGUGAGUAACCAAGAAAAAUACAUUCUUUAGACUUACCAUCCAGCUUGGACCUCUCAUUAUCUGGAAUAUGUGCAAAUGCACGACAACCAAACACUCUCAAAUGCCUAUAGGAAACAUCUUUCCUUGACCAUACAUGCUCUGCAACAUCACCAUCUAGGGUUGUACAUGGUGAUAAGUUGAUCACAUCAACUGCAGUCCUCAAAGCCUCAUCCCGAAACCUUUUGGGUAGCUUGGCCUGUGAAAGCAUACAUCUGAUCUUUUCCAUGAUGGUGCGGUUCAUCCUCUCUGCAAUUGCAUUAUGCUGAGGUGUACCAGGAACUGUCAUCUCAUGUUGGAUCCCAUGUGACCUGCAAUAGUCAUUAAACAAUCCCGUAUACUCACCACCAUUAUAUGAUCUUAUGCAUUUCAAUUUCCUUUCUGUCUCCCUUUCAACCCUGGCAUGAAACUCUUUGAAGACAUUAAUAACCUGAUCUUUGGUCUUCAAAGCAUAAGCCCAAACUUUCCUGGAAAAAUCAUCUAUAAAAGUGACAAAAUAAAGUGCACCACUUAUACCAAGAACAUCAACAGAUCCACCAGGAGUUUUUGUCCUCAAAGGACCACAUACAUCUAUAUAAACACGGUCUAAGGCAUGCAUUUUUCUAGACAAAGCAGCAUUAGCAAAUGAAACUCUAUGUUGUUUACCAGCCAAACAAUCAAUACAAGGGUUCAGAUGUAUACCUCUGAGAUCUGGCAAUACCUCUCUCUUGGAAANNNNNNNNNNNNNNNNNNNNCUAUACCUGUAUGUAGCAAAAAACUCUCUCCGAGGUGUAGCAUGAUAAGAAGCACCUAUGUCAAUCACCCACUCAAGAUCCUGACACACACAAGAAAAAAUAUCAUCAGAAUGAGACAAAAUCAAAUAAUCACCACCCUGCACUGUAGCUAUAGUAUUAUCCUUUGACUCUGUAGACUCCACUUCUUUUUCCUUUUUCUUGUUCUUCUUAGGUUGCUUACAUUGGUUCUUGUAAUGUCCUUUCUCACCACAGUUAUAGCAAACAAUAUCUUUUCUUGAUCUUGACUUGCUCCUACCCAUACGUGAAUUGCUUAUAGACUUUGACCUUCCUCUGUUCUCUGAGAUAAGUGCCUGUGAAUCAUUCUGAGAUGUUGCUGAACUCUUUCUUCUCAACUCCUUAUUCAACAAACUGCUUGUUACUUGACUCAUAGUGACAAUACCAUCUGGCGCAGAAUUACUAAAGGAAACCACCAGUGUCUCCUAACUUUCUGGUAAUGAACUGAGAAGUAACAAUGCCUGCAACUCAUCAUCAAGAGACAUUUUCAUAGAGGAUAACUGGUUAGUAAUACUUUGCAUUUCAUUCAAAUGCUCAGCAAUAGAAGCACCCUCUCUAUAUUUUAGGUUCACAAGUUUUCUGAUCAAAAAAGCUUUGUUGCCAAUUGUUUUUCUUUCAUAGAGACUUUCCAAUUUUUUCCAAAGAGAAUAUGCAGAAAUUGCAGUAGAAACAUGGUGAAAGACACUAUCAUCAAGCCACUGUCUAAUAAACCUAAUUGUUUUUCGAUCUAACCUCUUCCACUCAUCAUCUGUCAUAGUUGUAGGUUUUGCACUAUCCCCUUGCAAAGGUCCAUUCAAAUCUUUGCAAUACAAGAGAUCUUCCAUUCUUGGUUUCCAUAUCAUCCAAUUAUUUUCAUUCAAACUAAUCAUGCGAGAAACAUUACUGGCCUUCAUGUUCAAAUACAAAAAUUAAAUUACCAAAAUCCCGCUCUGAUACCAGUUGAUGGGGAUAUAAAGAGGAAUAACCUUUGUAUAUGAACAAAUACUAGAAGACCAUAAUACGCAGCGGAAUAAAAUGGAAACACAAUCAAACAGAACACCAAGAUAUACGUGGAAAACCCCUUCAAUGUGAAGGGUAAAAACCACGGGGCAAACUAGAGAUAAUCCACUAUGAGAAUAAUGAAUAUACAAAUCUCAAUCUCUUACCCAAAACCCUAGCAACAACCACAAGAGGAUAACUGGGAUACAAGGAUCACGUCACUGCCCACAAUAUUUAAAACAUCCCCAAGUAAUCACAGCAAGAGUCUACUGUAGAUUUGAUCUAACCUGAGAUGAGAACACUACUAGAUGAUUGAGAACAGUCUCUCUGCGUUGUCCUUAUCUUCUUCCCUUUCUUUCUCUUGUUUUUUUGCCUUGUUCUUCUCUCUUUGUUGCUACGAGGAUGUCAACGUUGCUGCCCACGUUGCUGCCUUUUUCUGCCUCUUUUCUGCUUGUAAAACGUAGCCCCCACACCCCCCUUAUAUUGAUCUAGGGUUAAGUCAAAGGGGUGUGGGUUGUGGGCUGAUAAAGCCCGGGCUGAACCCACUUUGUGCUGGCAGCCCAACAACGUUACAUGUGAAUCACGCCUACAUAAUCCUUGACCUACCAAAGGUGUGGUUGAUUGUCAAAGUUCAUCAUUAUUAUGUAAGGUAUAUAUUUUUUAAGCAGAUCGUCAAAUGCCAGCGCAUGCCGUGUUAUAUUUCAAAGUGCAUAGAUGACCCAAUCCGUGUGUAAUGUCUCCUACUUAGUUGUCCCCUCACGCAAUGCAUUUCUUUAUGAGUAUACGUAUACUUCCACCUGAUCACAACAUCCAUAUUAAAGCUUAUGUAGGUGCAGCGAAAUUAGUUAUUCGUCGAUAAAUAGGAGAAAAAUGGCUAACAAGUCUUAUUAAAACCAUUAAUUAAGAAUUUAGAGAAGAGAUAGUAUCAUAUUUGAUUUCACAUUGAUCAGAGACUUAGGGAAUCAAUACCUAAUACCUAAUAAAGAGUCAAAUACAAAUUUUCUUUUUUUGACAGACAACUUUUGGGAUCCACCUUAAAAAAGGAAAGAUCAUGUGGUUCCGCUUAACAAUUUAUGAUUCAAAAGAGCUCGUGAUUGACCUUUUAUUCAAUGGGGUGAAUAAGUUUGUGAAAAUAAGAAUAUUAUUUGGAUAAAAAUAAAUAGUAAAAAAAUGAUCAAAUGGUGUGUGGACACGUGGCAUAUUCAUCAAUGUUUAAAGCAGCAGAUCGCACGAGUAGUAACAACUACCAAAGCACUCUCCACGAUGAGAAAGGGCGGCGGGGGCGGGGAAGUGACACGAUGUGAAAGAAUCAUAGAGGCGGCUCUCCUCUCUACCCUCCUUUCUCUUCUCCCUGCCACACGUCCUCCUCUUUAAUCGCAGAUUCGUGGACGAUCGAGUCCGGCGGCGACGAGCGCGAUGUGAGUUUGAGUCUCGUCUCUUGAGUGCAGUCAGAUUUCUGCACACAGAUCGAGAUCGGAAGAAAGAUUUUUUUGAUUUAACUCUUUCGAUGCCGAUCAGGGGGUUAGCUUUUAUACUUGCAAAUAAGGGUCGAUCGUACGUGAUCUGUUAAUAGUGGCCAACUCCUCGAGCGAUCGGUUUGUACCUCUUGUGCGAGCGUCGAUCGACCUACAUUGAUCCACAUUGUGUGACAUCGUUCCGAGCUUUCCGGAGUGGCUUUGUGCUAUGUAGCGUUGUCUCGUACGACCUCGGACAGUAUGAGAACAUGCGAUCGUCCUAUCCGAGUACGAGAUGUCACGUCGAUGCAAUGCAUCAUAUCAACCCUGAGGCUCCAUGUUGGCGCUGAUUGAUAGCAUAUAAGACAUCAUAUCAACCUUUGCCCUAUGAUCGAGGAAACGAAACCUAGUCUUAUGGUAUCUUUUUCCCCUCCGUUUAAAUUCACUUCUUCCCUUUGAUCACGCGUGUAAAAGAAGCUUAACCGGAGGAAUGUAAGAGUUGUCUCACGUUUUUGAGCUUUUUGUACCGUAACCUAAUAAGUUCUCUUGAUUUUAGAGUGAAUUAGGCAUUGCAUUUGGUUGAUAUGUAUGCAACUAAGUACAUCUGUACGUACAGCAGCAACUCAAGUGGAUAUGUGUUAUUUUCAGUUCCCAUCAAAACUUUGAAUAGUCGAUUUUAGUUUUUUUUUUAAAUAUGUAGCCAAAGAAAGUCCCUUUCACGGAAUCUUCCUUCGGCAUGCUGCAGUUGAUUAUAAAUCGAUCGUAAAAUAUAUAUUAAAAUGAUUUGAGGUUAAUAACCCAAGCAUAUAUUGAAUAAUAAUUUAUUGAUAAAAUUGUGUAUUAUUCGAUUGAAAGGAAACCGAAGGCAUGAUAAGUUUUUGUCUUAUGUUUGUUGUAUCAUCAAAAGACAUGAACCAAAAUACGGUUCACUGCUUCAACAUGAUCUUCGGUUUACAGAUGAAAGGCUAUAUUGUUCUUCAGCUUGAUGUUCCUGAUGGUCCAAAGUGAACUUGCUAAAAGAAAAAACACUCGUCAUGAUCACGAUGGAAUAAUAUUUCAAACUCUCAAUUUUUAAUAUAAAAUUGUAUGUAUCCAAGAGCUGGUUGGAGAAUUGUAUAUGAUAUGUCUAUAGUUCUCCGAGUUCUGAUAUUUUCGAAGUUUGUUUCAAUAGGUUUUUAUUCAUAAUAUUAAUAAACGAGAUCGAAUAAUUCUUUUUAUUUUAGCCUUAUUAUUUAUUCUGCAGACGUAAAGCAAGUUAAACAUUGUUAGCUCUUAUUUAAAUGCUGUAGCUUUCAUUAUCGUGUCUCGGAUCACGCGAUGGAAGUGAGACGGACGUCGUUAUGGUACAUGACGUAGACGUCGAAGGCGGCGACGAGUCCCGCAUCGUCGGACGUCACCAGCUUGCUCACCAUGUUCCCCGACGCGAACUGGAACACCCCCGUCCCUCCCACGAUGGCCCGGUCCGCCUUCCCGGACGCGUCCAUCCUCCCGAUCACCGUGAGCGUGCUGUCGCAGAAGUUUCCCCCCGUGAACACCAGCACCAGCGGUAUCAGCGACGACUCGUCCCGCUGCGACACGUGGAAGCUCACGCCCUGCGCCCUUCCGAAUUCAGUCGACCACUUGGAGGGGCCGAUCCUCAGCACGGCGUCGAAGAUGUCGACGUCUCCGAAGGUGUAGGGGAGGCUCAUGUUCACCACCGUGACGGUGCCGUUGUCGGGGCCGAGAAACGUCUCGUAGAAGUAGACGCGGAAGUGGAUUCUCUUAUGGAUGCCGAGUUCGAACUCGGAGGUGACGGGGAAGGCCGUGACAGCAUCAAGGAGGGGGGAAGAAGACGAGGAGGAAGUAGAGAUGAGAGGAGCUGCGUGGGGAUGAAGCCAUGACAAAAGGAUCGCGGGCACGAUGAAAAUAAUAGAAAAUAAGAAUAAUUAUUAAAAAAAAAUUAUUAAAAAAGUUUUAUUGAAGUACUUCAGCUUGAAUACAUUAAGUUGCCCAUGUACUAUUUAUACAGAUUAGGAGAGAGGAUUUUUCUUAACAGAAUAAAGGAUUUCACUCAAGAUGGUGCACCUGUCAAGGAUACCAAUCUUGGAUCGAUGCAAAGAAUGAUUUACGAGUUAGAGGCUUCAUGAGUAGGGCAAGAGCAGAUUGCUGUUGCUGUUGUUGCUGUUGCUAUUAUUGUAGCUGCGACAGCGAUAGCUGCAGUAGAGGAGAAAGCUACAGUAAUAGAAAAAGCUAUAGCAAUGCUGUAGCAGAGGAAUAAACUGCAGUAGAGAAGGAAAUUGCAGCAGAGGAGAAAACUACAGUAGAGGAGAAAGCUGCAAUGAUGCUACAAUAAAAAAGGAUACAACAAAGGAGGAAAGGUGGGGCAGUGCUGGUGAAUGUAGCACUAGAGACGUCAUAGCGGAAUAAGAGACGUUAGUGCAGAGUGGUAGUGGAUAAGACAGUUGUCGUUCACCGAGGAGGAAAGAUUUAAAGAUUUAUUGUCGGAGGUGGAAAAGAUGAGUCGGAGGAAAGAUUUAUCAUCGGAGGUGGAAAAGCAACAGAUGAGUCGAUAGCGAGAAGAAAGUAACAUAUGAGUCGAUACUUAAACUUAGAGAUGGAAGAUGGUUCCCGAGUGUGAUCGGUGCGUCUCGUGCAUUUAUUAUAGAGGAUCGUCAUAUGCCUUGUUCGCUUUCAAUGUAAAUAAUUGACCAAAUCCGUGCGCAAUCUAAACCACAUAGUGGCCCAUCAGACAAUGCAUUUCUUUCUCAUGAUGUGUUUGCUUCACCUAUUUCAACUGUUUAUGCGGUCCACAUUAAAUCUUCUGUCGGUUCAGCAAAAUUGGCUAAUUAUCGUUUCUUAAUGUUGAAAAUGUAUAACAAGUCUGUGUAAGACUCUCAAUUAAAAAUUUUAAACACAUUUAGUCCCAAAUUGAUUAGAGAUUUAAAGAGUUAAUAUCUAAUCAAAUACCUUGAAAGGAAAAGAUCCCUGCACUCCUACUUAACAAUUUAUUAACAUUAAAAGAGCUCAAGAUUAAUUUUUUUUUAUUGACGUAAAUAAUUUGUGAAAAAUAAAGGUAUUAUUUUGGAUAAAAUAAAUAGUAAAAAAAGGGAUCAAAUUGAUUAUUGAAACAUCACAUUUUCACGAAUCUUAAAGCAACAGACUGCAUCAGUAAGUAAUAUAUAAUUUUGGAUAAAAAUAAAUACUAAAAAAGAUGAUCAAAUGAAUUAUGGACACAUGCUAUAUCUACCAAUCUUAGUGCAGCAGAUUGCAUUAGUAACCAACGACCAAGAUGAGAAGGAAGGGGGAAAUGACGAUGUGAAGAAUCCACAGAGGUGGCUCUCCUCUCUGUCCUCUUCGGUAGCAACGAGCACGAUAUGGUGAUCAAGGUCCGAUCUCUUACUAUUCCUUCUUUUCCAAUUUUCCCAAUCUUGGUUAGAGUUUUAAUUUGAUGGAGUGCUUGACGCCGUCUUGUAGUUUUUUGAUGUCAAAUUCUUGGUUCGAUCUACUGUUCGAUCAAAAUCUUUGAUGGUCCUACAACCUAGUUGCUCUAUGAUCAACAAAAAGGAAACCUAAUAUUAUAGUAUUUGAUAGGUAUAAUCCUAACACUUGUCAGUUCUUUUAUCGUAUAGGUCAAAGAAGCAACACCUAAGCAUCAGCAUGGGAGUCACCUGCUCCCUGCAACCGCUAGCAUAUAAACUCAUCUAGUUUGAGUUGCAUCACGGGAUAAAUCUGAGGACUCUAUAUAUUAAAAAAAUCCACCCUUUAUAUUGUUAUUGUCAUAUGAUAUUGGGGUAGAAUCUAAUAAAUGACACAGUUACUCUACGUACACACACACACUUAUAUAUAGUCUUAUAGAUGUGGACAUGUGACAUCAACUAAAUGAGCAAUUUAAAAACUAAAAUGCAUUUGUACCUAUUAAGUUUUGUUUUCCAACAUAUAACUUAAUUUAAGAGGGCAAUGCACCAGUUAUGAUUCAAGUAUUAUUCGACAACAUUCACUAAAUCACUCGAGGUUUUAAAAGUCAAAUUUAGAUAAGGACCAGGACAAAAUGAAACUCGAUCAUGAAAAUUAAAACUUCUAAAUAGGAAGAAAUACAAUAUCAUUUUGUUCAGAUAAGUACACAACAUUCCCGUAUUAAUCUAUAUAUUGUAGCCUACUAAUUUAAAAGCACUGUAAGAUUACAAUGUAAUCAACCUAAAAAUAGGCCCUUCCUCAGCGCCACCAAUUGCAUGUAGCCAUCAUCCAAAACGUCGUCUUAUAUGAUUCUGUAAGAAGACUCUUAUAGAAGUUUUUAUGUGCCCACAUAUUAUCAACAUGGGCCGUGCCACAAUGCAGAAAGCCUUACUCAUGCAACAUUAUUAAAUCAUUCAUAUGCAAAGGAAUUCAUGAAUCACAAUAAAUUGCUAGUUACCUCCUUGAUAACAACUAACAAUGUAGAGGAGACCUAAAAAGGUCUAAAUUAUAAGACCCAUAAGUUUAAUUGAUGACAACUUGUUUCUUAAGCACGGUCGUGGGAGUCACUUAUUUCCUAAUAAGUGAUGUGAUUUUUAGAAAGUAAAUAAUAUACAAUCCAUUUUCAUGUGUGAAUAAUAAUGAAUGAAUAUUACAUUUCUAUCUUUAUAUGUGAAAAUAAAAUAAAAAUUAAAUUUAAAAUAAUAAUUAAAUAUUUACUUAAUUUUCAGAGAGAUUUCAUCUUCUCCUGUAUAAAGGAGCUCCCCCUCCCUCGUUCCACACCGAGCACAAUAAAAGUAUUGAAGAAAAGAUUUUUCAAGAAGAUGAUUUUGAGGUGAGGUAAGAUCCUCUAUUCUUUUCUAAUCAAAUUUUAUUCAUAUUUUAAAAUCUUUAAUAUUAAAAUAUUUUCUAUUCUAUUCUAAUCAGUUUUGAUUCAUAUUUUGAAAUCCUUGAUAUUAAAAUUGUUGUGAUCGUAUGAUACAUAAUAAUAUUUUAAUUUUAAAAUUUCAUAAUUAAUAAAUAAAUAAUAAUUGAUUUAUAAUGUUACAUUGAUUAUUUGAUUUAUAAUGGUCUUUUAAGCUUAAGUGACUUUUAAGAUUGAUUUAAUUAUUAAAACUUUUAUUUUAUUAUAUUAAUAUAAUAGUUUUAAUUUAUUUAGUUAUACAUAUUUGUAUUUCAAAAAUUAGCUAUGAAUUUGGAUGACUUAAUUAGUUUUAAAUUUAAGAUUAUAAAUUUAAAAUUUUUAAUUUAUAAAUUUAAAUUAUUUUUUUCAUAAUUUAAAAUAUUAAAAUCUAAUUUGAUGAGAGAAGUCUAACUUGAAGUCUGACUUGAGCUAGGUUGAUCUGUUAAAUCGAGUCAAUCCAACUCUUAUAUAUGAUUUAUUAUAAUUUAUAUAUUUUUAGAUUUAUAAAAUAUAUAAAUUCAUAUUUUGCUCAUACUUAACUCAUGAAAAUCAUAUUAUUUUAAACAUACUUUCUAAAAUAUAUUAUACAUAUAAUAAGAUAUAUGACUAUUAUUAUAUAGUAAAUUAAAUUUAUGCAUACUAGAUUAAAUUUAAAAAUAAAAAUAUUAAUAAAAAAUUACGUUCCUUAAUGAUUGAGUGGGCCAAAGAGGGAUAGACCUACGAGCAAAAGGUUAUGAUAUGUUUUGAUUAAGAACCCUGCCUCUUCAAUUAUUAAUUUAUAGUAAUUUAUAACAAUAAUUCAUAAAAAAAUAAUAAUUUUUUUAAUAAAAUAAGCUAUACCUAUCAAUAUCUCAAGUUAUUCCUUGUCCGUAGCUAAAAUUAAACUAUAUUUAGUGUCCAAAGAUUAAAGAUCCAUGACAAAGUAUGAUGUCAGUAAUUAUGUAUUAAUUGCGUGAUACAAAAAGGUGAAACAUCGUUUGUCCGUUCUCAUAUUUGCUUCCAUGUCCAAUGCUUUAAUUACAUUAUAUUAUAUGCGACAUUGACACGUUCUCAAGUUCACAGAAACACACAACACUAACAAUAUGAUCCAUCGACCAUUUUGUACCCACUUGUUUCAGUUUUCUUUGUGUGUUUCCGGGAAAAAAAAAAAGACUUUAUGUAGUACGAAGUUUGAUAAUUUUUUAGAAUUAUAGUAGAUUAUAAUGAAAAAAAUGACAGAUAACCUAUCCUUAAUGUCACUCUACAGGAUAUGAGUUUUUUACCACAUAAUACUCGUUUAAUUCUUUCGAAGUAAUUAGAUCUUUUUCUUCUUUCAAGAAUUUUAUAUGAUGCAUAAUACUGCUACUAAUUCUAAAUAGGAGAAGAAUUGAUUUAUACAGUCAUAUAUACCUAAAAAAAUAAAACAUGUCACCGUACUGUGCUGCCAAAUAUCGACGUUUGUAAAAGCAUUUCUUUUUCAAUAAUAAGAAGCUCUAAUUUAUUUUCAGAUAAAGAUGAAGAACAAAGUGACACGUAGAAUAGCACUUCUUUCAGCCUUUUGUUUUGUCCUUAUUCCGACCGCUGGCUUCAUGGAGUGACGCCAUAGCCGGAGUUCUUUUUGUCUUGUAUUAAGCGUCGGUGUAGUAGAUGACGUAGACGUCGAAGGCGGCGACGAGGCCCUCGACCGAGGACGUCACCAGCUCGCUCGCCAGCUUCCCCCAUGCGUACUGGAACACCCCCGUCCCACCCACGAUGGCCCGCUCCGCCUUCCCGGACGCGUCCAGUCUCCCGAUCGCCGUGAGCGUGCUGUCGGCGAACUCCCCCGNNNNNNNNNNNNNNNNNNNNNNNNNNNNNNNNNNNNNNNNNNNNNNNNNNNNNNNNNNNNNNNNNNNNNNNNNNNNNNNNNNNNNNNNNNNNNNNNNNNNNNNNNNNNNNNNNNNNNNNNNNNNNNNNNNNNNNNNNNNNNNNNNNNNNNNNNNNNNNNNNNNNNNNNNNNNNNNNNNNNNNNNNNNNNNNNNNNNNNNNNNNNNNNNNNNNNNNNNNNNNNNNNNNNNNNNNNNNNNNNNNNNNNNNNNNNNNNNNNNNNNNNNNNNNNNNNNNNNNNNNNNNNNNNNNNNNNNNNNNNNNNNNNNNNNNNNNNNNNNNNNNNNNNNNNNNNNNNNNNNNNNNNNNNNNNNNNNNNNNNNNNNNNNNNNNNNNNNNNNNNNNNNNNNNNNNNNNNNNNNNNNNNNNNNNNNNNNNNNNNNNNNNNNNNNNNNNNNNNNNNNNNNNNNNNNNNNNNNNNNNNNNNNNNNNNNNNNNNNNNNNNNNNNNNNNNNNNNNNNNNNNNNNNNNNNNNNNNNNNNNNNNNNNNNNNNNNNNNNNNNNNNNNNNNNNNNNNNNNNNNNNNNNNNNNNNNNNNNNNNNNNNNNNNNNNNNNNNNNNNNNNNNNNNNNNNNNNNNNNNNNNNNNNNNNNNNNNNNNNNNNNNNNNNNNNNNNNNNNNNNNNNNNNNNNNNNNNNNNNNNNNNNNNNNNNNNNNNNNNNNNNNNNNNNNNNNNNNNNNNNNNNNNNNNNNNNNNNNNNNNNNNNNNNNNNNNNNNNNNNNNNNNNNNNNNNNNNNNNNNNNNNNNNNNNNNNNNNNNNNNNNNNNNNNNNNNNNNNNNNNNNNNNNNNNNNNNNNNNNNNNNNNNNNNNNNNNNNNNNNNNNNNNNNNNNNNNNNNNNNNNNNNNNNNNNNNNNNNNNNNNNNNNNNNNNNNNNNNNNNNNNNNNNNNNNNNNNNNNNNNNNNNNNNNNNNNNNNNNNNNNNNNNNNNNNNNNNNNNNNNNNNNNNNNNNNNNNNNNNNNNNNNNNNNNNNNNNNNNNNNNNNNNNNNNNNNNNNNNNNNNNNNNNNNNNNNNNNNNNNNNNNNNNNNNNNNNNNNNNNNNNNNNNNNNNNNNNNNNNNNNNNNNNNNNNNNNNNNNNNNNNNNNNNNNNNNNNNNNNNNNNNNNNNNNNNNNNNNNNNNNNNNNNNNNNNNNNNNNNNNNNNNNNNNNNNNNNNNNNNNNNNNNNNNNNNNNNNNNNNNNNNNNNNNNNNNNNNNNNNNNNNNNNNNNNNNNNNNNNNNNNNNNNNNNNNNNNNNNNNNNNNNNNNNNNNNNNNNNNNNNNNNNNNNNNNNNNNNNNNNNNNNNNNNNNNNNNNNNNNNNNNNNNNNNNNNNNNNNNNNNNNNNNNNNNNNNNNNNNNNNNNNNNNNNNNNNNNNNNNNNNNNNNNNNNNNNNNNNNNNNNNNNNNNNNNNNNNNNNNNNNNNNNNNNNNNNNNNNNNNNNNNNNNNNNNNNNNNNNNNNNNNNNNNNNNNNNNNNNNNNNNNNNNNNNNNNNNNNNNNNNNNNNNNNNNNNNNNNNNNNNNNNNNNNNNNNNNNNNNNNNNNNNNNNNNNNNNNNNNNNNNNNNNNNNNNNNNNNNNNNNNNNNNNNNNNNNNNNNNNNNNNNNNNNNNNNNNNNNNNNNNNNNNNNNNNNNNNNNNNNNNNNNNNNNNNNNNNNNNNNNNNNNNNNNNNNNNNNNNNNNNNNNNNNNNNNNNNNNNNNNNNNNNNNNNNNNNNNNNNNNNNNNNNNNNNNNNNNNNNNNNNNNNNNNNNNNNNNNNNNNNNNNNNNNNNNNNNNNNNNNNNNNNNNNNNNNNNNNNNNNNNNNNNNNNNNNNNNNNNNNNNNNNNNNNNNNNNNNNNNNNNNNNNNNNNNNNNNNNNNNNNNNNNNNNNNNNNNUCGGACGUCACCAGUUUGCUCACCACGUUCCCCCACGCGAACUGGAACACCCCCGUCCCUCCCACGAUGGCCCGGUCCGCCUUCCCGGAGGUGUCCAGCCUCCCUAUCACCGUGAGCGUGCUGUCGCGGAAGUCCCCGGCCGUGAACACCAGCACCAGCGGUAUCAGCGACGACUCGUCCCGCUGCGACGCGUGGAAGCUCACGCCCUGCGCCCUCCCGACUUCGGUCGAACGCUUAGAGGGGCCGGUCCUCAGCACGGCGUCGAAGAUGUCGACGUCCCCGAAGGUGUUGGGGAGUCUCAUGUUCACCACGGUCACGGUGGUGUUGUCGGGGCCGAGAAAGGUCUCGUGGAAGUAGACGCGGAAGUGGAUUCUACUCUGCCGGCCGAGUUCGAACUCGGAGGUCACCGGGAAGGCUGUGGCAGCAGCCAGGAGGAGGAAGAAGACAAGGAGGAAGUAGAGAUGAGAGGAGCUGUGUGGGGAUGAAGCCAUGGCUGGGAUGACCGAAGGAUCGAAGUGAGGUGGGUACAACGCUGGAUCAGGAACAUGUAUUUAUAGAGUAAUGUCUGUGUCAUGCGUCGUCAACAAAUGCCAGCUUCCAACCAAAUCUCAUUAUCAUGUCUACAUAAAAUACUCAAACGAAUAUUACUCUUACAGGUGAAGGUCUCCGCGCAGGGAAGAAGAUACCAUCUAGUAACACGAUGUACACACCAUAUAGUCUUCUCCAUGAAUAUAUAUAUAUAUAUAUAUAUAUAUAUAUAUAUAUAUAUAUAUAUAUGAUGUCGAGCAAUGGAGAUGGGUAACUGAGAGAUGGAUGGAUGAUAGUUGCAAUCAAUGGGCGAUGAGGAUAGUGUUGCGUCUUCUGCAAGUGCCAACUGGCCACCUGUAGCUCGUCAAUUUGCUUGUUAAUUAACGAACCACAUUGGCAACGCUAUCUUUCUUUAUGUGUUUCAACACAGAUGUACGCGGUUGGCUGAUGGCUGUCGCUCCCGUUUGUUCGCAUCUUCGGUUGUUGACAUGUGGAAAUGAAGUGUUGGUUCCCAUGCGUGAUCGCUACCUCACCACUCGACUUAAAGUCGCGACAUAAUUAAUGACCGACGGUGCGAUGCAAAACCUUCACUCGCCAAUCAAGUCAUUCGUGACUCAUGUGGGGCCAUUAACCAUCUUUUUGUAAUCAAAGAAAAGCUCACAUGAUGUGUUCUCAUAUCAGCAUACCAAAUGAAUAUUAUGUGAAUUUUAAUAUACAUACAUAUUCUCUCCUGUCAAAACAUAUCCUAAACUCAUGUUUAUUUUCACCAUUAUAUAUAUGAUCACGAGACCAAAAAACAAAAAGGGAUGGGAUGACAUAAUGCAUGUCAAUGUUUCCAUGUGAAUCACGCCUGCAUAAUCCUUCACCUACCGAAGGUGUGGUUGGUUGUCAAAGUUCAUCAUUCUCAUGUAAGGUAUAUUUUUUUUAGCAAAUCGUCAAAUGCCAGCGCAUGCCGUGUUAUCUUUCAAAGUGCAUAGUUGACCCAAUCCGUGUGUAAUGUCUCCACCUUGGUUGUUUCCUCACGCAAUGCAUUUCUUUAUCAGUAUACGUAUACUUCACCUGUUCAUAACAUUCAUAUUAAAGCUUAUGUAGGUGCAGCGAAAUUAGUUAAGAUUAAUAUUUUUUGAAUGACGUAAAUAAUUUGUGAAAAAUAAAAGUAUUAUUUUGGAUAAAAUAAAUAGUAAAAAAGAGGAUCAAAUUGAUUAUGGAAACGUCGCAUUUUCACGAGUCUUAAAGCAGCAGAUUGCUUCAGUAAGUAAUAUAUAAUUUUGGAUAAAAGUAAAUACUAAAAAAGAAGAUGAUCAAAUGAAUUAUGGACACAUGUUAUAUCUACCAAUCUUAAGGUUGCAGAUUGCAACAGUAACUAACGACCACGAUGAGAAGGAAGGGGGAAAUGAUGAUGCGAAGAAUCUGCAGAGACGGCUCUCCUCUCUGUCCUCUUUGGUAGCAACGAGCGCGAUAUGGUGAUCAAGGUCCGAUCUCUUACUAUUCCUUCUCGUCCAAUUUUCCCAAUCUUGGUUAGAGUUUUAAUUUGAUGGAGUGCUUGACGCCGUCUUGUAGUUUUGAUGUCAAAUUCUUGGUUCGAUCAAAAUCUUUGAUGGUCCUCGUCGAUGAUCAUGCGAUCUAGUUGCUCUAUGAUCAACGAAAAGGAAACUUAAUAUUAUAGUAUUUGAUUGGGAUAAUCCUAACACUUGUCAGCUCUUUUAUCAUAUAGGCCAAAGAAGCAACACCUAAGCAUCAGCGUGGGAGUCACUGCUCCCCGCAAUCGCCGGCACCUAAACUCAUCUAGUUUGAGUUGCAUCACUGGAUAAAUCUGAGGACUCUAUAUAUUAAAAAAAAUCCACCUUUUAUAUUGUUACUGUCAUAUGAUAUUGGGGUAGAAACUAAUAAAUGACACGGUUACUAUAUAUAUAUAUAUAUAUAAUCUCGUUGAUGUGGACAUAAUAUUGCAUGUGACAUCAACUAAAUGAACACCUAAAAUCUAAAAUGCGUUUGUACCUAUUAAGUUUUGUUUUCCAACAUAUAACUUAAUUUAAGAGGGCAACGCACCAACUAUGAUUGAAGUAUUAUCCAACAACAUUCACUAAAUCACUUGAGGUUUUAAGAGUCAAAUUUAGAUAAGGACUACGACAAAAUGAAACUCAAUCAUGAAACUUAAAACCUCUAAAUAGGAAGAAAUGCAACAUCAUUUGGUUCAGUAAGUACACAACAUUCCCGUAUUAAUCUCUAUAUUGCAGCCUAGCCUACUAAUUUAAAGGCACUGUAACGUUACGAUGUAAUCAACCUAAAAAUAGGCCCCUUCCUCAGCACCACUAAUUGCAUGUAGCCUAGCCAUCAUCCAAAACAUCUUCUUAUAAGGUUCUGUAAGGAGACCCAUAUAGAAGUGUUUAUGUGCCCGCAUAUUAUCAACAUGGGCCGUGCCACGAUGCAGAAAGCCUUACCCAUGCAACAUUAUUAAAUCAUUCCUAUGCAAAGGAAUUCAUGAAUCACAAUAAAUAGCUACUUACCUCCUUGAUAACAACUAACAAUGCAGACGAGACCUAAAAAGGUCUAAAUUAUAUGACUCAUAGGUUUAAUCGAUAGCAACUUAGUUUCCUAAGCACCAGCAUGCGAGUCAUUUGUUUCCUAACAAGUGAUCUGAUUGUUAGGACAUUCCUUUUUCAUGUAUGAAUAAUAAUAAAUAAAUAUUAUAUUUCUAUCUUUAUAUGUAAAUAAUAAUAAUUAAAUAUUUAUUUACCUUUCAGAAUAUCUUAUCUUUCUCCUAUGUAAGCAUAAUGUGAGUAUUAAAUAAUAUAUUUUUCGAAAAGAUGAUAUCGAGGAAUGGAUAGUCGAGGAGAGACAAGAUCCUCUAUUCAGUUCUAAUCAAUUUUCAUUUAUAUUUUGAAAUCCUUGAUAUUAAAAUUGUUAUGAUCAUAUGAUGCAUAAUAAUAUUUUAAUUUUAAAAUUUUAUGAUUAGUAAAUAAUGAUAAUUGAUUUGUGACGUUAGAAUGAUUAUUUAAUUUAUAAUGAUCUUUUAAGCCUAAGUGACUUUCAAGAUUGAUUUAAUUAUUAAAACUUUUAUUUUUAAAUUAACAUAAUAAUUUUAAUUUAUUUAAUUAUAUAUUUGUAUUUCAAUAAUUAGAUAUGAAUUUGUAUGGCUUAAUUAGUUUUAAAUUUAAGAUUAUGAAUUUAAAUUAUUCUAAUUUAUAAAUUUAAAUUAUUUUUAAUAAUUUAAAAUAAUAAAAAUUAAUUUGAUAAGAGGAGUCUAACUUGAAGUUUGACUUGAGUCAAGUUGAUACGCUAAAUCAGGUCAAUCCAACCCUUGUAUUAAUUUUAUCAUAAUUCAUGUAUUUUUAGAUUUAUAAAAUAUAUAAAUUUAUAUUUAGCUCAUUAUAAUCGUAUUAUUCGAAAUAUAUUUUUUAAACUAUAUUAUACAUAUAGUAAGAUAUAUGAAUAUUAUUUUACAGUGAAUUAAAUUUAUAUUUAUCAGAUUAAAAUUAAAAAUAAAGGUGUUAAUAAAAAAAUAUGUUCCUAAAUGAUUGAGUGUUCCAAAGAGCAAUAGCCCUAUUAAAUUGAGAUUAUAGGGUCAUUAGAUGCCUUAGUCAACACUACCUCUUGAUUUAUUGAUUUAAGUAAUUUAUAAUAAUAAUUUAUAAAAAAAAUUUGAUAAAUUUUUUAUAAAAUAAACUAUACUUAAACUAACAAUAUGUCAAGUUAUUCCUUGUUCGUAGUAGCUAAAAUUCAACUAUAUUUAGUGUCGAAAGAUUAGAGAUCCAUGACAAGGUAUGAUGUCAUAAUUAUGUAUUAAUUGCGUGAUACAAAAGGGUGAAACAUCGUUUGUUCGUUCUCAUAUUCGCUUCCAUGUCCAAUGCUUUAAUUAUAUUAUAUUAUAUGGGACAUUGACAUGUUCUCAAGUUCACAUAAACGCACCACGGUGACAGUGGUGUUGUCGGGGCUGAGAUAGGUCUCGUGGAAGUAGACGCGGAAGCGGAUUCUCUUCUGGAUGCCGAGUUCGAACUCGGAGGUGACGGGGAAGGCCAUGGCAGCAGCGAAGAGGAGGAAGAAGACGAGGAGGUGGUGGAAAGGAGAGGAGCCGUGUGGGGACGAAGCCAUGACUAGGGUGGUAGAUGAACAAGGAACGUGAAAGUGAGAUGAUCACAACGCUGAAG
This 100346-nucleotide long non-coding RNA is filed under the name Musa acuminata (dwarf banana). RNAcentral's name for it is "long non-coding RNA (MACU_LNC006073)". The record is from RNAcentral. Lineage: Eukaryota; Viridiplantae; Streptophyta; Magnoliopsida; Zingiberales; Musaceae.